AAAAAAAAAAAAACUACACUUCAUUUUCUUUGUUUAUUGUAAAAUUAAGGUCUAGAUUUUAUGAAAAAAAAUAAAAAAUAUAUCAAAAAUGAUACUUUUUGGUACUCUUUAAACAUGGAUGUAUUUUGAUGUAAAAAACAUUAAUAAUAAUAAAUAUAUCAAAAUUCAUACUUUUUGGCAUUCUUUAAACAUAGAUUCAUUUGAUGUAAAAAACAUUUUUUUUUUCGAAGUUUCAGUUCAAAUUCACAUUGUGAAGAACAUAAUCACAUUGUAAUUUUACAAUUCAGAUUCACAAUGUGAAUAAAUUCAUUUGUUGAUUUUACAAAAACUAAUUAUGAGUGAAACAUCUUAAUUUUUAAGGUAUUUUCUUUUGAUCCUUGGAUUAUGAUUUGUUUGCAACAUUGCUCCCCAGUGGCAUUUUCAUAAUUAUUGGCCAUGCAUGAGUAUAUUGGGCGUACUCUGAGUACAUUGGGCGUACGUAGCCAGGGUGCAAACCCUAAUUGUUAGGGUUUGAACCCUAUUUAAACAUCUUUAUGGUCUCAUGAAUUCUCUUAACUCUAGCCUCCUUCCUCAUUUGGCAACCCUAAACUGUGUGAGUGCCUUGUGAAGCUUGAAGAGGAUUUUGGUGCCAUUUUAGAGCUUUGGGAGAAGAAGGAAGAACCUUGAGGUUGUGGUGUUUCACUCAAGGCCUUGGAUCUAACAUUUGUAUUCCUUUGUGCAUCUUUUGGGGGUAUAAAGCUCCAUCCUUGAUGAGCAUUUCUUUUAGAUCUAGUUUUAGCUUAAAUUUGGCCCCUUUUGUCCCAAAUCUUGACCUUUGUGAACAUGGGAUGCUCCAAGACGUUUGAGUUGUCCUUUCAGAUGUUUAGGGGUGUGUUAAGUCAUAAAAAUGGGAUCUUGGACAUUGGUUUCUUACCAUGCAUGGUCUAGGUUGUCUUAAUGGGUCAAGAAGCUAGGGUUUUUGUUAUUAAGGUCUUAAUAGCCAUGCAAAACCAUAAAGUUGGAAAAUUUAUGGUUAAGAUCACCUUUUAGGGUCUGGAUCUGGAUUUGGGGCAAAGGUGCUUAAGGAUUAAGCACUUAAUAGGUUGAGUUGGUUGGCAGCCAUGUAUGUUGAGCGUACCAAAGGGUACGCUGAACGUAUGUGGUCAACCCCUUAUUUUUGGUCAAAUGCAUGGUACGCCGCACGUACCUGUUCAGUACGACUAGUGUAAUUACUGAGUCGACUCGGGUGACUCAGUUGACUUUGACCUGGAUUUUGACUAGGGUUUGACCUAGGGGUAUUUUAGGUAUUUUGAUUAGAUUGUUGUCAUUGAAUUCAUUAAGGUGAAUGGUAGAGUUGAUCUCGGAGCGGCGUACUAUUUAGUUUUCUCAUCUGUCUGUGAGGUGGGUCUCCUUACUAGAUCCAUGAUUCAAAGGCACCAAUGCCGACCCAUUACUUUGUUGCAUAGAUUUCUAGUUGUCUUUGUGAUACUUGCAUGAAAGACCAGGAUCUUGCCCCUAGCAAUUGUAUGAAAGACCAGGAUCUAACCCCUGGAACUUGUAUGAAAGACUAGGAUCUGGCCCCUGGCAAUUGUAUGAAAGACCGGGAUCUAACCCUUGGAACUUGUAUGAAAGACUGGGGUUUGGCCCUCAGCAUUACAAGGAAAGACCAUGAUUUGGCCCAUGACAUGAAAUGAUUUUAAGACUAUGAUUUGGCCCAUAAAAUUCAUUAUCUUAUGUAUGGUAUAUGGUACUCGGGGGAACUCACUUAGCUUUGUGCUUACAAUUUUUGUUUAUGGUUUCAGGUAUUUUUAGUCUGAAAGGGAAUGGCCCGACGUGGUGGAAUAACAUUCUUCCAAUCAUGAUUUUCGCAUUCUGAAUAAUUGUACUAUGAUGUUUUGAAUAUUAUAUCUUGGUGUUUGAUUUGAAAAAUUGAUGAAUGAAUUGAUGAACUUCCAAAUGAAAUUUUUUAUUAUUGUUUUUAGUGCAUUACAAGUUGGUAUCAGAGGCUUCGUUUGAGGGAUUUGGGCACACUUCCGGGUGUAUCAAAACUCAAACUAAGGAAAUGAUAAUGUUUUUAAAGAUAAAUGAAAUUGAACUUCCAAAAAAAUUGCUAACAAAAAAAGGGUGCGAUGUGUGGAAUCAGGCGAGCUCAAGUAAGUGGUUACAAAGAUUAACCAUACUUAUGUGUUAUGAGUAGUAUGCUUGACAUGAGAAUUUCAUGCUAGAUUAGGGCUAAGGAUACCUUUGGGAAUCAUAUGAUAGAAUUGCCUGAUUUAUGUGAUGCCUUAUAGCCUAGGGGAAUUUGAUGCUAUGUAUUACUUGAUGGGUUUUAGACAUAAGAACAAUCCUAUGUGCUCAUACAAACCCUAAUGUUUGGAUCUAGGUUUCACUAUUGUACAUGCAAUGUAUCCAAGACUUACAAUCUUAGAUCUAACAUAUUAUAAACUGAAAUUAGGGUUUAGAAAAUUACCUUUGAUUGUUAUGUAGCAAUAACAAUCUCAAUUCCUCCUUAUAAUGACUUUAGAAAGCUUAGAGACACAAUUGUCACUCCUCUAAUGGCUCACAAACACCAAGAGCAAGAAGAUGAAGAAUAAGGAGAGAGUAGGCUGCCCAAAACCGUCCAAAACCCUAAGGAGUUACUUCCACACGUUUUUGGUGCUCUAGGGAUCUUUAAAUAGUGAGGCUAUUAGGGUUAUCUAACAAGGAAACCCUAAUUUGGAUGCUUAGGCCCUAAGCAACCCAUGGACUCCUUCCUUAAAGGCCUAGGACGAUUUCUAAUGGGUUUCCCCAUAGAAUUCGUCCACCCCUCUAAUAUGGAGUCCAUUAGCUCAAUAUUCAACUAUCAUACAAUUGACAGUUCUAGUCCCUUAAGUUUAAUUAAUGUCUUUUAGCCACAAAAUUAAUUCCUAAUUAAUUAUUGACUAAUAUUAAUUAAACAAUAUGAUUUCUCCUUUAAUAUAUUAUUCUCAUAAUAUAUUAAUAAAUCAUAAUUAAUCCUUUCUCUCCAUAAUUCAUCCUAUCAAGUUGCUUUGGUGAAGGCAACCCAAAAGGACUAUGCACCAUCGGGUCAAGUACAUACCAAAAUAGUUAUGGAAUUAGACACUAAUCCAACAUUACUUGGAACUGAUAUCAGUUCAGUUAAUUGCUAAGUGUAUGCUUUCAAAGUUGUAUACGAUUAGGAUUAUACAGCCCUAGAAUGAUCGAUUUUGCCUCAUUUCCUGUUCCUUGUUUGGUUGUGGACUUAGGGUAGAAUCAUCAAUUGACACUCUAUGUGAUCCUAUUUUGUGUAUAACAUGCAUGCAUACAACAACCAGUGGUGUUGAUUGAGGUUCUUGGUAUUACGAGCGGUGAGAAUUGAGAUUUGUUAGGAGAGUCUAGGAUAUGUAUGAUGUUUAGCAUAAGAUUGUUAUAUGGUUAGUUUGGUGACUUAGAGGAAUCAGGCCUGCUCUUACGGAAGGUACAGGUAGGUGUGAAAGGUGGUAUUGGACUUGUAUUAUUGGAAACACAGGAUCUAUACCUGAGACGAUAACGACCCUGGGAACUCUAAGUAGGACUUUGUAGUGAAAAUCCCCUCGAGUCAUAUGCUGAUUGUUUAUAUGUUUUGUUUUAGUUUGAGGAUGGUGAUGAUUACUUGAUGAGGUCCUAACUCUGGUUCUGGUUCAGGUUCUGGCUUAGUUACAAAACUAAUUGAUGAGAGACUGUACGAGUUCAUUCGGCCAAGGUUACUCACGGUAUCUUGGAUGCUACUCCUGUGAUGUUCGGUAUCAUCAAGGAGGGGAUUAUGGAGCUGAUGGAUGAAAGGAUCAGGUCAUUUCAAGAUGAGAUUUCUGCAGGUUAAUUAGGAGCUCGAACUCCCUCAUUCCGGGAGUUCAAGGCUUUUGGAGCUCCUACGUUCUUUAGGGUUAACGAUUCCAUCGCUAGCCGACGCUGGAUCGAUGACAUGGAGAAUGCUGUAGAUGAGGAGAUGAGGAAGGGAGAUACCAUGACAUGUUGAGAGAGGAUAUCAAGAAGUUCAUGAUUUUUUCGGGGUGCAAGACCCUUAAUGAUAUGAUCGAGAAGGCCCUUGAGCGGGAGAUUAAGUUGGAGCUCUGGAUGAAGCGGAGGCCGGAGCAGGUACAUACAACAAUAGGCCAAUCUAAGAGGCCAAAGACUUCCAAUACACGCACAAGAGGCUAGUAGGGUCAGGGCCAUUGCGGAAAGUGCGACAAGCUGCACAGUGGGGCAUGUCGAGCAACGAGUUCAAGUUGUUUUAGUUGUGACCACCCGGGCCUCGUUGUAACGACCGAAAAAUACAACCAAUUUUAAUUUUUCAAAAACAUCUCGAUUCCAUUAAAUCUUUACAAAAAGGUUUUCAAUACAAAACAUUUAACGUGUUCCCAGAAUCACAAUACUACGAAAUCAUGAGGAGCGGUACGAUCAUGCCUUCGCCUUGCCACAGUCUCCUGAAGAACCUGAAAAACAUGAAACCACAACUGUAAGCCCGAAAGCUUAGUGAAAUAUCCCCAAAAUACCAACCACAAAUACCAUACACGCAUAAUAUGCCAUAACAUAUCCGAUCACAGAACAGCCAUGCACUUCGGGUCUACUGUGUGACUGGUCCGCUGCACCGGCCUACAGUCCACCUGNNNNNNNNNNNNNNNNNNNNNNNNNNNNNNNNNNNNNNNNNNNNNNNNNNNNNNNNNNNNNNNNNNNNNNNNNNNNNNNNNNNNNNNNNNNNNNNNNNNNNNNNNNNNNNNNNNNNNNNNNNNNNNNNNNNNNNNNNNNNNNNNNNNNNNNNNNNNNNNNNNNNNNNNNNNNNNNNNNNNNNNNNNNNNNNNNNNNNNNNNNNNNNNNNNNNNNNNNNNNNNNNNNNNNNNNNNNNNNNNNNNNNNNNNNNNNNNNNNNNNNNNNNNNNNNNNNNNNNNNNNNNNNNNNNNNNNNNNNNNNNNNNNNNNNNNNNNNNNNNNNNNNNNNNNNNNNNNNNNNNNNNNNNNNNNNNNNNNNNNNNNNNNNNNNNNNNNNNNNNNNNNNNNNNNNNNNNNNNNNNNNNNNNNNNNNNNNNNNNNNNNNNNNNNNNNNNNNNNNNNNNNNNAACAACUACCCGGAUCUCAAUCCGAUAAGGGCCGGCCUUGGUGCCUUAGACCCUGUUGAUAUAGUGAGGAUAACUCACCUCGAAACUGCCGACUGAACAGAUAACCCAAGCUGCUCCGAUCACUGAUACGAUCUCCACCACUGGACAACCACCAAUGCACUGAACUCAAAACAAUAAUCAACAAUUACCAAAAUGCCCCUGGAAACCACUGGUCAACCCUUGGUCAAAGACAAGGUCAAAGUCAACCCCUGACUGACUCUACUCGCCGAGUCAACCCGAUGACUCGCCGAGUCCCCAUACUCAGAACUUCCCUCAAUCCGCGACCUAACUCGCCGAGUCACCCCGAGACUCGUCGAGUUCAACAACUCUGAGUCCACUCGCACACAACUCACCGAGUCAUCCCUUGACUCACCGAUUCUCGACUCGACCAGAAAAUAUUGGGACUCUUCGACAAGACUCGCCGAGCCCAAGAACAGACUCGCCGAGUCUAAGGCUAUCUUCAACCUACUCGCCGAGUUGUUCAUACAACUCGCCGAGUUCCAGGCAAUCUUCAAGCAACUCGUCGAGUCCACCCAUGUGACUCGCCGAGUACCACCGGUCUGAAUCCAUACAGAAGCACUCCAGGCCAUGCAAUUGCUCCAAAACAUAGAUCUAGCCUCCUACAACUCAUCCAUCACGUAAAGUGGCAAACUUUACGUGAAUCCAAAGAGAUCUAUGCAUUUUGCACAUUAGGGCUAAGGUUUGGGACAUGAUAGCUUCAUCCAACACUCAACACAGGGACUUUCAUGCAUUCCAACUCUUCUCCAUUCCAGAUCUGAGGUAGCAACCUCAGAUCUAACCUUUAAACUCCAACACAUCCAAAUAUCUAACCUCUAAUACCCCCAAAAUUAAGAAACAACAUAACAACAGCCCAAGGAUGAGAUGUUACCUCCAAAGAACGUCCCAACUGCAAUGAAAUUCGAAUCCAAGCAAAGCCCCUUGUUCUAAGCCUCUCCUUCUCUAGAAUCUCUUCCACAAUCACCUCUCCAAGAUCCAAUUUGCUCAACAAUGGUUCUUCUCCACGAUUUUAGGGUUUCUGGGACUCAAGGGGGUGAUAAAGAGGCUGGGAGGAAGACAUAAUGUUCUUUAUAUAGGGCUCAACCCCGAGAAUUAGGGUUUUCUCCACUCAGCGUCUACUCGCCGAGUCCAUCUCACUGACUCGCCGAGUCCGGCANACACGCGACCCAGUCGCGACUCUACUCGCCGAGUCCCCCUAUGGACUCGCCUAGUCACUCUUUCCCAAUUUACUCUUUUAGCCCCUUCUACUCUACUCUUGAUAUUUCGGGAUGUUACACUCGUGAGUAGGGAUUUCCCCAUGAGUGCUCUUAUUUGCUUCCAUUGCAAUCAGACAUACCAUAAAAAGGCCGAUUGUCCUUGAUUGUCUAGAGGAGCAAUGGCGACGCCUAUGCCAGCCACCUUGAGGAUUAUUGAUGGUCGUCAGGGCAAGGCGGAGGCACCUGUGGUGAAGAGCAGGGAAUUUCAGCUGACCACUGAUGAGGCCCGUACAGCGCCGGAUGUGGUUACUGGUAUGUGAUCUAUCUGUAUCUUUUAUUACUUUCCUUAUUUAUGCUUUUGGUUAUUUUGAUCUUAUAUAGGGACCUUUUUGGUCAAUGGUGUGACUGCUUAUGUUCUGUUUGAUUCGGUGCUACCCGAUCCUUUAUAUCUCUUGCACUUAGCAAGAAGUUUUGUAAUGCUCCCGAGAUUUUAGAUUUCCUGCUGGAGGUUGAGAUUGUGGAUCACCAUACUAUGAGUGCUUCGAGGGUUCAUCGUGGGUGUGUGUUGAAUCUAUUUAGCGAGAGGUACUCUAUUGAUUUGGUGUCGAUCCCCCUGCAGGGAUCGAAGGUUAUUAUUGAGAUGGAGUGGUUGGAACCAAAUGGGGCCAUGAUUAACUGUGAGCAGCAGUUAGUGAGGGUUCGAAACCUAAGUGUGGGAGAACUGGUUAUUCCUGGCGAGGGAGCCUCGCAUGGACCGGCUCUUUGUUCACUUGCGAGGGGCAGGAGAUAUCUUCAGCAAGGUUGUUCUGGGUUCCUAGCUUAUGUUGCAGACACUCGGGUUGAGGGCAAGUCAGAGUUGAAUAGGAUGCUUAUUGUUCGGGAUUUUCCCGAUGUGUUUCCAAAGGAUCUGCCAAGAGUGCCUCCCGAGGGGCAAGUUGAGUUUCAGAUUGAUCUGGUUCCCGGUGCAGCUCCGUUAGCCAAGGCACCGUAUCACUUGGCACCACCAGAGAUGCAGGAGUUGUCUACGCAGCUUCAUAAGUUUCUAGACAAGGGUUUUAUUCUUCCAAGAAGUUCUUCGUGGGGAGCACCAAUUCUGUUUGUGAAGAAGAAUGAAGGUUCACACAGAAUGUGCAUUGAUUAAGGGGAGUUGAAUAAACUAACGGUAAAGAACCAUUAUCCACUUAUGAGGAUUGACGAUUUAUUUGAUCAGCUUUAGUGUGUAUCUUGGAUUUCCAAGAAUGAUUUCAGAUCGUGGUACCAUCAGAUGAGGGUCAGGGAUGGUGAUGUGUAGAAGACAGCCUUCAGGACUCGUUAUGGUCAUUACGAGUUCGUGGUGAUGCAAUUCGGUCUCACCAAUGCACCAGCAACAUUCAUGGAUCUCAUGAACCGAGUCUGUAGGCCUGUGCUGGAUCGGUCUGUGAUAUUAUUCAUUGAUGAUAUUCUGGUCUACUCCAAGACCAAUGAGCAACACGAGGAACAUUUUCGAGAGGUUUUAGAGACCUUGAGGAGGAGAGGCUUUAUGCCAAAUUCUCCAAAUGUGAGUUAUGGUUGUGCGAGGUGCAGUUCGUGGUGCACAUUGUCCAUCAAAUGGGUAUAUUGGUUGACUCGGCCAAGAUCGAGGCCGUGAUGCGAUGAGAGGUUCCGAUGACCCCUUUGAGAUUCGUAGUCUCCUAGGUCUCGUAGGGUAUUAUCGGAAAUUUAUCUAAUAUUUCUCCAACAUUGCAGUGCCUUUAACCCGCUUGACAAAAAAGAAUGUGACUUUUCGGCUGGGACCGGAUCAACAGUUGGCUUUUGAGACUUUGAGGCAGAGAUUGUGCGAAGCCCCAAUUCUCACGCUUCCUAAGGGUUUAGAUGAUUUCUUGGUUUAUUGUGACACCUCUAUUUCGGGUUUGGGAGUUGUUCUUAUGCAGAGAGGUCACGUGAUUUCUUACACUUCGAGACAGCUGAAACCUCAUGAGGCGAAUUAUCCUACACAUGAUUUGGAGUUGGGGGCGGUGGUUUUUGAUGGGUUUUGAGCAUUCUAACACUCCUAUGGUGUACAUGCAACCCUAUAUGCUUUGGAUCUAUGUUUUCUCUAAUAUACAUGCAUAACUUUGUUUUUCCAAAUCAUCAUCCUAACUAGCAUACAAUGGAAUAUCUUUACUACAAAUUCUAGUUAGAUGACAUACCUUUUGUUGUAGCUUGCUAUCCUUGAUGUAUUUGGCCUUUAAUAACUUAGCACCAAUAGUGUGAAUGCCUCAAAUGGAAUCACAACACACCUUGGACAAAGGAUAACUUGAGAGAAUGGCUUGCUCUAGAAAUCGGCUCUAUGACUCUUCCAAAGAUCAUUAAUGCCCAUUUCACCAACCAAGGGGCUUCUUAUAUAGUGUGGCACAACUAGGGUUACACCAUGCAAACCCUAAUGUGCAUGACUUUCCACAUUCCUUAGGCUCCAUGGGUUUUAACCUCCAUGGAGUAUCCAUGGGUCACCACAUGAGUUUAUCCCAGCAUAAAGAACUAUGGAUCAUAAGCCUACUUUAUAAGAAUGAAUGAUUUACACAAUCAAUCCCCAUAUAUUUAAUUAGUCUCUUUUGAUCACUAAAUUAAUUCCAAAUUUUUUUGUGAUCAAUACCAAUUAAAUAAUAUGAUUUCAUAUUAAUAUAUUAGAACUUAUAAUAUAUUCAUAAAUCAUAAAUAACCUCUUUUCAAAAGUCAAUCCAAUCAAAUUGUCCUGAUGAUAUGCAACCCAAAUGGACCAUGCUACUAUCGGGUCAAGUACAUACCAAUUAUAGUUAUGGGCUUAGACACCUAAUCCAACACUUUUUUCCCACAAGAUUUGUAGGCACUAUCUGUAUAGGGUUCAAUGUACUAUUUACACUGACCACAAGAGUUUGAGAUACUUGAUGGAUCAGCCGAAUUUAAAUAUGCAGCAGCGGAGAUGGAUGGAUGUGGUAAAGGAUUAUGAUUACGACACCCUGUAUCACCCUGGAAAGACCAAUGUGGCAGUCGAUGCUUUGAGCUGUAAGUUCAUGGGUUCUUAUAUUAUGGAUAUCUACUUUAGGAUGGUUGUCACUUCUCCUUUGUUGGAUUUUAUCAAAAAGGCCCAGGUAGAGAGAUAGAAAAAGGAGAACUGGAAGGCUGAGUGGAUCAGGGGACAUAUUCCCUUAUUUGUUAGAGAUAGUCGGGGCUGUUGACUCAGUGUGGUAGAGUCUGGGUUCUGACAACAGGUGGGGUGAGGCAGAUAGUUCUGGAGGAGGCGCAUAAGUCAAAGUUUUCUAUCCAUCCGGGGGCCACGAAGAUGUAUAGGGAUCUGAGGUUGAGUUAUUGGUGGCCCUGUAUGAAAAGUGAAAUAACUUGGUUUGUUGAGCGGUGCCUGACUUGCAGGAAAGUCAAGGUCGAACAUCAGAGACCCAACGACAAGAUGCAACCCUUACCCAUUCCCAUGUGGAAGUGGGAAGAGAUUACCAUGGAUUUCAUAACAAAGCUGCCAAGGAUUACACAUGGAGUUGAUUCUAUUUGGGUCAUUGUUGAUAGAUUGACCAAGAGUGUGCAUUUCAUACCGAUUGUCGAAAGCAUAUCUGCUGAGAAGUUAGCUGAAAUCUACGUUCAGGAGGUGGGAGUUCGACACGGGGUACCAGUUUCGGACCGAGAUGUUCGUUUCACCUCGAGGUUGUGGAGGAAGUUUCAUGAGGAAUUGGGUACUCAGCUGCAUUUUAGUACAUCAUACCACCCCCAGACUGGUGGACAAAGCGAGCGGACGAUUCAGACGCUCGAAGAUAUGCUCCGGGCUUGUUACUAGAUUUUGAAGGGAGUUGGGAUACUUACCUUCCACUGAACGAGUUCUCCUACAACAAAAAUUAUCAUGCCAAUAUUGACCAACCAUCGUUUGAGAUGUUGUAUAGAAGGAGGUGCAGGACCCCGAUUUGCUAGGGGGAGGUCGGACAUCGGGUCAUGGGGAGUAUUAAGGUUAUACUUAAGACCACUGAGUUGAUUUAGCAUGUGCAUGAAAUAUUGCGAGUCACGCGGAGCCGAAAAAAUAGUUAUGCAGAUCGGAGACGUUCUGACCUCGAAUUUCACAUAUGAUAUUUGGUCCUUCUGAAGGUGUCGCCUUGGAAAGAUGUCAUCCGAUUUUGGAAGCGCGACAAGCUGGGCCCCAGGUUCACUGGUCCAUUCAAGAUAUCCACCCGGGUGGGCAAGGUUCCAUACCGACUGGAUUUGCCUGAUGAGCUCAGCCAGAUCCACAACACUUUCCAUGUGUCUUAGUUUCGGAAGUUUGUGGCCGAUGAGUCCGCAAUUCUCUAGAUCACAUUCAGGUUGAUGAUCUCCUGAAUUAUGUAGAGAGACCGGUGGUAAUUUUGGAUCGGAAGACGAAGGCUUUAUGCAACAAAGAGGUGUCUCUGGUUAAGGUCCAGUGGCAACAUCAAAGGUUCUGAUUGGACGUGGGAAACUGAGGCGGAGAUGCGAGAGCACUACCCUACUUUAUUCGCGACAAUAGACUUCGAGGAUGGAGUCUAGUUCAAGUGGGGGAGAGUUGUAACAUCUUAAUUUUUAGGUAUUUGCUUUUGACCCUUGGAUUGUGAUUUGUUUGCAGAAUUGGUCCCUAAUGGCAUUUUCAUAAUUAUUGGCCAUGCAUAAGUACUUUGGGCGUACUCUGAAUACGUUGGGCGUACGUAUCCAGGGUGCAAACCCUAAUUUUUAGGGCUUGGACCCUAUUUAAACAUAUUUAUGGCCUCAUACACUCUUUUAACUCCAGACUCCUUCCUCAUUUCGACACCCGAAAGUGUGUGAGUGCCUUGUGAAGCUUGAAGAGCCUUUUGGUGCCAUUUUAGAGCUUUGGGAGAAGAAGGAAGAACCUUGAGGUUGUGGUGUUUCACUCAAGGCCUUGGAUCUAACAUUUGUAUUCCUUUGUGCAUCUUUUGGGGGUAUAAAGCUCCAUCCUUGAUGAACAUUUCUUUUAGAUCUACUUUUAGCUUAAAAUUGGUCCCUUUGUGUACAAAAUCUUGACCUUUGUGAGCAUGGAAUGCUCUAAGACAUUUGAGUUGUCCUUUCAGAUGUUUAUGGGUGUGUUAAGUCAUAAAAAUGGUAUCUUGGACAUUGGUUUCUUCCCAUGCAUGGUCUAGGUUGUCUUAAUGGGUCAAGAAGCUAGGGUUUUUGUUAUUAAGGUCUUAAUAGCCAUGAAAAACCAUAAAGUUAGAAACUUUGUGGUUAAGAUCACCUUUUAGGGUCUAGAUUUCGAUUUUGAGAUAAGGUGUUUAAUGAUUAAGCACUUAAUGGGUUGAGUUGGUUGGCAGCCGCAUACGCUGAGCGUACGUGGCGAGCCUCUCGUUUUGGGUCAAACGCGUGGUAUGUGCUGCAUACCUGUUGAGUAUGCCCAUCGUACUUACUAAGUCGACUCGGGUGACUCAGUUAACUUUGACCUGGAUUUUGACUAGGGUUUGACCUAUAGGUAUUUUAGGUAUUUUGAUUUGUAUGUUGAGAUUGUUGUCACUGAAUUCAUUAAGGUGACUAGUAGAGUUGAUCUUGGAGCGGUGUGCUAUUCUGGUUUCUUAUCUGUUUGUAAGGUGAGUCUCCUUACUAGAUCCAUGGGUCGAAGGCACCAAUGUCAGCCCAUUACUUUGUUGUGUUGAUUGUUAGUUAUCUCUGUGAUACUUGCAUGAAAGACCGGGAUCUGGCCCCUGACAAUUAUAUGAAAGACCAGGAUCUGGCCCUUGGAAAUUGUAUGAAAGACUAGGAUCUUGCCCCUGGCAAUUGUAUGAAAGACCAUGAUCUGGCCCCUGUCACUUGUAUGAAAGACCGAGACUUGGCCCUCGACAUUGAAAGGAAAGACCAUGAUUUGGCCCAUGGCAGGAAAUGAUUGUAAGACUAUGAUUUGAGCCAUAGAGUUCAUUAUAUUAUGUAUGGUAUGUGGUACGUGGGGGAACUUACUAAGCUUUGUGCUUAUAAUUUUUUUAAUGGUUUCAGGUACUUCUUGUUUGAAAGGGAAGGAUCGGACGUGAUGGCACAACAUCCUCCCAUCAUGAUUUUCACAUUCUGAAUAAUUGUACUCUGAAUCUCUGAUGUUUUGAAUAUUAUAACUUGGUAUUUGAUUUUGAAUAAUUGAUGAAUGAAUUGAUAAACUUCCAAUUAAAAUUUUUAUUACCGUUUUUUGGACGUUACAAUGAGUAAUCAAAACAUUAAAAUAUUAUAAAAUUACAUAAAAAUAUAUUUCGAUUCAUAUGUAAAUUUUACUAAAUUAAUUUGUGAAUAAUCAAAGAGUUGAAAUAGUAAGUCAGAUUCACAUUGUGAAUGUUAAAACCGAAGUAUUUACAGUUCAGAUUCACAGUGUGAAUCUACACAGAUCAAAGUGUUUUUUAUUUUAUUUUUUAUUUUUUAUCAAUGCUGAUGUUUGUUAAUAGAGGACAAAAAAUGGUGAUUUUUGCUAUAUUUAGUUUUUUUUGGGAUUAAAAUAAACCUAAAUAUUGAAAAGAAAAACGAAUUGGUUUUUUUUCAAAAAAGAAUGUUUUUUUUAUAUAUCAAUAUGAAUAUUUUUGGAAAAUUGACGGAAAAUCGUAAACAAUGGCAUAUUCAUUUUUUUUCAAUAAAAAACAUUUCCUAAAAAAACUUAAACGAAAAAAUGAGGUGAUUUUUUUGGUACAAUCCGAAGUAUGUGCGUCCAGUGUACAAAUCUACAACCAUUCCCCUGGCCAUUGAUCAUUAUGAUUUCUAACGCUCACGAUUCGUUUCUUGGUUCCUUGUUAAUAAUGGUUCUCUGUUACACCUCACUAUAUAUAUAUAUAUAUAUAUAUAUAUAUGGCNNNNNNNNNNNNNNNNNNNNNUUCUUUACUCAUCGCUCAUCGCAUAGGGCCUUCAAGAAUAAUGGACCAACCCUGACAAGGUGUCUAAGAAGGAGGUUUUGGGUUCAAUACCAUGCAUAUAUUAACUCGUCAUCCAAAAAUAAAAUGAAAUAUGUGACAUGCCUUUAGAAGGCCACCAUAAGCGACUGUAAGAAGAUCAGAGUCAAUGACAAUUGAUGGUAAACAAAAGAUGGGACGUCCUAGAAUGAANNNNNNNNNNNNNNNNNNNNNNNNNNNUAUCAGACUAAUGAGGAGAAACUUGUUUUAUCCGAAAACAUGUCCUCAGAACAGAAGAGGUGUUGGCAAAACAUCGAGGUUGAUGGGUAACCUCAUUUCUUUGAUACAAUUUGCCCAUGUGCUUGUAUUGUAACACCCAAUUUUCACCUUUCAGUAGGAUUCAAUAUAAACCGUUGUUUAUAAAAUUAGAAGUAGAUAUAUAACACUCUUUAGACCAAAUAAUCUUCAGAAACAUGUAGGAAACAUCGAUACGGUUUUCAUAGAUAUAUAGAACACUUAAAUCCGACUUCGUUUGAAGAAUUUAUGCUUCUUCAAAGUUUCGCGAUUAAACCGACACAGCUCAGCGUAUCAUAGAAAGUAAAUUUUAGAUAGAUUUCUUAUUAGCCAAAGCAAUAUAAAUUCUAAACGAAAUUCGUAGUAGUCGUAAAACCAAGAGUGUGCAUAUAGAGAACGUCCAAAUCUCACUUUAUAUGAGGAAGUUAUGACUUUUCCAAGUUUCAGUUUAGCAGUGCGGACAUAGAAAACGAAAUUCAAAUAUGUUGAUUUUUAGGAAAGACAAUCUGAAUGAGAGUUGAAGAUCUCGUCCAUGCUUAUCCAUCGGUAUAAACACACUAGAAAAUGGAUAUCGUAUGAGAGAGUUAUGAUUCUUAUAUGGGUUUUAACAGUCUAAGCUUGCUAAGAAUAUAGCUAUAAGGUAAAGUGAGAAUUAACAAAAGGAGUAUAAAUAAAAGUUGUCAAUCUCGUUGAUAGUUAUGCGUGGAUAUAAAAUACGUCGAAAACGGAGCUCGGACGGAAAUGAUAUGAUUUUUUAAAGAAAUCAGAAGUCUUUGCGUGCAGCCAUAUGCACAAAGAAGAGGCGCAACGUGCCCUGACGCUCCAAUAACAUUUCGCCACAUGUCACCAUCCACAAAAUGUCACGUCACCCUCCCCGACACUGUGCGCAACGCACCUAGACAAGGUGUGCGACACACCCUCAGUUUUUGGCUAUAAAUACUUGCGAAUUUCAGCUUAUUUCUCACACACUUCCAACACAUUCUCUUUGGAACUUCUAAUAGCCCUUACUCCAUUUACUCCCAAGUUCCCGGCUACUAUAGCGAGACCUUGCAGUGUCAAAUAGCCGAUAAUUAAAAGCUCUCAGAUCAAAGUUCUGCCCACAUAAUUCUAGGUUUUCGCUAAGAACUCUCUAUAAGUCAAACUAUACUUAGUAUGAUUUAAGUGUAACUUGUAUUUAUAUUUAUAGUCGUUGUUAUGAAUAUAUAUAAAUAAGAUUUAUUAGUAAUUCUAGUCAUAAUACUAAUUGAUAUACUUACGAGAGAGGUGUCCAGAAUGGUUUCGUUGGUUUGUUUGUUGGAUUUCAGAAAAUUUAUAUGUCGAAAUGAUCCUGCCUCCCAAUAGUCCUGUCUGGUUGUUCCUUAUUUGAUAGAACUAUAGAUAUUCAUUGAGAUUAUUGAAAGAUCUAGCCCUUCAUUAUCAGAUUCCCAUAAGGACUAAUAAGUAAUAAUAUUAUAGGUUAAUACUCGUUAGGCGUGAUUCCCACCAGUAGGAUCGCCAGAAAGCUGUUAUCUUUUUUUAAGAAACUGUCCAAGUGAGUUAUCUUACUAUACGAUAUGUUACAAUAUAUAUAUAUAUAUAUAUAUAUAUAUAUAUAUAUAUAUGUAUGUAUGUUAGGACAUAUGAGAUACUAGAGUAGAGCUGGUAGUAUAAGGUUCUAUGUGCUUGUAUUAAUAGAACUUAAGGUAUAGUCUCUAUGUAUGGUUGUGUAUGUCAGGCGGGACCCAUCAUAUAGUUUGAUCGGGGCUCGUUAUGUAUGUUGGGCGGGGCCCAUUAAGUAGUUUGGGCGGGGAUCGUUUGUAUGCUUGUAUAUGUAUUGUAGUAUAUGGUAUUUUGAGAAACUCACUAAGCUUCAUGUUUACCCAAUUGAAUAUUAAUGUUUUUUAGGUACUCAUGUGAAGGGCAAGGUUCGACUAUACACAUGCGCAUUCGCAACGUGUUUCCGUACAAUGUAAUCAUACUUUGAUAUAUAUUAAUAAAUAAAAAUAAAAAAUUUGGAUUGAAAAUUCGGGACGUUACAUGUAUCCUAGUUAUCCAUGUUUUGUCCCGAUCACAACCGACUUCCAUCCUAUUGUUUUCUUCUUUUGUAGGUUAUUGGAUCUAGAGGCUUUUAAUUUGAUUUCUUCAUGUUUACAUCUUACUAAUCAGAUUGAAUUACUUUUUGUAUUUGCCUUCUUUGCAGAUUAUAAAUAGUACACGUCAUCUUGAGACAUAGUCAAUUGAUCCCUUAUGGAGGAACGACUAUCGACACUAGUGACACUACCUCACUGUAUUCCAUUCUAAUGAGAUUCAUGGGGUAUGUUGUUAAACAAUUUGUGGCUGGCAACUUUUUGGAAUUGCUAAAAAACUAUAUAAUUCAUUAUUUCGUAUGAUUGAAAAAAUAAAAGGUGGAUAUUUUAUUUUAUUUAUCAAAAAAAUCUCACGAGAUGAUAUGAUAUUUAAUUAUAUGAAAUGUAUUUAUAAUUUUCGAGAAAGAAUAAAUAUUUCAAGGGUUCAAUAGAAAAGGAAAAAUGUGACAUCCCCAAUUUCACGGCCAGAAUAGACCGAUUUGUUUAUGUUUUGUUUUAUAAAAUCAGAGUAAAUUCUUUUGAUUUAAAAGAGUUGCGGAAUUUGUUCCCAAAACAAAAUAUGAUAAAAUUUAUCAAAACGUUUCUCAAAGAGAACAUAUUUUCAUUAAAUAAUAAAACCUCAGGAUAUCAUGUUUCGAUACAGACCAAAAGCAUAAACAAUAUAAAAUAGACCUUACAACAGUUAUUUAUAACUACUGAUUUAUAUUCCAAAAUCUCUCGUCAAGUCCACCAACUUAUACUCUUGUGUCAUUACCUGUAAUGCAAAGAAAACUGAAGGGUCAGGCUUGGGAGUCUGGUGAGCGUAUAGGGUUUUCAACCCACAAUAAUAUAAUUAUUAUAUUCAAUCAUCAAACAAUCAACCCAAUUACCCAUCCUCAUUAUCUUCGUUUAUUCUUAAGUACCUUCCCUAAGGAAUUAUCCUAAGGGUCAUCUCCUACAUCGUAUUUACCUCUCAUCUUCUUACAUCGCAUUUCCUUUAUAUAUAUUCGUUCCUAAAGCAUGAAUACGCAGUCACAACAUCGCCUGGACUCGUAACUCAUAGUAAGGGUUAGGCUAUCAUCGCAUGAAUACGUAGUCACAACAUCGCCUGGACUCGUAAUUCAUUGUAAGGGUUAAAGUAUCAUCGCAUGAAUACGUAGUUACAACAUCGCCUGAACUCGUAAUUCAUCACCUACAGGUUAUGAGUCUGCUGGUGUUUCCACGGGGUCAUCUAGAAUAGUCCGUGGUCGCCAUCUAUACUCUGGUAGAUGACUACAUUGCGAAAAUUCCAAAUCGCCGGUCAAGGUUAUGGUAUCUCCUCUCAUCUCACAUCACUUAUUUAUCAUCACCUAUCUAUCAUCACCUAAUUAUCAUCACGUUUCUAUCGUCACCUAUCUCUCAUCACCUAAUUAUCAUCACCUAUUUCUCAUCACCUAAUUAUCAUCACACAUCAUCUAAUUCAUCUACCCAUGUUCUACCCAAUAUAUUUGUAGAUAUAAAUUACAUAUAUAGUUUAAAUCAUUUAAAAACCUGUUUAAAACAUUCAUUCAACAACCAUCUCAUGUAAACAAACAACGUAUAAACACGUAGCACGUAUUUCAUAGCAAAUACUGCAUAUCUAUGCGGUAGAAGUAAGUAACUAUACACUCACUUGAUUAGAAGAUGAUCAGACAGCACUACGGCUCUUCAAAUAGAUAUUCUUUGGUUAAACCGGGACCACUUCACACACCAGGUUUCUCGCGGACAGAGCUUCGGCUCGGAAACACUUUUCUUCUCGGGAUCUUCGGGUUUCGGUACUUGAUUCGGGUCUCAGGGUUGAUACCGGGGCUUCGGGGGUAUUUCUUUGCACGUAAAUCGAUGCAAUACAGGUGAGAGAUGAGAGAAUGAGCCACCAAACUCGGCUGGCCCUUCAAAUCUAUUUAUAGGGCAAAACUGGCCCUUGCCACGUUGUGGGCUUGGUCGUCACUACAUGCGUCAUCGCAAGUUGCAUCUGCGGGACUCCCAGAGGUGUCAGAAGACUGGCCACGUCGUGGCACUGCUUGCCACAUCGUGGUAUCUGACAGUUUUGGGGUUUCACACCCCGAACUUCAGAAAUUCAUAACUUUCGCAUACGAACUUCGUUUUCGACGUUCUUUAUAUCGACGCAAAGGUGAGAUUAUACUCUACAACUCUCGUUUAGACUCCAUUGGCUAAUUUUGACUUUAUUUUUAAUAUAUUAUAAUUAUAUUACUUAUAUAUUAUUUUUAGUAGGCCGGGACAGGAAAACUCCGUUAUAAACUCAUAACUCCUUCGUCUGACGUCCGUUUUCAUCCGUCUUUCCGUCGUUGCACUACUAUCGAUGAGAUCUUCAAUUCUCAUUUAGAUUUUUUUGGAUAAAUAUCGCUCUAACGUAAAUUCACUAUUUACGUCGCGCUGUGUCGUGCCGGUUCUGUCGCGAAACUUCGACAAGUCAUAACUUCUUCGUUAUAACUCGGAUUUCGACGUUCUUUAUAUAUUCGGAAACCUCGUAACAUAUACUAUAGCUUAGUUAAGAUUAAUCCUUCUAAAUAAUCUUCCAUAAAAAAAUCAUUUUUGAUGCUUAUCGUCUCUAAAUUGACUAGCCCUGAUCUACGGGCGUUACAAUUAUCUCCCCCUUAGGAUGAUUACGUCCCGGAAUCAUCAACGAAACAUGAUUCGUAUACUGACUCCAUACGUUAUCUUUCCAUCCUAAGUAAUAACCGUGAUGCUCAGUCCUUCAUCUGCUCUUCUUACUAUGAUGGACUUUCAAUCGUUACCUUCAAGUUACAAAAUAAAUCCUUAUUGUGAACUCUCCUUCUUCUUCUUAGGAUAAAAACAUUCCUUUAUCUAUUGUAAUAGACUGAUGGGUUGUGUUCUAAUGACCUCUCAUCGUAUGAUGCAACGCUUAGACUCAAAUCUCUUAGAGUCAAAUUCCAGAAUGGAUUAUACCUUCCUUCAUAUUCUAACGUGAUAUAAUCACAUUUAUGAACCACGUAACAAAAUCAUCGUAGUCGGACUCAAUUUGUCAUGACCGCUAGGGUCAGAAUAACAACCCUCUUACUAGUCAUUAUCGAAACAAUGGUAAUGACAUACAUGAAUAAAACGGAAUCAAUUACUAGUUUCUUGGUAACCUUGUGACUUUCCCUUAUCCAAGCGUGAGUCCUGUGCUUCCAGUAGUAUAGAUCUCUACUACUAUUCACACCUACUCAUACUCGUCCCAAGUAUUGUCCCUCAGUCAACCAAGUCACCAUACGAAAUCACACAAUCACAUCAGAUAACAAAAUCAGGGUUUAUAUUAAAUCUUGAAACGAUUACAUAAAAGUUCAAGUUCACCCUAUACUAUGCCUCUAAUAGGCUACAUCAUAAGUUACUAUUCGCACUGCUACUUCAUAACUUGAUCCUUGGAUAUAAAAUCCUCAUCCUUGAUUCACUUCGUCGAGGAUCAUGUGGAAUGCCCUUGGCUGGGGCGGUACGUUUUUCUUUGCGGCUUUAUCCUUCUUUGGGCAGUUCUUCGAAAUAUGACCACCAUCUCCACAUUCGUAACACUUCCUAUUGUCGAACGUACAAUCUCUGGAAUAGUGACCGGUCCUACCAGACUUAUAGCAGGUCACUUCUCCAUCACAUCUUCCGAAGUGCUUCUUCUUGCACUUUUCACACCACUUGGUUUCAUCUCUUCCUCCUUCGAACUUCUUCAAACUAGACUUCGAUAAUUUUCUCUUUUCGUCGGAUCUUGGGGAUCCCUCAAACUUUCUUUUCUCACCAACUUCAACCUUGUUGGCGGUUCUUCCCUUGAUCAUGUCCUCAACAAACUUGGCAUCCCAGAUAGCUGCUUCAAGAGUAGGUGCCUGACAUACUGGCACUGCGUACUACCAUGGAAGUCCCUUUGCGUAUCGGUCUACCUUUGUCAGCUCAUCUGGGACGAUGCGCAAAGUAAAUUCCAUUUUGUCUGUAAAUGCAUUGGUGUAUUCAUCAACUGACAUGCUGCCUUUUUUCAAUGUCAGAAAUUUGUUCUCCAAUUCUAGCAGAUUUUGGGCGGAGCAGAACUUGCGCUUGAAUUGCACCAAGAACUCUUCCCAAGUCAGUUGUAGCGGCUCAUUAGGGUUUAGGAUCUUUCCCAGAGUGUUCCACCAUCAAACAACUCCACCCCUGAACUGACGUACUGCAAAAGUGGUCUGCAACUUGCCUCUGCAACCGACGUACUGUGAAAGUGGUAUGCAACUUGCCUCUGCAACCACAUGUCAUGAAGGCUAGCUCCAUCUCUGAGAUCCAAUCCAUGACUCCAAUCGGAUCUUCCUUUCCAGUGAAGGUCGAUGGUUUGCAAGUUAAUAAAUCUUUGUACUUGCAUCCAAGGCCAUCAUUCCCUCCAUCGUGGUUAUUCUGCCUAACAAUUGGCGGGUUGGCUUGACCAACAGUCCCACUGAAGUUACCUCCUUCCAAUGAACCUCCAUUCACUUCGGGCUCUUCAACUUGAAUUGAAAGUUCUUCACGAUCUUGUUGAAGCAGACGUCUAGUUUCUUCCAUCUGACGAUCCAACAUCGUCUGAAUCAUCAAUUGUACACCAGCCAUUGUCACUGGCUCAGGUGCAGUAGCUACAACAGGUAUUUGCUCGAUUACAGGUGGUUGAUUCUUGUUUUCGUUUGCAUUUCCAACUCCGCUUCUUGUCCUUGCCAUUCUUGAUCUAUACACCGAAUAAGGUGAAUUUAGAUCCUCAUCCAUGAUAGAUAAUUAAAUCAUCAUUAUCACUCCAAAAUGUUUACAUGCUAGUUCUAAUACCGUCGUCAUACGUUUAGAAUCCUAAACACAUAACGUUUCCAGAUCCGGUCGGCAACACACCAUAGAUCCGAACAAAUAACAUCAUAUAUGGCAAACAUAUAACAUUUAGCACAUAAAAGCAUUUUAGGCAAGUUUCCUAAAAUAUACUAGUGCUUGUGCCAAUUUAGGUGUACUACCUAACAUAUUUUAGACACACUCCUCACGAUCAUUACUUAGCAUUCUAAGUUUAAGUCUAGAAAUUUCCUACAAAUUCCUAGUUCGCUUAAACUAAUGCUCUGAUACCAACUGUGACAUCCCCAAUUUCACGGCCAGAAAAGACCGAUUUGUUUAUGCUUUGUUUUAUAAAACAGAGUGAUCGUUUAAAGAAAACGGUUGCGGAAUUUGUUCCCAAAAUAAAAUAUGAUANUGUUCCCAAAACAAAAUAUGAUAAAAUUUAUCAAAACGUUUCUCAAAGAGAACGUAUUUUCAUUAAAUAAUAAAACCUCGGGAUGUCAUGUUCCGAUACAGACCAAAAGUAUAAACAGUAUAAAAUAGGCCUUACAACAGUUAUUUAUAACUACUGAUCUAUAUUCCAAAAUCUCUCGUCAAGUCCACCAACUUAUACUCUUGUGUCAUUACCUGUAAUGCAAAGAAAACUGAGUGGGUCAGGCUUGGGAGCCUGGUGAGCGUAUAGGGUUUUCAACCCACAAUAAUAUAAUUAUUAUAUUCAAUCAUCAAACAAUCAACCCAAUUAUUCAUCCCCAUUAUCUUCGUUUAUUCUUAAGUACCUUACCUAAGGAAUUAUCCUAAGGGUCAUCUCCUACAUCGUAUUUACCUCUCAUCUUCUUACAUUGCAUUUCCUUUAUAUAUAUUCACUCCUAAAGCAUGAAUACGCAGUCACAACAUCGCCUGGACUCGUAAUUCAUUGUAAGGGUUAGAGUAUCAUCGCAUGAAUACGUAGUUACAACAUCGCCUAAACUCGUAAUUCAUUGUAUGGGUUAGAGUAUCAUCGUAUGAAUACGUAGUUACAACAUCACCUGAACUCGUAAUUCAUCACCUACAGGUUAUGAGCCUGCUAGUGUCACAACUGGAAAUUUUGUGUCAUGUAAUCUAUACAUUCAAGCUAAUGUGAAUCAAAAACUUAAGAACAUGUGUAACACCUAUGAUUAUGACAUCAAAAACUUCAAUCAAAUACAUCAUGCAAGUACUACAAAUAGUCAUCAAACAAUUGGAGACCCUAGAAGUCCUUGUUUAAGUCCAUUUUGGACUAGGACUUCCUUAUUGGAUCCAAAUGGACCAAUAAGCUUCCAAUUAGACUAUCAUGGGCUUAGAACCCUAAUUGGGCUCUAAUUGGACCCACACUAAUUUAUUUCAACAUUUUGGGCCAUGUUGGGCCUAGAAUGAAAUAAAUUAAANNNNNNNNNNNNNNNNNNNNNNNNNNNNNNNNNNNNNNNNNNNNNNNNNNNNNNNNNNNNNNNNNNNNNNNNNNNNNNNNNNNNNNNNNNNNNNNNNNNNNNNNNNNNNNNNNNNNNNNNNNNNNNNNNNNNNNNNNNNNNNNNNNNNNNNNNNNNNNNNNNNNNNNNNNNNNNNNNNNNNNNNNNNNNNNNNNNNNNNNNNNNNNNNNNNNNNNNNNNNNNNNNNNNNNNNNNNNNNNNNNNNNNNNNNNNNNNNNNNNNNNNNNNNNNNNNNNNNNNNNNNNNNNNNNNNNNNNNNNNNNNNNNNNNNNNNNNNNNNNNNNNNNNNNNNNNNNNNNNNNNNNNNNNNNNNNNNNNNNNNNNNNNNNNNNNNNNNNNNNNNNNNNNNNNNNNNNNNNNNNNNNNNNNNNNNNNNNNNNNNNNNNNNNNNNNNNNNNNNNNNNNNNNNNNNNNNNNNNNNNNNNNNNNNNNNNNNNNNNNNNNNNNNNNNNNNNNNNNNNNNNNNNNNNNNNNNNNNNNNNNNNNNNNNNNNNNNNNNNNNNNNNNNNNNNNNNNNNNNNNNNNNNNNNNNNNNNNNNNNNNNNNNNNNNNNNNNNNNNNNNNNNNNNNNNNNNNNNNNNNNNNNNNNNNNNNNNNNNNNNNNNNNNNNNNNNNNNNNNNNNNNNNNNNNNNNNNNNNNNNNNNNNNNNNNNNNNNNNNNNNNNNNNNNNNNNNNNNNNNNNNNNNNNNNNNNNNNNNNNNNNNNNNNNNNNNNNNNNNNNNNNNNNNNNNNNNNNNNNNNNNNNNNNNNNNNNNNNNNNNNNNNNNNNNNNNNNNNNNNNNNNNNNNNNNNNNNNNNNNNNNNNNNNNNNNNNNNNNNNNNNNNNNNNNNNNNNNNNNNNNNNNNNNNNNNNNNNNNNNNNNNNNNNNNNNNNNNNNNNNNNNNNNNNNNNNNNNNNNNNNNNNNNNNNNNNNNNNNNNNNNNNNNNNNNNNNNNNNNNNNNNNNNNNNNNNNNNNNNNNNNNNNNNNNNNNNNNNNNNNNNNNNNNNNNNNNNNNNNNNNNNNNNNNNNNNNNNNNNNNNNNNNNNNNNNNNNNNNNNNNNNNNNNNNNNNNNNNNNNNNNNNNNNNNNNNNNNNNNNNNNNNNNNNNNNNNNNNNNNNNNNNNNNNNNNNNNNNNNNNNNNNNNNNNNNNNNNNNNNNNNNNNNNNNNNNNNNNNNNNNNNNNNNNNNNNNNNNNNNNNNNNNNNNNNNNNNNNNNNNNNNNNNNNNNNNNNNNNNNNNNNNNNNNNNNNNNNNNNNNNNNNNNNNNNNNNNNNNNNNNNNNNNNNNNNNNNNNNNNNNNNNNNNNNNNNNNNNNNNNNNNNNUUGCGAAAAAGAAGGGUUAUAACCGAGAAAACUGAAAUUUCAGGGACUUAAACUGUUUUCUAUGAAAAAUAUGCUGAAAAAUAUUAAUUUCAAUAAUUUUUGGUGUUAAAAUGUCAAGAAAAUUGAUUUAAGGACCAAACCGGAAAGUAUUUAAUUAAAGGGUUGAAAAAGUAAAUUUUACAAACAAUGAGGGGCUGAAAACAGAAAACUUUCAAGGCUAAUUCAAUACACGCAAUUUGAUCAAAUAAUGGCACCGCGACUAUCGACGAAAUACAAUACAUUACAAUACCAAAAGUCGUUGUUAAACGAAUUGGUUCGGUCUCGAACCAAUAAAAAUUCCGAAACUACGACACUACGACACUACGACACUAUGACACUAUGACACUACGACACUAUGACACUAUGACACUACGACACUACGACACUACGACACUACGAUUCAUACAAGUAACGUUUGGGAAUUCAAUAUACAUGCGAGUGUGCACAGACGUCUACGCACCAUCUUUGGGCCCCAAAAGUGUAAAAUCUUGUUUGUUGGGCCUAGCUAGCCCAAUGACCUGAUCUUAAGGCCCGAAGACCUCUAUCUUACGAAGUGUUGGGUUUUACCGAUCUAACACAACGUAAAAGGACUUUCAAUGGCUUGUAUACUACUGGUCCCCAAGGGUCCUUUGGUAUUGCUAGUAAAGUCUACAUUUCAUGCGAGGCGGGUCUGGGACCCCUCGUUCCUUUUUAUCCCCAACCGGUUAAUGGAGUCAUCGAGGUCUUCGUGUCCUCUUUCUCUUCGGAUGUGGGACUACACGUAGUCAGGGCGGUUGGAUAACGUGAUUAGUACGGACGACGCCUACGGGAUCGUUAGUAUAGCUAUAAACUGGUCGUUUGUGUAAUGCGUGUUUGUAGCAAUUAAUCAUGCUCAAAAAUAAUCCAACGUCGCCUGGGACUGACACUACACGCUAUGCAAUGGUUUCAAUGUAACUUCAUGGAAUUCAAGGAAUUAGGAAAACAUCGGGUUUUCCUAGGGUUUUGUUUUAAUACAUACAGAUUCAAAACGCAUACAACCUUAAUGAACAAAUUUUCUUUAAGUAUAGAAACAAACAAGCAUACCUAUGGAUCUUCACAACAUUUUCAAAAGCUUUUCUUUUCAGAAAAUAUCGGAUUUUCUGGUGGUUUUCAAACAAUACAAAACAUUGGAUUCAAAACACUACUUAUGAACUCACCAACAUUUCAUAUGUUGACGUUUUUCAAAAUACUUGUAUUCUCAGGGAACCAGUGAAUCAAAGGAAAUCAUAUUCAGUGAUGGCUUGCAGUUUAUUUAUGUACGAAUCGAACAAUUUAUUUUUGGGAAUGUAAUGUUUAAACAAUGUAUUUCAUGUAAACGCUACUGGUUGUACUAUAUUAAUGCAUGGUGACGAAUGUUGUUAUGUUUCAUAUAUAUUCAAUGUUAUGGUAUUCAAUUGAGUCACAACAGCCCCCGGACGUUUCCGCCGUCUGGUUCGGGGGUGUGACAACUAGUGUUUCCACGGGGUCAUCUAGAAUAGUCCGUGGUCGCCAUCUAUACUCUGGUAGAUGACUACAUCGCCAAAUUGCCGGUCAAGGUUAUGGUAUCUCCUCUCAUCUCACAUCACAUAUUUAUCAUCACCUAUCUAUCAUCACGUUUCUAUCAUCACCUAUAUCUCAUCACCUAAUUAUCAUCACCUAUUUCUAAUCACCUAAUUAUCAUCACACAUCAUCUAAUUCAUCUACCCAUGCUCUACGCAACAUUUUUGUAGAUAUAAAUUACAUAUAUAGUUUAAAUCAUUUAAAAACCUGUAUAAAACAUUCAUUCAACAACCAUCUCAAGUAAACAAACAAUGUAUAAACACAUAACACGUAUUUCAUAGCAAAUACUUCAUAUCUAUGCGGUAGAAGAAAGUAACUAUACACUCACUUGAUCAAAAGAUGAUCGGACAGCACUACGACUUUUCAAAUAGAUAUUCUUCGGUGAAACCGGGAUCACUUAACACACCGGGUUUCUCGCGGACAGAGCUUCGACUCGGAAACUCUUUUCUUCUCGGGAUCUUCGGGCUUCGGUACUUGAUUCGGGUCUCGGUGUUGAUACCAGGGCUUCGGGGGUAUUUCUUUGCACGUAAAUCGCUGCAAUACAGGUGAGAGAUGAGAGAAUGAGCCACCAAACUCGGCUGGCCCUUCAAAUCUAUUUAUAGGGCAAAACUGGCCCGUGCCACGUCGUGGGCUUGGUCGUCACUUCAUGCGUCAUCGCAAGUUGCAUCUGGGGGACUCCCGGAGGUGUCAGGAGACUUGCCACGUCGUGGCACUGGUUUCCAUGUCGUGGUCUCUGACACAACUUUGGGGUUUGUGCCUGAACUUCAGAAAUUCAUAACUUUCGCAUACGAACUCCAUUUUCGACGUUUUUAUAUCGAUGCGAAGGUGAGAUUAUGCUCUACAACUCUCGUUUAGACUCCAUUGGCUAAUUUUGACUUUAUUUUUAAUAUAUUAUAAUUAUAUUACUUAUAUAUUAUUCUUAGUAGGCCGGGACAGGAAAACUCCGUUAUAAACUCAUAACUCCUUCGUCUGACGUCCGUUUUCAUCCGUCUUUCCGUCGUUGCACUACUAUCAAUGAGAUCUUCAAUUCUCAUUUAGAUCGUUUUGGAUAAAUAUCGCUCUAACGUAAAUUCAUUAUUUACGUCGCGUUGUGUCGUGCCAGUUCUGUCGCGAAACUUCGACAGGUCAUAACUUCUUCGUUAUAACUCGAAUUUCGGCGUUCUUUAUAUUUUCGGAAACCUUGAGACAUAUACUACAAAUUGGUUAAGAUUAAUCCUUCUAAAUAAUCUUCCUUCAAAAAGUCAUUUUUGAUGCUUAUUGUCUCUAAAUUGACUAGCCCUAAUCUACGGGCGUUACAAAAAGCAAGAAAAAAAUCAUAUUUUAUGGACAAAACACCUUUCUCUCUCUCUCUCUCUCUCUCUCUCUCUCUCUCUCUGUAACAUCGUGAGACAUUAUCUCUCACGUCGUGAGAACACUCUAAUGCCAAAAAUCUAACUUUUAAGUCCUUAAUCCAUUAAGCCUUGAACUCUUAAUUUCCAUAAGGUCUUAUAACCUCUUAAUACAGUAGAAAGCCGAUGCUUUUAAGACAUAUAUUUCCAAUACAUGUCUAGAUCUUAUUUAGGUCCAAAGUUGAAGAAAGACCUCCAACUUUCAUGCAAUGCUCCAAAACUCAACCAUUUCCUAGAUCUGAACUCCAAGACUCUCCUAAGGUCCUUUUAACUCAUAAAGUUUACAGAUUUUAGAUUUCUAUUCACUCAACAUGCUCAAUCAAAAAGAAAAGUGGGAUAGAACUUAGAUCUAGCCUUAUAUAACCAUAAUGGUAGGAGCUUUAUCACUUGCAAUGGUCCAAAAACAAUGUAAGGUGAUGUUGAUGAUGAUUCCUUGCAAACCAUAAGACAAGACCACCUUCUUCUUCUUCUUUCCUCCUUUUUCCAAUCCAAGAAAGCUCCAAAACCACCAAAGAUCAAACAAGGAUGGACACUUGGAUUUUUUUGAGGUGAAAGAGGUUUCGGGACUGAUAAAAAAACCCUAAAACGAGGUUAGAGAUGCUUAAAUAUGAAGGAAACCCUAAAAGAUCAUGGGAUUGGGCUGCAUUGCUCUUUACAUCGUGAGCUCUUAUUGCCAACAUCGUGAUCUCAGUCCCGGACAAAAUCUUCAUGCAACCCGUCUCACGUCGUGAGGGUCAUUUUUCUCCAAAAUCCAUCAUUUUGACCCAUGAAACCCUAAUUCGAUUCGUCCUGGAAAAACGGGUGUUACAACUCUCUCCCACUUAAAUUAGAUUUCGUCCUCGAAAUCACUCCUUACUACAUACGGAACGCCAGACACCUAGGGAGAUACUCCCAUAAACCCAGUACCAACUGAGAAGUUGACUUAUACAUACGACGACCUUCCAAAUCUAUAACCGAACCUAGCCUUAGCAGGGCUCCCAAAACCUUACAACAAGCGAAUCUUUACCCCGCUAGGGCUAACCACUGGAGAAUAACCAUUACUACUCUGUCAAAAAUCCGAAAUCCAAGAACACUAUCUGACUCCCCGAAAGACAGCUCACUCUAAAUCACUGUCAAUUCAAAUCCACUUCGUAUUCCAACUUAUCUUAAUACUUCCAACCCUUUAUUAUCUUGUUGUUUCCACUGAAAACCGAAUCAUUGACCAUUUAUUGUUGCCAAAAACUUUUCUCUUGGAAAAAUGCUUAGAUAAUCCUUCGAGUCAAAGACUCAUCCCUACAACGGUUAGACUCAAAUGAGAGCUACGCAGUAAGGUCAAAUCAAUUACUCUGAUAUUAUUUAACCCAUACAGAAAGUGACCUAACAUAUUCACUUAUUGACAAGUCAACUCCCAACACGAGUCCCGAUCACUAGUACCACCUCAGGCUUAUCUUGUUGCCCCAUAAUUACUUUCCAGAUGCAUCCGAGACCUCCCUGGUCUCAUACUUACCUAUCAGUUAACCAAUAUACCAUAUUUCAAAUUGGUUACUGAGACUAAUAGCCUCACAUAGUCGCACCACGCGACUUCCAAAUGAGAUGUCCUAGCAUGCAUGCCAUAAUGGCUCUAACAACCCUCUUAAUCCAACCUAGCAUAACCAACCAUCACUAGUACCACCUUCCUUAUUUCCAUGAAUGAUGUGGCCUUCCCACAGUCUCACGACCUGUCCUACCAUGGUCUAAUCCCACUUAGAGGAACUAUAGGCCAAUCAUAGAUAUACCAUGCUUUCAUAGCUGCUCAAGAAUCAGGUGGAUGCUACAGGCCACCCCGCAGUCCUAAAACACUCUUAUACUACCAUGGUCACCGCCUAUGCUCUUACCGCUCAUCUAUCAUUCCAAACAUAAACAUCCUUAGUCGAACCCGCAUCUGACUAUACCCCAACCAGGUGAUUGGGGUAUGCCUCGAACCCUAAAGCCUUAAUCAGAAAAGAACCGAUAGAGAGGCUCUAACACAACCCUCAACUUGUUCCUGAUCUCACAACCACGGUCAAAUCCAUUCCUUAUUUCCUCUAAACCAUAAAGAACCCAUAUAUACCCUGCAUUUGAACCCGAUGUGCCUACCUCGCAAAUUCCCUGAAUCCUUGAUGAAACUACCAAAGAUCGAAGCAACUGGUGGUCUCUUCUCACUUAUGCCUGUUUCAACGAUGGCCAAUGCCUCCUAGAUCGAAAUCCAAAUCUGGCUCACCUAAACAUCCCCUAAACAAGGCUCUUGGCUUGCAAAUGGCAUAUGAAGAUUCUUAAGAUAAAAUGUCUAGACUAUUGAAACAUUAAGUGAUCCUCUUAAACUAAAAAGAGAUCCGUAGAUACUCAUGGAACCGCAGUUAACCUCUCCCUAUAGUCAGAUCAUCAACAGUAGUCUUUGUCAUCAUUUUCUUAGAUUCGCUCUUUUAUCUGUUCUUUGUAUGCGUACUUUUUUUUAUCCAUAGUGCCCUGCGUGACAACUCAAACAGAUUAGGUUGUAUGUAAUCUUCAAGACUCUAUAAAUAGAGUUCUUUAUUUCUUAAUGAAAACACCUCUCUUACACAUCUUGAAUCUUAUCACUUAUCUUUCUCUCUACUAUCUCAUCACCUAAAUAUAAUCGUAACUCCUCGCAAUCUCUCUUUGGAGCAAGUCUUUCUAGACUUAAUCACUAAGUUUGAUCUCACUCACUAACUUGGUCUAACUGUAGUCCUUGUUAAGAAUCAAAUUAAGUGUGUACUUGAUAUAUUACUUGUUGUCUUUUAUGUUUCCUUAUAUUUCCGCAACUAAUCAUCUAACUAUCUAACUCUAACUUAUAUUAUUGUUGAGCUUUAUGAUCCUUUGAGAUUAACUUUAAUUUCCACAAUAUAUACUUAUUCUAACGUUUGUUCAAGUGUGUCUCUCAAGUUUUUAUCUCAACAAUUGGUAUUAGAGCCAAAGUGGUUACUUUUUGAAGCAAAACUCUGAUUUUCAAAAGGCCUUCUAUACCACUGAAGCUGAUUUCUUAAAAGAAAACAAAAAAAAACUUAAAAAAAACAAGGAAAUAUGGCACAAGCAUUAUCUCUUAAUGUUUCCAACAGUGUUGGUGGUUCUACUCGAGCCCCAAUAUUGGUGGCAAAUGAAUAUCAUCACUGGUCUCAGAGAAUGGAAAGAUACUUAAGGAGACUUGGUACAGAUGUAUGGCGAUCCGCAGAAGAAGGACCACAUGUCCCUGUUCUUACACCAGUUCAAACCGACAGCGCCACAACCAAACUAGGUGGAGGUCAACCAGUCAUGAAUCUUCCCACCAAAGACGAUCUCGAUAAAAUGGAAAAUGAUGUUGUUGCUUUUUAUGAAAUCUCUUGUGGAGUUGCUCCUGACAACUUCGACAUUAUCAUAAACUGCAAAUCAGCAAAAGAGAUCUGGGAGGUUCUCAAAAAAUUAUAUGAGGGCUCAGAACAAGCUCAAGAUAAGAAGCUCAUAACUGCACUCAAUGAGUUGAACAAUUUCAAAGCUCAUACUAGCGAAAGUUUGGAAGACUCCUUCAAAAGGUUCAACCUGAUAGUCACUAAGUUAUCUAAUUUUGGCACCAUCCGCAACAACCAUGAAACAAACCUUCAGUUUCUUAAUGGUUUGGGAAGACACUGAACUACUGCUAAGAUGAUAGUCCAAGGAGAUAGAAAUAUUCAUUAUUUGUCUCUCUACAAGCUCUACGGGGAACUGCAAGCACAAGAAUCCACUGUACUCAAAGAUUGUGCUGACUACGGAGGACCACUUGCUCUUAUAGCACAAGCUCCACACACUCAAUCAUACUCUCCCUCAUAUGACAAUCCUAUGCGGUCAUAUGAAGCUGACUAUGAGUAUGAUGAUGAAGAAGAAUUUCAGAAGGCUAUUGAUCUUUUUAGCCAACAGUUCAACCGGCUACCACCUCCUUCUUUUCGUAAGAAUCAGCAGUUCAACAAAACUUCAUUCAACCGCAAUUUCAACCCGCAGAAUAGCCACUCUCGAUAUCCCAAAAGCUCUCGCCCACCACCGCAACCUCAGACUAAUCAACCCAAAGAGGCACCAAAUCCCAUCAAUCCAACUGACUUUGGUACCUCUUCAGAAGAUAAAAAUGAUGUUGUAAUUUGCCACAAAUGCAACAAGCAUAACCAUUUUGAAAAAGACUGCAAGGCUAACAUAGUGAAAGACGGAGCAUUCUACCUUAGAAUGGAUCAAGAAUUGGAAGAAAAGGAAAAGGCAAGGGAAUACAUAGCCCAUGUAAAAAGAGACCAUCUAGUUUGGUCAUCCGGAGAUGAAGACGAAGACAUCAGCAACAUCAAAGGAAAAGGCAAGAUCUGCAUGCUGGCAACUGCGGAUGACGAUGGGUCUACAAAGCUGGAAAAGAACUACUGCUACAUGGCAAAGGAUGGAACUCUAAGCAUCGUCGAACAGGUAAAACUUAUGAUUCAAACUCUAAACUAUAACAUGCAUGACUGUCAACCCUUCAUAGACAAUCUUAAUGACACAUGUGCUGCCAUCCUUACAGACUAUAACAAAUCCCUAGAUGAGAAGAACAUAGCGUCCCAAGAAAUGUUUCAUGUAAGAGGAUGACUGGAUAACAAAAGACUCAAUGUAGCUAUGUUAGAAAAGGACUUAGAGUUAGAAAAAGAUGCAAGAAUGUUGAGUGAAACACAACUAGAGAUAGCUUUGAACUAAAAAGAUUUAGCUCAGAGUGAUAUUGUACGUUUAAAUCUAUUAAUAUAAAAACUGUUCAAUGAAAGUGAAGCUAUUGAAAAUUGGUGAAUAAUGGAACCGUGGAUAAUACCUACAAUUAGGGUUGGUCCAAUGGAUAUCCUACCACAAAGGAUUCCUCACCCCGGUUUAACAAAGAUCGAGUUUAUGUACCUCCGGACCGAAGGUUUCAUUUCCCAGUCAAUGACAAAACCUUUCCCUAAGACAUCAUAACUCACUUCGGUAGACUUCAUAAUCUAAGUAAUAAUUGUGUCAUUGAGGAAAUUGUGCCUGAAGUUUCGGGUCACAAAAGUGAUCAAAUUCCUAUCUGUGGCACAAUCUAUCCUAAUUCUCAGACUUCAUCAGUUGUUGAUGGGGAAAUUGUCAUAGAGAGUCCCGAAUUCUCAAAGGACUUCCCAUCUCUGCCCUCAAACCGCAGUGUCCCUCACUGCAGUCAUGAGCCACAUAAGUCCCACAUCAAUCCCACAGAAGUCCCAACUCAGUCUUAUUAUGCGGUAGUUAAAUCAUCCUUACCGUAGUCCUCAGUCAAAAGCUUUGUGACUCUUCAGCCAAUUCAUCAUGAAUUACCCAUAGAAAACUUUGAAGUGUGUCAAUGCUCUCAAAGCCCUAAAUCUUCUAGUUCGGAUGAAUCUAGCCCUCGUUUUCAAAAAAUUUCAAAGGUUUCCAGGAAACUGCAACUGAACACCAAUGACCGCGGUUCUCCAAAAAUCUUAUUCAAAGAGGAAAUUCGAUCCCAAGGCAAAAAUCGGCAAAUCUUUUCAAAAAAAAAGCAUGUCAGGUUUCCAAAAUCCAAGAGUCCAGAAAAGUUUGUUUUCUCUCACUAUUUUUCAAAAAACUCUCCAAUCAAGAAAACAUACAAAAAGGAAUGUACAGUCGCAGCAGCCAUCUCAAAAACAUCUGACAUAACCCAAAAGAGAGUACAGUCUUUUCGAAGCAAUGGUUUUCAAAUCUAUUACUUAGAUGACCCAAAAUGGAAAGGGAUUUUACCAACUCCAACACUUUUAAUAUCACAUCAAAGUUUUCAGAAAUCACUCUCCAAGAAAUCCUUCCGUGCUCUCACAUCUGCAAACCUUCCUUUUUCAAAGAUCAACAACCCUCAGACUGCUCAAAAGUCUACCUCGUCAUUUAGACCGCUGACCAAACAAAGUGUCAGGGUAAAAGACAAAAUGCCAGCAUGUCAGUGUCAGUGUAGUUGUCAAAAUGGUUCAUCUCAUGUCAAAUCUGGUUCUUUUCAAAAACCUCGUAACUUUUCCAAAUCUCACAACACUCCAAAAACACACAAACACCCAGGACUAGGCAUAAAAGUUGACACGAAACCUGUCCCUGCAACCUUGGUUCAUGCAUAAAUCAGAAAGUCAUCUUUUGUCACAGGCUCCAAACUAGUUUGGAUGCUUAAACUAACCGUGUAAUUCUUAGGCUUUGUGUAAGGAGGAACAAGAAGAAGAAUGGUUAAUCGACAGUGCCUGCUCCUUGCACAUGAAUGGAAGGUUAGAAUACCUUCGGGAUUUCAAACCAAUUUGCAACGGUGGAAAUGUCACCUUCGGCAACAAUGCCAAUGGGACAAUCCGAGGUUAUGGUGUUCUUACUACGGGAACUUCUCUAUUCUAAAGGUUGCUUUUGUAGAAAGCCUUAAACACAAUCUCAUUAGUGUAGGCCAACUAUGUAAAGCAGGCCACAGGGUUGAACUUGACAAUGAAUAUUGCUAUGUAAUCACCAGCGAUAGAAGCACUUGUUUGAUCAAAUCCAAGUCCGAAGGAACCAUGUAUCCUCUGGACGUCUCUCUGAUCAUUGGGAAACCGCAACUAUGCUUUCUAUCCAAAGCAGUAUCCGAAGUCAGUUGGCUAUGGCACCGCAAGCUAGCUCAUCUUAACUUCAGAUACAUCAACAAUCUGGUCACCGGAGAACUCGUCUGAGGUCUUCCAAUCCUCAAGUUCAGCAAUGAUACACUCUGUCAUGCAUGUAAAUGUGGCAAGCAUUCCAAAGCAAGUCAUCCAAUGGUUAUUGAUUCUUCAAUUUCUGAACCACUGGAACUCCUACACAUUGAUCUCUACGGUCCAUCUACCGUAUCCAGUCUUCAUCACAAGAAAUACAUACUGGUUAUAGUUGAUGACUUCACUCGUUUCACCUGGGUCUUUUUCUUAAUACUCAAAUCCGAAACUCCGCAGAUACUGAUCAAUUUUAUCAAAGAAAUUGAACUUCAGAUCAAGUUACCAGUACGACGCAUCCGAAGUGAUAAUGGAACUGAGUUUAUCAACCAUCUCUGAAAUAGUUUCUUAGUUUCAAAGGGCACCACUCAUAAUUUCUCAGCUCCCUACACACCGCAACAAAAUGGGGGUAGUAGAGCGAAGAAACCGAACUCUGGUAGAAGCAAUCAGAUCUAGGCUCAACUUCACACACCUUCCUCUCUACUUCUGGGCCGAAGCAGUGGCCACGACUUGCUUUGUUCAAAACCGAAGCAUCAUCUGCAAGCGUCUCAGUAAAAAUAUGUAUGAGGGCCUAAACAACCGCAAGCCAAAUGUUCGAUUCUUCCAUAUUUUUGGAUGUAGAUGUUUUGUGAUCAACAACACAGAUCAUCUUAACAAGUUCGCACCAAAUUCUGAUGAAUGCAUCUUUCUUGGAUACUCAACAAACAAAGUUGCUUAUAGGGUUCUUAUCAGACGCACAAGGAUAAUAGUUGAAAGCUUCGAUGUCAAGUUCGAUGACUAUUACGUCCACAACACCGCUCCAUCAACCGAAACCAAAGCAAUUGUAGAAAGUGAUAUUCCUGAUUCUUCAGGGACACUAAACAUAGUUGAAGUAAAUGAUGACGAUCUCUUCGACCCUGUAGAAACAGCCAAGUUAUCCAAAGUUCUUGUGUCCCCAUAAGCUCAACAACAGUAUGCUGACGUAUCUGGUCCAUCUCUAUCCGAUGUAGUAUCACUCGAUACUUCCACCUUGCCGGUUAAGGGGGAAAGCUCUACUCUGGAUCAAGUGACAACCAUCGAUGUUCCAGUACUUGAUAUAGCUCCAGUUCCUAUCCGCAGAGAAUCCUUACCAUCGAAUGUCUCUUUUGACUCAGAUGAUGAAAACAUAAAGAACAUCGACACAUGAACAGACUCGAAGAUUAUCACACUUCCAAUAAUCCAGGGGGAACCUUCUCAAGUUCAAAGGGAACUUCUGUCCGCAAUCUAUGGGGAACCUUCACCAUCUGCCCAAGAAAACUUUGAGACUACCUUUCCAAUUCAAGACAAUUCAGCGGGCUGCUCACAUGUCUAGGGGGAACUACCGUUCCCAACCGCAGAUUCUUCAGAUAUCGUAGACAUUCCUUCCACUGCAGCCGCUGACCACCUUCAACCCCAUCUACACGUAUGGGCAAAGGACCAUCCACCAUGUCAAAUCAUCGGAAACCCAUCAGCAGGCAUUCAAACUCGAUCUUCACAAGACUUAUCCGAUAAUUGUCACUAUGCAACAUUCAUGUCUUUGGUCGAACCCAGAACCAUCAAAGAAGCAUUAAAGGAGCCUGAUUGGAUAGCAGCAAUGCAAGAAGAACUGGAAGAGUUCAAAAGGAACAACGUAUGGCAACUUGUUCCGAAGCCAAAAGGUCACACUAUUGUUGGUACCAGAUGGGUGUACAAGAACAAACAGGAAGAAUCCGGUGCGGUAGUCCGAAACAAGGCAAGAUUAGUCGCUAAAGGGUAUAGUCAACUUGAAGGUGUUGAUUAUGAUUAAACAUACGCCCCAAUAGCCAGAAUGGAAGCCAUACGCAUCUUCUUAGCGUAUGUUGCUCACAAGAAUAUCAAGGUACAUCAAAUGGAUGUAAAAAGUGCUUUCUUGAAUGGUGAAUUGAAAGAGGAGGUUUAUUUUCAGCAACCUCCGGGCUUCGAAUGUCUUGAAUUCCUAGAUUACUGCUACAAGCUUGAAAAAGCAGUCUACGGUCUAAAACAAGCACCUAGAGCAUGGUACGAGACUCUCUCUGAAUUUCUUGUCUCUUCCGGAUACAAAAGAGGAAUGAUUGAUCCCACCUUAUUUAGAAAGGCAAAUGGUAAUCACCUUAUGCUUGUACAAAUGUAUGUGGAUGAUAUCAUCUUCGGAUCGACUGAUCAGGGGAUGGUGGAUGAAUUUUCAAAGCUCAUGACCAACAAGUUCCAAAUGAGCAUGAAUAGAGAGAUUAAUUUCUUUCUAGGACUUAAAGUGAAACAAGUCCCUCAAGGGAUAUUCAUCCAUCAGGAGAAAUAUACCUCUGAACUACUGAAGAAAUAUUGAAUGGACAACUGUUCUUCUGUCAAGGUACCCAUGGCCUUCGGAUAUAAGAUAUUUGUUGAUCCUUCCGGCGAAUCAGUGGAUCACAAGACUUAUAGAGGAAUAAUUGGAUCAUUGAUGUACCUCACUGCAAGCCGACCAUACAUUGUCUUUGCAACAGGAGUAUGCGCAAGAUACCAAGCCGAUCCCAAAGUAUCUCACAUGACCGCAGCCAAGCAGAUUCUUAGAUACUUAAAAGGCAGCAAAUCUCUAGGCCUCUGGUAUCCCGCAGGGAACAACUUCAGCCUUGAAGCAUUUACUGAUGUGGAUCAUGCUGGAUGUAGAUUGGUCAGAAAAAGCACUUUCGGUGGAUGUCAAUUUCUUGGUGGAACACUCGUCAGCUGGUCAUCAAGGAAACAAAGAUGUGUCUCACUGUCCACCACAGAAGCUGAAUAUGUGGCAGCAGCCAGUUGUUGCUCACAAGUCUUGUGGAUGAAAACGCAACUUAUGGACUUCGGAUACAGAAUGCUGCGGAUACCGAUUUACUGUGACUUAGAGAGUGCCAUAGCGAUUUCUCAUAAUCCUAUUCAUCACUCCAAAACAAAGCAUAUUGAACUACGGUACCACUUCAUUAAAGAUCACAUCCUGAAAGGUAACAUUGAACUAAUUUUUGUCCAUACUCAUGAAGGGAUUGCUGAUGUAUUCACAAAGGCACUUGACUCUACAAAAUUCAACAGUUUCUUACAAAUGUUAGGAAUGAUGAAUCCGGAUUCGCAAUUCUUCUUGAAUUGAUAGGUACCGCAGACCACUCAUGGUCACCAUUGCGGUCCUAACUGAAUAUAUCUAUCUUACACAGUUAUGGCAUAUCUUGUAUACUGCAGUACAUCUCUUGUACCGUAAUAUACGGUAUAUACCGCAACUAUAUAUUAUACUUAUAUUUCAAGGGUUCUUUUUUUUUGUUAUUUCUGAUUAUGUUCCAAGUGUUCUUCUCAGCUUCUCCUACUGCAGUUAUCUAACUACUCAUCCGCAAUGAGGUCUCAAUCCGCAAUGAAGUUUUAAACCGCAAUCUCAGUGAUUGAACUUUCAACUACUUCAUAAACUCGUGAAACAAUGUGUGCUAUUUAAUGAUCCUUCAUUAAAUAAGAAAAACAUUCUCAAAAAUAUUCGUUUUGUCGCAUAUGAUUGUUUCAACUUCUUUUUUCAAAUAAACCUUUUGUUAGACCUAUUUUAGGUGUGAUGCCAAAAUAAAUCCGUUUCCCAUAAAAGAAAUCUUUUUGGAAAAUCUUUUCCUUAAACUGUCUUUUCCACUUACCCCAUAACGUCAAAUCCGUUACAAAUUCCUCCUUUAUUCAACGGUUUGUCACCCCCACCACACGUUCAGCAGACAUGGGGUAUCGAGUCUGACACUUCAUUAAAUGCUCCAUUUUGAAAUAAACAAAAAAUAAUAAUCUUUUGCAAAAACAAAUUUGUGGCAGAUAAUAUUUUUUUUAAUAUUUUUGUUUUUACCCUUAAUCACCUUUUAGGGUAAAAACAAUAACUUUUGGAAUCCGCCACUAUAAGCCUUUUUCCUUCUCCAAGAAAGCUUUACGCUCUCUGAUCUCUCAAGACGAACUUCAUCUUCUUCCCUCUUGCAACCCAAACUUUUUCUGCAAGUUCUUCAACUUCUUUUCAAAAUGGUGAAAUCUGGAAUCUCGAAGAAACAAUCGAAAGCAUCAGCCUCUGUUCAACCCACCGGUUCCGAUUCUGCUACUCGGAACCAAUCGCCUACCAUUGCAUCUAGCAAUUUUAGGGCAAUCUUCGAUGAUAACUCUUCAUACAAUGACUCGAUUCGCCUCAUGAUCAAGUUCAUCUCCAAUCAUCCUCUGUUUGGACCUUUCGACGCUUUCACUGACGUGGUUCCCAUCUCCACAUUGUUCAAGUGCGCCUUUUCUGUACAUCGGCCUCUCAACAACCUUCAAGAAGUUCAUCUGAACUUAGUCGAUGAUUCUUUGGUCAUCUUGACCAAAGACAAGUUUCUUAAUUCAAUCAACUUACUGGUUCAUCCCUCGAAAAAGUUCUUCUCACCCAGUGUCACAGAUAUCACCUCCACCUUGUAUCAAAUGGGAUACCAGAAGCAAAUCAAGGGCAUAGGAGAAUUCAAGAAGAACCAACUGCCUGCGGUAUGGAACUUUGUGUGCCACUAUGUGAUCCGCAACCUUUCAGGAAGAACCGAAGGCAUCGACAACAUGGGCCUCAAGCUUCUUGAGCUCGUAUGGAGCAUCUUCUCAGGCCACGAUGUUAACUACAGUCAAAUUCUUUGGGAUGAUCUUCUUCAUUAUAUCCCUAAGGAAAACCCAACCGAGCUUACCUUUGCAAGAUUUUGGGCUCUCUGCGUCUCAGACCUUCAUUCAGACGCCAAGGUCAGUAUGGGCAACGACAUCAACCUUUUCAUCACCCGCAAUCUCAAACGGUACAAUCCCUCUAAAGAUCAAUCUAUUUUUGGACCAAUCAGACGUUUACCCAUCCACAUUCUGACUACGGUGGGACUUGAGACCCAAAUUGUCACGGACCACAUCGAGGCUACGGAAGGUAUUGACCCAUAACUUUCUACCCCGCCUCUUCCUAGUCAAAACAUUUUAGUCUCAACCACACCCAAUCAACCAGAGUGAUCCGCAGUCCCAUCUUGUACUAAUCUCUCCAAUACCUCAAGGCUCAAGCAGCUAGUUUCUCCAAAGAAAGGCCCCCGCAGCAAAGGAAAAACACUUUCUACUGAUAAAACCCGUAGGAAACAAAAAGUAUCCAAGAAAGCCAAAGCUCCCAAGGAAACAGAACCCUCAAAGAAAAGAAAAAUCCAACAAGUUGUAUCAUCAGAAAGUAACUCUCAAUCCAAUCACUCUUCUGACGAUUUUGAUCCUAACUCUGCUCUUAUUUCCACUCUCAAGAAAAGGAAAACCAAAUCCACUAGCCAAAUGCAUGACCGGACCGAUACCGAAGUCUCUCAAAAGACUCUGGUAGUCCUUGGGGUCCCCGCAGACCCAUUCGCUUCUACCCUCUCCAUCCACUCUAACACAGAAAGUGUGCUAGUUUCAUCUCAACGUGGAGACUCACCCCCAACUAGAUCCCAAGAGGAUCUAAUUGGUUCUUCUCGCCCUAAGGUCUCCAGGGAUUCCAGACUACAUUUCUUUCAAGAAUCGGAGUUGCGCUCCAUUUUAGACUCUGUAAUCCAAACACUUACCCAACCGCACGGCGAUUCUUCAACCCAUGCCAGAACGGAGCCGAGGCCAAACUUGACCAUGGGUCAAGGAGACCAAGGAAGCUCCAGAAAUCCUACUCUACUUACAUCAAAUCCAGGUGGUUUAGCCACAGUGAGCACAAAUGUGCAAGGAUCUGUGAACCCGAGGGACACCUCGGUUCGUUUUCAAGGAUUUGACGAUGUCGAAUCAAAUGAUUCUUGGAGGCAUUACACUCCAGUCUCAGAAUCUGACAUUCAGAAAUAUGCCGCUUUCCAUAGGGCAUUUCAGACAAGAAAGGAUCAACAAACCAAGCAACUUCAACAGAAGCAACAGGAUAUUGAAGUCGUAGCUGUAACAUCCCGUUCAUUGAUUAAAUAAGUAGAUAAAGAUUUAUAAAUAGAUAAUAGUUCUAAAUUAAAUAAUAUUGAGCGGGGUGUUGGAGUUGUAGAGCAAAUUGAUAUAAUUAUGGAUUUCGAGGGUUAAAGUGUAAUUUCCGGGCCACUUUGUAAAUAUUUCUAGAGGCGAGGGCUGGUUGGUAAUUGUCAGAACUUCCAUUGUAAUGAAUUAUUAAUGAUAGGGGGUUGAUUGGUAAAUAUGGUAUUUAAAUUGAAAGAGAAAUUAUAGGGAGGGACUAGAAGCGGAUAUUAGAGAAAAGUUUGAAUAGGAGCACGAGAUUAAACUCCAUCCGUCCGUUUCCUUGCAUGGAGUGGAAAAUCCUAACCCUAAAGCAUGAGACCAGCCGCUACCCUCUCUACACUCAUCUUCCAGCCGCCGCCACCAUGUCAUCGGCGACUUCACCAUCGACACGCCACCAUUGCUUCUGACGCCAGGUGACGUGUGUAGUCGAGGAAAAACCCACCGAGACCGACGAUGUGACAGUGGGAAGACCGGACGAAGGGGUGCUGUUGGAUCCUGUUGUUGCGUUGCCACCAUCCGCCACCGGGACGCCAUCAUGGCUGCGGGACGACAUGAAAUCGUUGAGCGUCGCAGGCUCGCCGGAACUGUGAGGUGUGAUCAUGGCCUCCGUUCGUUGGGAAGAAAUCAGCCUCGGUCCCCUGCUGUGAUUACUUCCUUCCCCUCAGCUUAUUCUGUCACUAGGCUGCCGUCUCCAUCUCUUUUCCAAACAGUAGUCGCAACAGACCUUCUUCUCCUUCGACUGCAUUGUGCCGCCAUGAGGGUGGUCGUGUGCAGGUAUGGUUUUUCAAUGCUGGAUCAUGAUUUUUAGCAUGCUGGGUUGUGUUGGGGUAUUGUAAGCGAGUUUUUGGAUCGGAAAAAUCCUCCACCACCACCUCAAGGUGGUGGAUGCCACCCAUUUCUGCCUUCUGUCGUCCUUUUGCUGCCACCAACCACCGUGGGAGGUGGUUGUGUGCGUGUGUAUUUUAUGUGUGAGAUUGUUAUGCACUCUUUGGGCAGGAACCACCACCACCACCAUUGGAAAUGGUGGCUGUCGCCAGCCCGCUGCCAUGAGCCGCCAUGACCACCACUACCCGGGGUGAUAGUGGGUGGUGCUUGGCAUAGUGAACCCUAAUCGGCCCAAAUGCUUGAUCUGGGCUUGUUGGAUGGUUAUUGGGCUAGAAAGCCCUAAUUUUGGGUUUGUUGGUUUGGGCUUAUUGGGACCCGCAUUUGGACCAGUGGACUGAAGAUAUAACUCAUGGCAAUUCUAUUGUAUGAUGGCUUAGUGUAAUAAUGGACUUAAUGGGUUAAGUAAGAAACACUUAACCCUAAUUGUCAUUUUAUGUGAAAACCCUAAUUUUUGCUUAGGCCUUAAGUUGGGCCUUUUUAUUGGGCUUUGGUGUUUAGGCCAUAGUUGAGCCAUCCAAGAGCAGUCAUGUGGACUAGAAUAUUUUCAUGGGCUUUAGGGUAAGGCCCAUGUGAGGGUUUGGGCCUAAUUUGGAAAAUUGGGUCAUAGUUGGGCCAUUAGAGGACUUUUUGUGAACCCAUUCGGUAUUGGGCCUUGGUGGGCCCAUUGGGCUUGGGUUAUUUCUGGACCGGAUUGGUGGACCAUAUUUGGACCUAAUGUGUGAAGGUUUGGUCUUAGAUUCUAAUGGGGUUAAUUAUGGGUUUGACUCAGUGUUAAAAGCCGGAGUACAACAGCAGCAUUUAUAGGAUCUGUCUGCCAUCUGAGGUGAGUCUUCUCACUAUACUUACCCGUAUUGUAAUUUAUGUGUGACCGUAGGGUCUUAUUCGUGUUAUUGACCGAAGGGUCUUAAUUACAUUAUUGACCGGAGGGUCUUAGUACAUUGUAGACCGGAGGGUCUUUGUACAUUAUCGACCGGAGGGUCUUAUUUGUUUAUAACGUGUUAUGUGUUAUCGUGCAUACUGUCUUUGUGACUUAUGUUGUUAUAGUAAUUUGUGUAUAUGUUGAUCUUAUGUGUUUACUUGAGUUGUGCACUUGUCUGUGUGAUACAUGUAUGCUAUAUUAUGUGAUACUGAGACCGGACCGGAGGGUCCAACGAGCUGUGAGACCGGAGGGUCCUCACUGAGACCGGACUGGAGGGUCCAACGAGAUGUGAGACCGGAGGGUCCUCACUAAGACCGGACUAGAGGGUCCAAUGAGAUAUGGGACUGGAGGGUCCCACUGAGACACAUAGAACGGAGGGUCUUACUGAGUUAAAGCUUCGAGUGGCUAAUGUGUUGUAUGUAGUAUUUUUGGGAACUCACUAAGCUUCGUGCUUACCGUGUUAUGUGUUAUGUGUUUCAGGUACUUCUCAGGAUCACGGGAAGGCGCCGAUUUGAUUGUACACACGAGAUGGAGUUGUGUUCGAGGAUCCUGGAUUUUAUUUAAAUAAUUAUGAACACGUGUUUUUGAUAAUUGAUAUAGUGAGAUUUUUGUGAUAUGUGUUGUUGAUGUUUAUGUGAUUUUAAAAAUGAAAAUUUACGGUGUUACAGUAGCCAAAUACUGGGCCAACGCCAUCAGCAAUGCUAAUGUGGUUGCCACAAUCCUCAAAGUUCAGAACUGGAUGGAAGAAAUGGCUGAGACAAUCCGCAAAGCUCAGGCCAAUCCAGUUGGUGCAGGUACAUCUAAGCCCCCUCCAACCACUGCUGACAACAACUCUCAAGAGGAUGACACUGCAAUUGAAGUCAGUUCAGCACCAACCUUUGGCUUCGAUGACUUCAAUCCAAAUGAAGUCAAUCAAUCGGAACAGUCAGAAGAUGUUAUGAUGUUUUUCGAUGAAGAAGAAGAGUCUAGCGGAUCUCAGCACUCGACGUCAAAUCCCAAAGAAAAGAAGAAGAAAAAGAAACAUGCAGUCUCCCGAAAAGAAUUUCUAUCUCUACCAAACAAAGUAGAUCAGAUUCUGGCUGCAGUCAAAUCUUCUCAACCGCAAUCUGAAAGAUCAUCUGGCCCGCAGUCUCUCAUCGACCGCAUCGAAAGACUGGAAGCCAGAUAGCGUCUUGCUGUAGAAGGCAUCUCGCUCAAAGUAGAAAUCGGGAUCCGGGCUCUAGACAACAACCGCAAGGCUGAUCAUCAACACUUCAUUUCUACUGCUGAAAAGCUCAUCUCUGAAGUAUUCUCCAUCAAAUCGGGUCUUCAGACCAUCAUUAAAGACAAGUAUGCUCAGUUUCAGAAAGUUGUAGAAGAAACGCACAAUGCGUAUGAAUCCGCAAUCUCUGUUCUACAGUCCACAAUCAACAAUCUCCGCAGGUCUCUUUCCUCCAACUUUCAUGGUCCUGACAUCCUGCAACUCACCAAGGAGAUCCAUCGAUUGCUCUUCAACCCCGCAAUCCCAAACAACCAACAACUGGCUGAUGCUCUCAAAGCUCAGUUUAAUGAAGUUUGUGGAAAAAUCGACGGUCUUCGUCAAUGGCUUGAGGAAGUACCAGUGGCUCCUCCUUCAAGAGGGGGAAGUGAAGACUCAAAACAAAUCUCUCAUCAGCAUUCCCAUCCGCACUCACAUAGAAGAUCUCCCAUCAUCAAUAAAAAAGUUCCUACUCCUCCACCUUCACCGCAACCUUCUCCUCACAAGAGUCCAAGUAAUCAAUCUCCACCGUAACAACCACCAGUUCAAACUCCACCACAUUCUCCUAAAAGACCCGAGACUCCCCCUCACUUCAAAAACUUAGCUUCCCACAUGUCAUCAGAUCACUCAAAUGACUCCACCGCAACCAAACAAAAGAAAGCGGACUGGAGAUCAGCUAAAUUCGCUGAGAUGAUCUGGAGGGAAAAUGGAGUUGAUAUUACUAUGGAUGAAUCCCUCAUCAACUCAUGGGUCAAUCCGCACAAAAGAUUACAAGAUGACGAUUACAAGCCUAACCUCACAUACGUAGAACCCCCUAUUGACGGUUAUUGGGACAUUCCUAUCUCUCCCAAUGCAAAAUACUUUACUGUGUUUAAACCCAUUGACCGAAGUAUCCCCGAUGAUAAGAGGUUACCCUUAGAAUUUGAGAGGCUCAAUAGAUUUCAUGCCAAACAUGGGUCAUCUAUAGAGAAAAUCUGGUCAAAUGACAGACCCUCUGCAUUCAAGAAUUACAAGCCUCAAAAGUUCAUGAAAGCAGAGUUCAUCCAGUACACUUUCACCAGAAGAAGAUCAGACUAUGUCUGAACCCAAGCUGGCUUCCCUUGCAUGAACCUGAAAGAAAUCUUCCUGAUUGCAAAGGUAUUUCAAAAUAAGUCUGAAAAGCACCCAAGGAUGAAGACUGCUUUUGAAAGGGCUUGUACCUUUCUCAAAGAGACUGUGUGUGACUUCACAAGGAUCGAUGCUGAUAUCCACCCUACUCUUGCUCAGAAAUUCAACCUUCCUCCUCUUGAACCAUCUCCGGUCCUACCUGAACGUUUUCGAUAAAGAUCCAUUGGAGCAACCAACUUCCCAGAUCUUGGAGUCAUCUUCAAACGAUUAAAUGAUGAAACUAAAUACUUCAUCCCGAUGACUGUCAUGAAUCGUAUGACCCGGAAGCAGUUGGAGGUUAUUCAGGCUGCAGUCAACAAAUCCAAACAUACGAUUGCUGAAGUGAAGUUUGAGAUAUCAAGGAGGAUCGCAUGGCUCAAGGAAGUCAGGAAAUUCUGUUAGAUUCUUAUCAAGUUCCUCAAGCUCAACACUUGAAAGAAAAGUUGAAUAGGUCACUUACGGGGAAAUUGUUGAAACAUUAAGUGACCCUCUUAAACUAAAAAGAGAUCCGUAGUUACUCAUGGAACCACAGUCACCCUCUCCCUACAGUCAGAUCAACAACCGCAGUCUUUGUCAUCAGUUUCUUAGAUUCAGUCUUUUAUCUGUUCUUUGUAUGAGUACUUUCGUUUAUCCAUAGUGCCCUGCGUGGCAACUCAAACAAAUUAGGUUGUAUAUAAUCUUCAAGACUCUAUAAAUAGAGUUCUUUAUUUCUCAAUGAAAACACCUCUCUUACGCAUCUUAAAUUGUAUCACUUAUCUUUCUCUCUACUAUCUCAUCACAUAAAUAUAAUCGUAACUCCUUACAAUCUCUCUUCGGAGAAAGUCUUUCUAGACUUAAUCACUAAGUUUGAUCUCACUCACUAACUUGGUCUGACUGCAGUCCUUGUUAAGAAUCAACUUAAGUGUAUACUUGAUAUAUUACUUGUUGUCUUUUAUAUUUCCUUAUAUUUCCGCAACUAAUCAUCUAACUAUCUAACUCCAACUUAUAUUGUUGUUGAGCUUUAUGAUCCUUUGAGAUUAACUUUAAUUUCCUCAAUAUAAAACUUGUUCUAACGUUUGUUCAAGUGUGUCUCUCAAGUUUUUCUCUCAACGUAGACCAUCAUCAAGAAAACUAUAAUCCUGGCAGAGAAUUAGAUACACCCUACAUAGCAUCUCACACAUACAUUGAUGAAAACAAUCAAUAAGAGCAUGAAGGAAAUGAAUACAAUACAUACAUGUGGCAUCAACUGACAGAAAUCAAAUCCCAUUGACGUGUGACUGCAGUGCUUGGCUCCUCACCGCAGGAGCCUCCACUCUACCCUCGUGACCAUCAACAAUCCUAAGAGUGGCUGGAGCAGGUAUGCUCACUUCCCUUCUCAUUAACUCCAGACAAUCGACCUUCAUGUGGCCCACUUGGUUGCAGUGAAAACAUAACAAAAUUGAUUCUAGAGGGUACUCCCUACCGAGAUGACCCAUAUGACCGCAAAUGAAACAUCCCUUCCUUAUUUCCCAAAAUCCUCCCACAUGGGUCCUCCCACACUUGGCAGAAUGGCCCUGGCCCUACUGGCCUCCUAAACGCGAACCUUGAGUCCUGGGCCUCUUCACCUGGUCUACUACGGUUUGAAUCUGUUCUGCCUUCAUCUUCCCAAGGUGCUCCAAAUCAAUAUCCCACUAACAGGCUCCAAGAAUCACAUACUUCAGGGUCUUGCACCCUAACACGCUCACAAACUCUCAUGCCAACGACUAUACUAUAAUAGCUGGCACAACCUCCACCCUAAGCCGAGUCACAAACUCUUCCCAAGACAUAGUCUCCAACUCAGUAGGUGUAGUAGAUUGUGCAAUCAAUUUCCAAUAGCUCCUUUCCGUGUGAUACAAAAGAUCCAAGGCAAACUGAAUCUUGGCUCCUAUGGGAUAAGGACUAGUGAGGAAGACACCUUCCAUCUCCUCAAUCCAACGUGAACUCAAGACUUUGGUAGUCUUCCCAGCAAUUGGCCCUUCACCCGAGCCUGAACCGGAACCUGAACCUUCCUCAUGUGUGCUCAUCACCCUUCUGAAAAAAAAAACAUACACAUGAUCAAAACAUAUGCAAAUAAUCCUCAUCUACCGGUUUCCUAGAUUCUCUGUGACUCUCCUUGAGUCGAUUAUGGAUCUUGGGUUUUCAAUGGUACGGGCCCAAUACUACCUUCCACACCUCUCCAUACUUUCCUCAAGAAUCAUCUCGAAUCCUCUAAGUCAUGUUCUCAUGCUGGUGUACCAAGUACUCGCUAAGCAGUGCAUCUGAACCCGCUAAAAACACUACCUAGGCCCUCCAAGGUUCCCGACCUCACCCUGCCACCAGCUGCUGAAGAACUCCCAAUAAUGUCAGCUAACCACUUCAUGAAUAUAAUAACAUACCGUAAAGCUUAUAUAAUCCUUCAAGUAACAUGCUCAACCCUACAACGGUUAGAAUCAAAUGAGAGUUGCACAAUAGAGCCAAAUCCAUCACUCAAAGAUUAUUUAACCUUUGCAACAUGUGACUUGACAUAUUCACGUAAUAGUUAUCUCACAUCACCAAGAGUUCCACAAAGCACAAAGAAAGAAACAUUCGUGCCGUAACACUCCAAUCCAUAGUACCAACAAGGAACAUCCGAAACUCAAUUACUACAACUUCUGCUAGUAACUUCCACUCUCACUGUUGGUUGCCUUAUGCAUGCAAAUUAUACACAAUAUAGGAUCAAAUAGACUUUCGAAAAAAGACUCUACCCUAGGACCACAACCAAAUGAGGAACAGGAAAUAAGGCCAAAUCAGUAAUUAUAAGGCUAUAUGAUCCUAACUGUAUAUAAUUUAUAAAGCAUACACUUAACAAUUACUUCUACUAAUACAUAUUUCCAAAUCUAGCAUGAAAUUCCAUAAGCUCAAACAAUCAGGCAUAUAAAGGCAUCUCUCCUAACAUGGAAUCCUUUGUAGAUCCUUAUCAUUAAUCUAGCAUGCAAUUCUCAUAACAUAUAUCAUAACAAACAUGUAUGAGUAUUCUGGGAAUCACUUACUUGAGCUCGACCAAUUUCACGCAUCACACCCCCUUUUCUUAUAAAAAAAAUCAUUUUAUAAAAAAUUAUUUUCUUUCAGAAAGAUUACCACUUCCUCAAUUUGAGUUGAGACACACCCGAGAGUAUGCCCGAAUCCCUCAAACCAAGGCUCUGAUACCAACUUGUAACAUCCCAAAAAUUUCAAGGUAAAAAAUUCAUUUUUAAUUCAACCAUAAACACCAUUUAGUAUUACCAAACAUUCAAAAGUAUUUUAAGGUAAAAACAGUUAUCAGAGUACAAUCCCAAAAUCAUAAAGUUACGGAAACAUGAGUGGAUGCAGUGCAGUCAUGUCGGGCCCUUCCCUUUUGUACCGGAAGUACCUGAAACCAUAAACAAAAAACCAUAAGCACAAAGCUUAGUGAGUUUCUCCCAAAAUACCCCAUACCAUACAAACAUACAGCCAAACAUAUUUGGGUGCUUGCAAUCCCUUUCGAUCUAUUUCAACCGGAUACUAUCAAACAUAUCUAGGUGCUUGCAAUCCCCUUCGGUCUAUUUCAACCGGAUACUGUCAAGCAUAUCUGGGUGCAUGCAAUCUCCUUCAAUCUAUUUCAACCGGAUACUAUCAAGCAUAUCUGGGUGCUUGCAAUCCCCUUCGUUUUAUUUCAACUGGAUAUUGGGUCUAUUUCACCCCUACCCCUACCACAUAAUCUCAUAACAAAAGAAUCACAUAGAUAUCAAACAAUUAAAUGCAUAAGUCAUAACAAACAAUUAACACAAAGACAAUCAUUAUACUACACACAUAACUUAGUGGGCAUACAGUGGUGCCUUCGAUCCACCGAUAAAAUGAAGGAAAUCACCUCACACUGGUGAAUAUCUCAGAUCAAAGCUCGGAUUGCUGAUCCGGAAAAUCCCCGCGCUAACAUCAUCAAAUAAUACCCAAUUAAUAAUUGGUCCAUAACCCAUAGCUAGAAUCCUAGUCCGAUUGUCCAACACUCAAGGUAAAAGUCCAUUUUAUCCCUUUCCUUUAAUUGGCCCAAAAUCUGAGGCCCAAACCAAUAACACCAAAAAGCCCAAUAUGUUCCAACUUCCUUAUUGGGCCCAAAAGCCGAAAAUCAUAUCUCACGUCGUGACCAGUCCUUGGUCACGUCAUGAGAGCUCACCCGAUCAGAUCCCAACUCAACACGACUCAAACUAGCCAAAUUAGUGAAGGAAUAACACCUGAUCUGACCUCACGACGUGGGCAACCUAUCCUCACGUCAUAAGCCCCAAUAAGCUCAUCAGAAACGGGACCGACUGCUCCUCACAUCGUGAGAUCUUGCGUCUCACGUCGUGAGAACAAUCUGAUGCCAAAAAUCUAACCUUUAAGUCCUUAAUCCAUUAAGCCUUAAACUCUAACUUUCCAUAAGGUCUUGUAACCUCUUAAUACACUAGAUAGUCGAUGCUUUUAAGACAUAUUUCCAAUACAUGUAUAGAUCUCAUUUAGGCCCAAAGUUGAAGAAAAGACAUCCAACUUUCAUGAAAUACUCCAAAACUCAACCAUUUCCUAGAUUUCGACUCAGUGACUCUCCCAAGGCCCUUUUAACUCAUAAAGUUGCCAACUUUAUGGUUUUUAUUCACUCAACAUGCUCAAUCAAGAAGAAAAGUGGGACAAAACUUAGAUCUAGCCUUAUAUAACCAUAAAGGUAGGAGCUUUAUCACUUAUAAUGGUCCAUAAACAAUGUAAGGUAAUGUUGAUGAUGAUUCCUUGCAAGCCACAACACAACACCACCUGCUUCUUCUUUUUUCCUCCUUCUUCCAAUCCAAGAAAGCUCCAAAACCACCAAAGAUCAAGCAAGGAUUGGCACUAGGUUUUUUUUUAGGUGAAAGAGGGUUUGAGGCUGAUAAGAAACCCUAAAAUGAGGUUAGAGAUGCUUAAAUACGAAGGAGACCCAAAAAGAUCAUGGGCUUGGGCUGUAUCGCUCCUCACGUCGUGAGCUCUUAUUGCUCAUGUCGUGAGCUCGGUCUCAGACAAAAUCUUCAUGCAAUGCAUCUCACGUCGUGAGCCUCUAUGUUUCACGUCGUGAGGUUCAUUUUUCUCCAAAAUGAAACCUUUUGACCCCUUGAAACCCUAAUUCGAUUCGUCCUGGAAAAACGGGUGUUACUCCCUCUCUCUCUUUCUCUCUCUCUCUCUCUCUCUCUCUCUCUCUCUCUCUCUCCCUCUCUCUUUCUCUCUCUCUUUCUCUGCAUAACCUAUAUGUCACACUCCUAUUGUCUUGUCAAUUUUUUCAGCCACUUUGAUUUUCGACAAUAACCUUUUUUUUUUUUGAUAAAAAAAUUUCUUAAAAAACAAAGUUCUUAAAAUUUAAUUCUCUACAAAAUGAGUAUAAUUAUUAAAAAUUGAUUUUUUUUUUUAAUUUUAAAUUUAAAAAAAAAAACCCAUAUUUUUUUUUCCAAAAAUCAUGAAAAUUUAAGGGAAACUUCUACUCAAUAUACUAGCGAUUUUAUAAAAAGAAAAUUAAAAAUAAGUUUUUGAAGUGAUCAUAUUUUAAGUUUAAUAAAUACUAGUUUUUAUAAAAUAUAACAAUUUUUUAUACAAAUUCAAAAAAAAAAAAAAAAACAAAUGACAAAAUUAUUCCUAAUACUAUUUUAAUUAGUUUGUAAAACAAAAUUUUCAUAAAAUAUUAUUAUUUUAAGGAAACUUACAGUUUGUUUAAAUGAAUUGAACUUUUUAUAAAAAUAAAACAUGGAAAUUUUCUUUCUUCAAAUUAAAAAUCAUUUCAAAUAUUUAUUAUAUAUAAUAUAUUACGAACUUUUUGAAAAUAAAACUUAAAAAAUAAGGUUAUUUAGAUACUAAACUUUAUUUUAAAAGAUUUAUGUGGUUUUAAAAAAAUGUUGAAUAUAAUAUGAUCUAAAACGAAAAGAUUCAAAAUAUUUAUGAUUCAAAAAAGUUAUGAUUCAAACAUGUUUAUGGUCUUUAAUUUGUUAUGAUAUAAAAAUAUUUUUAUUCAAAUAUUUUAUGAUAUUAAUUAUAUAUUUUAUGAUUUAAAAUGUAUAGUGAUCUAAAAUUUAUCACGAACAAAAAUUGUAUUUAAUUGAAUAUAUUAUUGAUCCAAAAUCACGUGAUUAGAAAAUGAUAUCAUCCAAAUUACUAUGAUUGAAAAUAAAUUGAUAUAAAAUUUUAUGACACAAAAAUAAUAUAAUCCAAAAUUAAUAUAGCCAAAAAAUAUUAUAAUAUUUAAUAUCUUUAUGAUUCGAAACUUUCAUAAUUGUUAAACAUCAAAAACUUGAACCCGUAUUUAGUUCAAAAAAUUAAAAAAAAACACAAGUAACUUUAAAGAUGUACUAAAUGGACGAUGAAAACCUAGCAAAUCGAUUUAGAUGCAAAUCGAAAAAUUGGUUGUGAAAACAUACACAUACGAAUAAUGAUCCAUAUAAAGAUUGGUGAUUAAAAACCUAGAAACCGGUUGUGAAAACACACAAUAAUGAACAUACACAUACGAAUCUUGAUCAAGAUAUAGAUUCUUCAACGAAAACCUUGUAAUAGUAGGAGAAGAAAGGAACAAUUUCUAAAAAAUGAUGGGAGGCAUGAUUUUGAAUAUCGAUUUCCGGGUUGUUUCCAAUGCGAGGUUUAUUGAUCUCUAAUCCAUGUCGUUGUCGUUCAUGGCCACCAUGAAUGUGCAUAUGUCCGGUGACUUUCAUUAGUUGCCACUUUGAGUUUUCUAUUUCCUACAUAUGCCUUCAUCAGCAAUCGCUCAUGAGCUUUAUUUGUUUCCUUCAACUUUCUAGGUUUUCACUAACUUUGAGUUAUUACGAGGAAAUGUAAUGAUAUAGAAAGGGGGUGUAUGGUGGAUGGGUUAUUUGAAUAUGAGGUUUAUGUAAUCAAUUUCGAUUUUUGGUGUUGGGCAUAGAUAUCUUUGAUUCGGGUGUUUGUCGAUUUCAUAUUAGUUUUAAAACAAAAUUCGUUAGAGUGCUCUUCACUAGAAAAAGUAUUGGAGAUCGGUAUAAAGGUGAUGAACUUAGUAUGUGAAAAUAUAAGAGAGAGAGAGAUUAUUUAUUUGUUUUUAUUUUGUAAAUAUUAAAAUAUAUGUUAAAAAAUAUAAAAUAAAAAAAAUUCAAGUCAUUUUUAAAUUUAUCAAGGACUAAAACCACCAAAAAAAAAAAUCCAAUUACACUAAUAAUAUAAAUUAAAAUUUUUAUACUAGUAAAAAAAUACACAUGUUUUUACAAACCAUAAGACCAAAUUCGCACUUUAAUCUAUUUUUUAUGCAACAAAAUUUCCAAAUAUCAUUUUUUACACACGUCAACAGGUGUAUCUGAAUUUGAUAUACGAUAAGUCAAAAUUGGGUUUUUAUUUGACUUUUACAGAUAGCCGCCUCACCCGAAAAUCAAGAGCCCUUCUGAUCGGCGGCACUGCCGGCGGAGCCGUUAUUAGGUCUAGAUUUACUCCUCCAAUUCUCCUUCAAUAUCGAUUCAAUUAUUGUUUCUUCAUAGACGCCAUCAGCUCAUCACUGUGGAUCACCCCCUGUUCUCCUAACCCUAAUUGUAAUCUUAGGGUUUGCGAUUUGUGUUUCUCUUUUCUUGUAGGGGGUGAUUGUUGAACCAAUCCAAUCAUUUUUUGACAAAAAUGGUGAGGAGUUGCGUUCAAUCGUUGCUGAAACUGGUCAAUUCGUUCAUCGGAAUGUUAGGGAUCGCGAUGAUCAUUUACGGCUUGUGGAUGAUUAGGGCUUGGCAGCGGCAAAUGGACGGCUCAGAUUACCCUACUCCAUGGUACAACAUCUCUUUCACGUUUUCACCGAGAAAAAGCUUUUACUUAAUUGUUAAUUGAUUACAUUAUUUCUAUCUAAUCUAGUCAAACACAUUCAGUUCAUAAUUACGAUUCGAUUGGGUAUCAAACUCCCUGAUUUUAUGCUUAAUUUGAAUCAUAAUCGAAAAAAAAGAUGGAAGUGAUAUGAUUGCAAGAAUCUUGCUAUGUGGAAAACGAUGAAAAAGCUUUUCUUUUUCAAAAAGUCAGGCUGUUAAAUGCUAGCAUUUAUGUCAUUCUCAACUUUUAUUUAUGAGGAGGCUUCAUGGGGUCUGUAGAUUGUGGUCAGUUUUGUUGUACCUUUUUAAAAAAAAAUUUUAUUAAAGUUUGAUGAUUAAAUUUUAAAGUAUAUAUAACAUCCUAAAAAUGCGGAAAUAAUAACUUUAAAAAACUAAAUUUUAAUGACAUAACCAAAAGAUCCCCGAACAUGAGAGUGUCCUAACAAUAAGGAGUUGACAAUACAUUACAUAGGUUUUUUUUUUUCUUGGAAAAGACCUAAAUACCCUUUCUUUAUAACUUUAACAAUGUAGGUUCAUAUACGCCACGCUUGGACUUGGUGCAACUUUGUGUGUGAUCGCAUGCUCCGGUCACAUCGCCGCAGAGACCGCAAACGGAUGUUGCCUCUAUUGUGUAUCCUUAUUUUAACGUUACUCUAUAAAAAAAUUAUUUUUUCAGUAACCCUGAGCUGACCCACAGAACCUGUUCCAAAAACAUCAUCUCAGAUGUAAAUAAGUGGCCCGCCAGAUAGCUGACAUAAAAGUCCAGAGCCCACAUUGGAUAUAUAUGACAAUAGUGCAAUAGUUUUAGUAGAAAUGAAUAUUACGAUUAAUGGCCUUAACAUGAAUGUAGUAUUUGGUCUUUAUCUUUUUGCUUUUGAUGGUGGAAGGUGCGGUCACAACGGAUGUAUUUCUAAACCGGAAUUGGGAAGAGGUACUUUCUAGUGACGAAAGCUUUACAGUUCUUUACCCAUAAUAGCAAUGUACUUACAUUUAUUAUUUUCUUUAUAUAAUAUUAUUAUUUUCAUGAUUUCAGGACUUUCCGAAAGAUCCAAGUGGGAAUUUCCAUGAGUUUAGGGAUUUUAUUAAGGAGAAUUUCGAUAUAUGCAAAUGGGUCGGCUUGUCCAUUCUUGGUGCUCAGGUUCGUGUGUUGACGUCAUCUAAAAAUAUUUGCGGCGUUUAGUUUGUUAAAUAUACCGAAAUAUUUUUUAAUUUUUUUUUUAGAACGGUAAUUUAAAUAUUUUUAAUUUUUAUUUUUAUUAUAAUUAAUGGCAGGGGUUGUCUAUAUUUUUGGCACUCAUUCUCAAAGCUCUUGGGCCAUGGCCAUAUCAUGAAGUAAAUUAUGAUAGUGAUGAUUAUGCAACCAUUGAAGAUUAUCCACUUUUAAGAAAUUACCCAAAUCAACCCCGUUAUGUUGUUGGUGCUCCGGUCUAUGGCACUAGAUGAUUUUUGAUAUGGACAAUCAGGUAGCUUUUCAGUACAGUACAGUAUAAUUUUAUACUGUGUUUGACAUGUAUUGGACUGUAAUAUAUAUUGUUGUGACUUGUAAUGGAUAAAAAAAAAUAUAUAUAAAUAUUUUGGUAUUAUGGGUAAAAAAUAAAGUACUUCCAUCAUGGUUUUUAAAUUUGUAGGUUGUUACAUGGAAACAUGUUGUGGGAGCUUCGGGAAGAUUCGUUAUUUGGUUAAGUGUAAAACGAAAGAUGUUUUGUUCGUGGAAGGUUAAAUAGAAUUUAUUCAAACAUAUUUAGUGUAAAAUGCUGUUAAUUAUUUAUUAUAUAUAGGAAAUUAAAAUUGAGGUAGCAAUUAGCAUUCUGUUAUAUCAUGUUUUGUUCGUUUGAAAAAAGAGAAUUAGUUUUUUAAACAUGUGGGUUUAUUUUGCAUAAUUAGACAUCUGAAAAGUUAAAUUGAUAAAUUAUGAUCAUUUCGUGUGUAGGAGUUCAUUUUGAUUUCAAUUUUGUAUCGCCCUUAUAUAUGUUUUUAGGAGUUCAUUUUUAUUUCGAUUUUGUAUGUAUUAUAUAUUUCGGUUUUUGUGUAACUUUAUUGUUUUAUAAAUUCGUUUUUACAUAUUUAUUACAACUUUAUUUUGAACAGGUUCACAAUUCUGUUUUUUACAAAUUCGCUUUUUAGAAAAUUGUAAAAUCAUGUGUUGUAAAAAACUAAAAACAAAUUUGUAGAAAAAAGAAUCAUAAAAGAAUAUGUAAAAACGAAAUUGCAAAAAAAGAAUUUAUAAAAAACAUAUUUAUACAAACGGAUUGGUAAAAAUGAAUUCUAAAAAAUGUAUAAAAAGAAAGUUAAAAAUUUAAUACACUUGUUUUACUAAAAAUGAAUUUUAGAAAAUGUAUAAAAAUAAAUUAAAUAAUUAAUACAAAACAGUUUUACUGAAAACUAAAUUUUAUAUAAAAAAUGAAAUAUUAAAAAAUAGAUUAACUUUUUUUCAAAGCCGAGUAUAAAUAUGGUACGAAAAAUUAAAAUCUAGUAUAAGUUUGAUUUUUUUGGUAAAUAAGAAGUAUCUUGACAAAUGGUAUAUCGUUGGGUAUAAAUUGUAAUAUAUAGAAAGAAUGUGAUUGAAUUAUGUUAUGUUUGUAAAACUAAUGGAAAAAUUAAUUGACUGUUGGGAAGUUAGUGGUUGAAAAAAAUUUCGAUUGGUAAAACAAUGUUAUAAAAAUCAUUCGACGGUAGUUCGAAGGUAGACUGAUGUUAAGGGAUUAAUUGAUCUUGAUGCGGAUUAAUCGGAGACCAUAGAUUAUUAAUAAAAUAUUAAAAUUAAUCAAAGAUUAAUAUAUUUUAAGAAAAAUAAGUACUUCAGAAUAUGAAAAUAAGAGAAUUCGUAAUUUGAAAAUUUGAAAAUACCAAAAUAUGUACAUUUUGGUAUAAUAUUUGUAAUUUUGAAAAAUUUGGGUUAAAAAAAUUUAAUUUUUUCAAUUUUUUUGACUAUUUUUUUUUUCUUUUUUUGCCUUUUGUUGACCGAUUAAUCCUGCCUAGAUUGAUUAAUCCCGCCAAACCAGAUUAAUCCUUAAUUUCCAUCAAACACACUAUCGUAGUCAUUUGCAAAAUGCCAAAAAAUUGUACCCUUCAAGAAUAUUUCAUUUUACUUCUGCAUAGUAAAAAAUAUGAUUUUUUUUUUCUUUUAAAUUAAUGGUAAUACUUUAUUUCAUUACACAUUUUAUGAGAGUAUUACUACAUUAAAUAGUCCUAUGAUGCAUUUGCUUUUAUAUUUGACUAAAAAUUGCCUCAUUGCUGUUUGGUAGGGAACAGGUAAUUUUCAAAUUGUCUUUGCCAAAUUAAUAAGUUUCAAUGUUUGUUUUGCGGGGGAUUAAUCUGUAAUUUUUUUUAUUAGACUGACUAUUUUUAAAAAAAAUUUAAACCCAUGAAACAUUUGCUAUAAAAAAUAUUGACAAGGGGAACUUUUUCUUAAAUUGCAGGGAGAAUUCUGCAAUUUAUUUUCUACAAAUGGACUAAACAUGGCAGGAUACAAAAGUAUUAUGGUGAAAGUGUAAAACCCAAAAACUUAUUACACAUGGACAAUUUAAGUAAAAAAAAUACAUAAGGAACUUUUAUAUAAAAUACGAGGACAAUUUUUGUAAAUUAUUUUUCUACAUACAGACCAAACUUAUCAAAAAACUAAAGUAUUGUGGCACAUGAACAAUUUGGUAAUUUAUUUCCUACAAAGAGACCAAACGAUAACAUUAUAGCAAAUAUUUCAAACCUAAAAAGUAUACUAUUUAAACAAAAUGAACAAUUUCUGUAAGAAAAAAAAAACUGUAUAAGGAUCUUUUCUAUAAAUUACAUUGAUUGUUUUGUAAUUUAUUUUUUAAAUAGGAGCCAAUGGGCAUAUUAAAGUAUUACGGACUAAAAUAUAAAACCAUAAAAUAUACUAUUAAUAAGACACUUGCUUUUUUAUUAUAUAUAAUAAAAUAAUUCGUGCAUUUCCAAUAGUCCAAUCUUUUGAAAAAAAGAUGAAUUGUUGCGUCAAGUUAUACUUUUACUUUUUAGCAAUCAUAUACAUAGUAUACUUUGUUUCAAGUCUUUCUUUCUGAUUUUGCAAGUUGAGAAUUUAUUAUAUCAAUUUCGAUAAAUAAAUAGACAAAAUUUCCCUUUGUAUAUCUUAGUUCUUAUCACUCAAAUUUAUUCAUGGUCAAUUAACAAAGACACAAUCAAACACUAUAUGUCAUAUACGUCUUGAUUCAUCCCAAAGAACAAGAUGUAGAAGCAUGUCUUGUUUUUCUAAGAAAUAUAUNNNNNNNNNNNNNNNNNNNNNNNNNNNNNNNNNNNNNNNNNNUAUAUAUAUAUAUAUAUAUAUAACAUACCAUUUAAAAUUUGAUUUAAUUGAUUUAUUGUAUCAUUAACAGGUGUGCGAGAGACAUGUUAUUGGACACAAAAUUAGGCAAAAUUCCAUAGAAAUAGAAAGGUGAUUGAACACUUUAAAAAGGGAAGAUCGCAAUAUCGCAUAAGAAAAUCUUUAUGAAAGUUUGCUUUUUUUUUUUUUUUUUUUUUUUUUUUUUUUUUUUUUUUUUUUUUUUUUUUUUUUUUUUUUUCUUUUUUGUGGGGGGGGNUUUUUUUUUUUUUUUUUUUUUUUUUUUUUUUAAUCUUUUUUUUAGUCUUUCUUUCUUUUCUUUAGUCCCUUUGAUGGAGGAGGGGAUGUCUUUUCAUUAAAAGCAUGGUUCAGGUUGUUAGAUGCUUUGAUUUUGAUGGACAACCAUGUUAAGAAUAUCAAACCUUAAGUAUCGAGUCCUCUUUCUUAUAUGAUAGAUAUAAAGUACUAAAAUAAUCAAAAGAUAGCUUGAUAACGAAUAUAUAUUAAUUUUCAUAACAAAAGUUUAGUAAAUCUUUUUGAACCGAAAUAUAUUGCAAUUAAUAGGAGCCAGUAAAAGAAAUAUGUCACAAUGAAAAGAUAGAUAAACUUGCGUUAUACAACCAACCAAUCAAAUUACUUUGUACAAAUUGCUCCUACUAAAAAUCUAAAAAAAAAGCUUUGCGAGAUAACUUUAACAAAAAUUACUUUGUACUUCUGAAAACACCACAUCGCUCACAAAGAAGUAACAACGACCAUAUCAAACACAUCUUUUUGAACCAUAUUCAGAUUUGUAGUGCCCAACUACUUUAGCAAGUGUUACAAUAUGGCGAUUUGUAACCAAACAUCCUUAGUCAUAUUACAAGAAAUGAAUAAAUAAUCUCAUGUUUCGCUUGCAAAGUCGUAAAAAGGACAAAAAAUUGAAUUCACAUCAAUCAUUUUAUCCAUCAAACUUCAUUCUAGUAGGAAGAUGAUUUAGACACAACCUCCAAAACAAAAUGUUUGAUGGGAAUAUAAGAAUUUAAACUAGCAUGCAAUUUUAAUGUACAAAGUCGCACUAUCUAAACACGAUCUAGUUGAAGCUAUCGAGAAAGAACCAUUUGAAUCAAUGUUCCAUGCCCACGUAUCCAUCUGAUCCAAAAUAAAUACGAUUGAAUCAAGAGCUUCAUCUCAUUCUUAUGCAUAAGUUUGCCCCUCUCCAUUUAGCAAUCUUCGAAAAUAAUUAGGCUAAUCUUCCAACUUUAAACGAUAGCUAACCAACAGCAUUUUAUUCAAAUCUAAUGAAUAAACAUGAUUUUUUUUGUUAUUUAACGCCGUAUCCCCACUCAAAUAUCUUCUCGAAAAACAGUUUGAUUUCCAUUACACUUUUAGGCUACAAAACGAAUCCAAAUGUACCCCGUUACUAGCUAGAUUAUAAAUUUCUUUCAUAAUGUUACUCCAAAAACCAUUACUUUAAGCCUUGAAAGGAUAUUCAUGUAAGCACCUCAGCACUUCUCAUAAUAAUAAUAAAUUCUUUCAUAUCCCUCUUAAAUCCUUUCAUCCGAUAUCCGGUGGCACUACCUAUACCUAUUGUAACAAAUAAGUCUUCAAUCAUAGAGAUAACAUGUUCUUUAGUUCGAGAAUUAAAAGAAGAAAAGGAGCAUGCCAAUCAUCUUUUUUAAACUCACCUAAGGUGGAAUGUUUCCCCUAUAGUGAUCACUAUAAUAGGUUUUAACAUCAGAUUUCAAUCGUCUUGGCCUAAAAAAACUUCAACACUUGUUGGAAUAUGUUUCCCAACAAUUGUAACAACGUUCGGCUAUGACUGAAACACCUCUCAUAUGAGCUAUUUGAAAUAACUUUUUCUCAAUUAAUAAACAUAAUAUUUCAAAGUCUAAGUGUGGAAUAAGGUCCCAACAUCAUUAUGUAAAUCGAUUUAGUAGUUUGAUAAUUUUAGAAAAACACGAGGGUGCAUCGGUUACAUCAAUAUACAAGUUAAGUCAAGAAGUUCUAAAUAACAUAAGUAGUAUUCUAAAUGUCUAAUGCAUCUCCCACCUCUAAUCUUUCUUAAACUUCCUAAUUUGAAUACAUAUCAAAAUAUGUACAUUAGGCUUGGAAAGACUAAUGAGCAUUAUCGGGGUUCUAUAUUAUUGAAUGAAAGGAACUUUCACUUUCCAUACACAAUGUAAAUCCCAAAAACAUUUUCAAUACAUAGAGUUAGUAUCAAUUUGUAUUUGGGGAAAUAAGCAUUUCAAAGACAAUAACACCACUUACAACACGAGGCAACUUAUCAUGUAAUGUCUGUUUUUCGAUAAGUUAUUUAUUAAUUUUAAUGGUUUAAUAUUGUGGGAUUUGGCUGGCUUCGUGAUACGACAAGGUGUUGGUCAUGGCGUGUGCCAUCUGUAUUAGUCGAGAUGCGACCUAAGUGGGUUUCAACGUGUGGCCACAAAAGCUUGAAACCCUAGGUAUCACUUUUUGGAGCAUAUUUAAAGGCUCUAACUUUUAGAGUUUCCUAAUUUCACCAGCCUCCAUAUCUUAAAGAACACUAAAAGCAAACCCUAGCCUUCUCUCAUCCCCUAGUGGUGUUUUAAUGCCUUGAGUGUGAAGUUUGAAGAAGGAGAAGAUGUCUUUACUGCUCUAGAAGCAAGAUCCAAAGAAGUUUCAACCUUCUCAUCAUCUUUUAGACCUUUGUAUGUUAUAAAGCUUCAAAAUUUAUGAUCAUUAUGUAUAGAUAUAGUGUUUUGGAGUUUGGGGAACUCUAAGGAUAUAGACUUAUUUGAAGAUCCUUUUUGGACACCUAGAGGUGAAAAUAUAUGAAAGACCCACACUUUCAUAAAUAUAAGCAUUAUUACUCCAAAACAUGCUGCAUGCAUAUUUAUAAACAAUAUUUUAAAUUAAUAGUUUGAUUACAAACGACUGGAUACAAACCGACUAAGUUUUAAGUAUAUUACAUAACUACCCAGGAUAUUAAAGUUUUAUACAAACGUAAACCCAAGUACAAAAGUAAUAGCGUAAACUAUUCUAAAUCUUCCGACAGUAUAUGACUAUACUGGUUACUUAUCUCCUGCAAUUGUUAAACAAUGAGAGGGUAAGCGGUGACACUUAGUGAGUUCAAUAAUAGAUACAAUAUAACGUUAUGCCACAUAUAUACUUCCAUAUGGCAGAAGCAAAGAGGAACAAGGAACAACAAAGGCAUAUGUGAAUCAUGCGACAAGAUUUCCAUAUCAAUCGAUGAUUUGAUUCAAUGAUAUAUAAUCAAUGAGACGUAAUAGUUUCAAUACUUGAUAUACAUCAAUAACGCUUUGGCCUAAAUGGCAUAGAAGACACAAUUUCUGAUUAAACAUUUUGGUAGAUUUCAGGCUUUUAGCCAUAUCUAACCUUCUACCAAUGCCAUAGAAUAGAGAUCAUUCUCAUACGAGACAUGCUCUACAUGGCCAGAGGCUACAUACCAGCCCUAUCUAACCUUCUGCCAAUGCCAUAGAAUAGAGAUCAUUCUCAUACGAGACAUGCUCUACAUGGCCAGAGGCUACAUAUCAGUACCACCGUGACUCUAAGUCCUUUCACUGAUCACAUGGUCAAAGGUAUAACUUUGCUACCAAUAUAGCAUGGAAUAACAACACGAGAUAAUAACACGGAAAAAGCACAUAUCACAUAUAACACAUAACAUACAAUUGUUCCUAUAUAUUGAACUCACCGUGAAAUAACCGGGGGGGGGGGGGGGGGGNUGUGAGGUGGGGGGGGGGGGGUGGGGGGGGGGGGGGGGGUUAAAGUAUAAAUUUGGGCAAUACUUCGACUCUAAAUAUGACUUUUUGUGACGAAAUCGGGGAUUUUUGCUGAAAACCGGCUUUACACGGGCAGAGUUUCGACUCGAAAUAUAAUUUUCUCGGGAACUUCGGAGUAUCGGGACUUGCUUCGGGUGUCGGGGAUGAUACCGCGACUUUAGGGGGGUUAAAAAUGGGCUAAAGAAGGUUUAGAGAGUAAGAGAUAUCAGAAUUAGCAAACAAAUCCCGAAGGCUUCGUUUUCUAUUUAUAGGGUGAAAUUUUGAUAUUCACGACAUGAACUAUGUAUGUUCACGUCGUGACUUCAAUCCUGGUCACCCCUAGGCUUGUUGUGUGUCUUCUAGGCUCGAAAUGUGUCGUUCAGCUAGUUCACAUCGUGAAUUCUAUGUUCACGUCGUGAACGCAAUCAGGUCUCGAAGUUUGUGCUCCGAACUUCAAAAAUCCAUAUCUUUCGCAAACGAGAUCCGUUUUUUACAUUCUUUACAUCCACGCGUAGGUGAAAUUAUGCUCUAGAACUUUCAUAUAGACUCCAUCGGCUAAUUUUGACUUUAUUUUUAAUAUUAUAUUUUUAACAGGUCGGGACAGGAAAAGUCCAUUAAUAAUUCAUAACUUCUUCAUCCGACGUUCGUUUUUGUCUGUCUUUUUACUGUUGUACUGCUAAUGAUGAGACCGUCGAUUCUCAUUUAGGUUGUGUCGGCUAAAAGUCACUCGAUCUUUAUUUCGAGUUUUUAGCUAUCUAACGCUAUUCUGAAACUUGAAAAAAUCAUAACUUCCUCAUACGAAGUCAGAUUUUGACGUUCUUUUUAUGAAAAUUUUCGGUUUAUCGAAUACUACGACUUUCAUUUAGAACAUAUAGGCUAAAAAUUAGUUUAUCAAAAACUCACUUUUUACAUCAUUUGGCGUCGUGCCGGUUCUGUCGCGGAUCUUCGAUUGGUCAUAACUUCUUCGUUAUAACUCGGACUUCGAUGAGGUUUUGGCCUAAAUGUUUCUAGCAAAAUUAUCUACAAAUUUCAGUAAUAAAAUUUUAUUUGUUUCAAAUUUUAUAUUUUUGUUAAAUUUCAAUAUUUGAUUUUUGAUUGGAAUCUCAUAAGACUUCCAAUACCUUCUGAGUGAUUCUAAACAUAGUUUUACUUUAAUUCUAGUAAAAACUAUCUGUUAGAACUCAAUACUCAAAACCAUAUAAUAUUUUAUUAUAUUAUUCACUUUUUAAAAUUACAUAACACGAUAACUGAACGUGUAUGUUACAAUAGAGUAUGCAUGAGCUCUCUUUGAACUAUGCAUGAAGCUUUAAGCCUUUUUGGGCUCAUGUUGGAUAUAGGAUUAGUGUUUGUCUUGUUAGAAUCUUGGAUGGGGAUAAAGUUGGAAGUUUUAUCCAUUGAGAACCUCAUUUGAAGGUUUCUAGAAAGUUAUGGUUUCUAUCUUAAAGGAUUAAACACUUAAUGGACUAAGUGUUUCUGCCCGGAAAGCGCAAUGCGGCCUAGGCAUGGUCACAGUGUGAAGGCUGGUUUGGCUUCAAUACUAUUUUAGACUUUGGUGGUCGUGACUCGACCUAAAGCUGGUUGCGGCGCGCCUAGCCGUUGACCAUUCAGUUUUUACCAUUUUGCCUUUUGGUUAAACUUUUAUGGAUAUGAGUAUUAGACUAAGGAUUGGCCUAUGUUUGGUAUUAGGCAGUUCGUGUUAGCGAUUUUGUUUCUAAAGAAUACUUUUGACAUUUUGGUUGCUAGAUUCAUGUGAGUUUUCUCAGUACCCUAUGUGUGACAUUAUAUGUCCUUUUGUGUGGUAGGAUGCAUAUGUGUAUGGAUAGUCUACUGAUAAAUGAUUACACUAGAAUAGUUUUUUGUUGUGGUAAUUGGAUGGUCAUAUGGGAAGAUAGUCGUGAGCCUUCAGGCCUAAUAGGAGGAUUUUUAGGAAUCUAAAGUUUAGUUGGGAUAAGGGCCCACUAAGGUGUUGAUUGUGAGUAAGCUGGGUGUCUAUACGUCAGCUAGGAUGUUGGUUGAGUGGCUACUGGCCCACUAAGGGUUUGACUGUGAGCUUAUUGUUGGUAUGCAUUGCAUGUAUGAUUGAACGUGUUGUAUGUCGGGAAACUCAAUAAGAUUUGUGCUUACAUUUUAAAUUUAAAUAUUUUUAGGUUGUUUUGGUAAGAAAGGAAGGGCGUAACACGACUUUACUCGCAUUGGUGUUUGACUAUGUUUUGAGACUUCCACUAAUUCUAUGACAUGCCUCUGAUUUGUUACUAUGUUGUUAUGAUAUUUCAACAAAUACAUUUUAUAUACUUUUUAAAAAGAUGGUUUUUGGUGGUCUAAUUCUUAUUUAUAUAACAAAAAUUUUAGUUGAAUAUUUGGGACGUUACAAGUUGUUAUCAAAGCUUUGGUUUGAGGUAUUUGGACGACAACGAGCGUGUAUAUGAAGUUAGACUAAGGUCCGCAAGAUUUUUCUAAAACUUCUUCAAAAAUAUUUUUUAUAAAAGAAGGAAAGAUGCAAUACAUACAUUCAUCUGGAACUUAAGAAGGAAAGUGGUUACCAAUAGGCCCAUAUUGUUUUGUAUGCUAUUUAUCCAGUUGACAGAUAUGCAUGCUAGAAUAUAGGCUAAGGAUAUGCUCUAAAAUGCAUGCUAGAUUGCCUGUUUGGGGAGGUGCCUUAAUUUCCUUAUAUGUUGGUUGUUAUUUUCCACUUGAAGUCUAUGUUAAUAUUGAUAUAUUGUUAAGUGAAUACUUUAGGGUUAUACUUAGUUAGAAUCAGAUAGGCUUAAAUUUCUUGAUUUGCGCUUAGUACAUGUUCCUUUUUUGGUUAUUGCCUUAGGGUAGGGUCAUUUCUUCAAAUUUCUAUCUCGUUCUUGACUACGUAUAACUGUGUAUUCAUAAGGCGACUCAUCGAUAGUAGCAAAAAAAUUGUUCGACAUGCGAGAGGUGGGGAUCCUAAUGAAUCUAGGAAGAUUAGUGGUAUGUACAUGUGUAGACAUAUAUGUGUACUGGCUGUAAGGGGCACUUGGAAACUUCGAUGCAAUUCUUGGAACAAGUACACAUAUGUGUGGAAAGUAAUACGGGCCUGUACUAUCGGGCUUGAAUACUUUAGGGUUAUACUUAGAUCAGAUAGGUUUAAAUUUCUUGAUUUGCGCUUAGUACAUGUUCCUUUUUUGGUUAUUGCCUUAGGGUAGGGUCAUUUCUUCAAAUUUCUAUCUCGUUCUUGACUACGUAUGACUGUGUAUUCAUAAGGCGACUCAUCGGUAGUAGCAAAAAAAAUUGUUCGGCAUGCGAGAGGUGGGGAUCCUAAUGAAUCUAGGAAGAUUAGUGGUAUGUACAUGUGUAGAAAUAUAUGUGUACUGGCUGUAAGGGGCACUUGGAAACUUCAAUGCAAUUCUUGGAACAAGUACACAUAUGUGUGGAAAGUAAUACGAGCCUGUACUAUCGGAAGCACAUGGUAUGUAUUGGAUCGAGAGGGGUCAUAAUGUUUAGAGGAGUUGGUAGAUAGGUAAUAGUAUAGGGAUAGUGUUAUGGUUAUGUUUGUGUUUACAUAAUGGUGGCUACUAGACAUGGAUAUGAUACUUCUGGAGCAGGUUUGAGUGAUGCAAACUCGUGUGAUUUGGUUGCUUCUGAGGUUUCUUGGGUCAUACUCGAGGAGUUACCAUAUAUGUUUUGUAGGAUAAAGGAUGAGUUGAUCACUAUAUAUGUUCAAUGAGCAUUAUGAGCCAGCGCAUGCAAUGGUAUCUGCUCUUAAAAUUUGGAGACAUUAUUUGCAUUGGUUAAGUAUAACUUCUACACAUAUAACAAGAGUUUGAAGUACCUUAUGAAUUAGCAAAAUUUGAAUAUGAGGUAACGGAAAUGGUUGGAUGUGGUGAAAGACUACAACUGUGAGGUACUUCAUCACCCGAGUAAAGCUAAUGUAUUUGCUGAUGCACUAAGUUGGAAAACGACUACUGUACCUCUCUAUGUAUUGUGUUUGAGGAUGAAAAUGGUAAAAUCUUUGUUAGAGAUGAUUGAAAGGGAAUAGACCGAGGCGGUCAAGGUUGAGAACCAGAAGAGAGAGAGUGGGUCAAGGUCCAAGUUUCUGCUUUGGUUAAAGAUAGUCGAGAUUUAUUGGCACAUUUUAUUUGGGUUUGGGUUAUGUUCAUUGGUGGGACUCAUCAUAUAUUGUUGGAAAAGGAACAUAAAUCUAAGUAUUUUGUCCAUCCUAGUGCGACCAAGAUGUAUAGAGACUUGGAAGAGGAUUACUAGUGGCCCUACAUGAAACAAGAUGUGACAUUCUAUGUUGAGAAAUUUUUAACUUUUUGGAUGGCCAAGGAUGAGCAUCAGAAUCUACAUGACAAGCUUCAACCAUUAAAGAUUCCACUGUGGAAGUGGGAGCAUAUUACUAUGGAUGUGAUCACUAUGUUAACAAAGACUACCAGGAAUAUGGAUGCUAUUUGGGUUGUUGAGGAUAUAUUGACCAAGCGUGCUCACUAUAUGAUGAUUUAGGAAAGUUUCUCAUUUGAGAAACUAGCUGAAAUUUAUGUCAAGGAGGUGAUUGUCCGUCAAGGUGUAUCAAUUUCAAUGAUUUCAAAUAGAGUCGUCAGGUUCAUUUCACAAUUUUGGAAGAGAUUUCAUGACGAUUUGGGUACCCAGUUACAUUUCAGCAUGACAUAUCAUUCUCAGAAGGAUGUCUAGAGUGAGAGGAUGAUACCAACAUUAGAGGAUAUCUUGUAGGCUUGUGCCAUUGACUUUGAUGGGAGUUGUGAUUCGUAUAUUCCAUUAGCAGAGUUCUCCUACAACAAUAAUUUCCAAUCGAGUAUUGGUAUGCCUCCAUUUGAGAUGUUGUAUGGGAGGACAUACAAGAACCUGGUAUGUUGGGGGAGACAGGUCAGAUAGUUAUGGGGAUCAGUGAUAUUAUGCUCAAGACUACCAUACUUAUUCAAAGAGUCUGUGAGAGACUGAAGACUACACAGAGCCGAUAGAAGAGUUAUGCUGAUAGGCGACGGUCUAAUUUGAAGUUUUCAGUUAGGGAUUAUAUUUUUCUUAAGGUGCCACCUUGGAAAGGGGUUACCCAGUUUCAGAAGCGGGGAAAGUUGGGCAUAAGGUAUAUUAGACGCUAUUGGGUCAUUAUACAUGUGGGGAAGGUGGCUUUUCGUUUGCAACUUCCGGAUGAGCUCAUUUAGACAACAUUUUUUAUGCUUCCUAGUUGAGGAAGUGUAUAUCAGACAAGACAACGGUGGUACCGUUGGAGGAUAUCCAUGUUGAUGAGAUAUUGAGUUAUAUGGAGAAGCCACUCACGGUAUUGGAAAGAAAUAUGAAGACCUUGCAAAACAAGGUGAUCAGGUUAGUGAAGGUGCAAUAGAGGCACAUGCAUAGUUCCGAGUGGACUUGGGAGCCCAAGAAAGAGAUUCACAGACACUAUCCAGAGUAGUUUGCGGAAGUGGAAUUCAGGGAAGAAAUACAAAUAAGUAGGGGAGAGUUGUAACAAUUGUUUCUUGGUAUGUAAUUUAUUUAUUUUAAUAGUUUAUGUACCGAUUGGUUCCGGUAUGAGUUUAUUCCUCCAAAUUGUUGAUUUUUCUUAUGGGACUUGGCGAGUUGAAAGCUUCAACUUGACGUGUUGAGCUGAAUUUGGCCGCAGGAAUUAAUUAACCAACAUGACGAUAUGAGGUGCCUCAACUCGGCAUGUUGGCGGAUAGGAAGGAAACCCUAAUUUUUAGGGUGUUGCACCCUAUUUAAAGGCCUUAAGUCCCUUGGCUGGCCUCCCUACCAGCUUUCUCUGUCCAGAAAACCCUAAAAGUGUGUAUCAUCAUCCUUGUGAGUGUGUGGGCUUGUGGAGGCCUUGAGUGUUGAUCUUUUUGUUCACUUUUGGAGAAGCUUUGAAGAUUGAAGGUGCAUAGCUUGGAGGGAAGACUUAGAUCAAGAAUCUCCCCACUUGUUGUAGUCUUUUGGAGGUAUCAAGUCUAUACCUUGCUUGUUAUUAUAUUAUAUCUCUUUGUUUUGGAGUUUUAUCUCUAUUUUGGGCUCAUGGUUGGAUUUUCCAAGAAGUUGAAUGUUCCAGGGCUUGUCAUGUUAGAUCUGCCCAUUUUAUGACCUUAUUUGGCUUAAAGUUGCAAGCUUUACUAGGCUCUUGGUCCCUUUCAUGAAAUAAGUUCCUUAUUUAGCCCUUCUUGAACCCUAGAGCUUCUUUUUAGCAAGAAUGGACGUAAAGUUGGAAACUUUACGUGAUUUUCCAGCCUUUGGAUGUUGGAUAUGCAUCUUGGGACUAUGUCAUUGAAGAUUGAGGACUUAAUGGGCCAAGCCUCACUCUAAUAAGUCUUGGGUUCGGGUUUGACUCAUUUUGGUGGUUCAUAAGGGUAAAGUUGGAAACUUUUCCCUUCCAGACAUCAUUUUGGUAGAGAUCUGUGAUUUGGAGCUCCUAGAUUCGAUGGAAACAACUUAAUGCAUUAAGCUCUUGGAUUUCGGGUUAACUCGGCGAGUUCAUUAGUAAACUCGACGAGUUGAUAAGAUUUUUCCCAAUCAUUGCAGAAAAUGGGGAAACACGACAAUUUAAAGAACAACUCGAUGUGUUGGGUCAACUUGGACCGUAGACUUUGACUUCUAACUUUAGGUUUUGACCAAGUUUAACCUAUAAGGGGUUUUGGGGCAUUUUGAGUGGUAUUUAAGGAAUUGUUUCUAUUUUAGGGCUUGUGUAGAGAUGAUAUUCAGAGUCAAGACCUAGUCAUCUAUCAUUCAACAUCCGAGGUGAGUAUUCUCACUACACUCAUGGGUUGAAGGCACCAAGGCAGGCCCAUUAUUUUAUAUGAGAUGCUAAGUAUUGGAGUAUGUAAUGGUUUGCUAUUUGAUCUAUGUAUGGACUUAUGUGAAGACCAUAGUGGGAUCCCAUGGCACUUGACAAGACCAUAGGGGGAGCCUAUGUCAUGGGGAUACAAUACCAUUGGGGUAGCCCAUUGCAUUCCAAUUGAAGACCAUAGAGGGAGUCCAUGGCAAACUUGUAUGUAUGUAUGCAUGACAUUAUGUGGUUAUGCGUUUUAUGUGUUUCGGGAAACUCACUAAGAGUAUGCUUACAAUUUUGUUGGAUGUUUCAGGUACUUCCAGCUCUAAGGGCAAGGGCCCAACUUGAUGGUGCGACAUGCAUCCUCCAGUAUUUCUGCAUUAGUUUUUGAUACUCUAAUUUUAAAAUGAUGUGGUUAUGUAAUGGGGUUUUGGAAAUAAUUGUGGUUGUAAUUUAUAGUUAAUUAAAUGAAAAUUUUUCUAUAAACAUUUGGUCUAUUACAGUUUAAUAUUAUGUGUUUUGGUUGACUUCGCUAUGCGACCAGGAGCUAGUUGCAACAUGUGCCAACUAUAUUAGUCAUGAAAGGACCUUAAGUGGGUCGUGAAGCAUGGCCACAACACAUCAAAACCCUAGUUCUCAGGUUUUGGACUCUAUUUAAAGGCUCUAAAUUCUAUGGUUUCCUCAUUUCACCAGCCUCUAUAACUUAUAGAACCCUAAAAGCAAACCCUAACUUCCUUUAAUCCCUUUAUGGCGUUAUAGUUCCUUGGGUGUGAAGUUUGAAGAAGGAGAAGGUGUCUUUAGUGCUAGAGAAGAAAUAUCCAUAGAUGUUUCAAAAUUAUCAUCAUCUUAUGGAUCUUUGUAAGUUACAAAGCUUCAACCUUUAUGAUUCCUAUUCAUAGAUAUAGUGUUUUGGAGUGUCUAUAUGUAUUUUGGUUUCAUUACUAAAUGUUCCUUGGAGUUUGGAAAACCCCAGGGUUAUAAAACUGUUUGAAGAUCAUUUAUAGUCACUAGGAGGUGAAAAGAGAGCAUGCAUGAUCUCUCUUUGAACCAUGUAAUAGUCAUUAACCCUUUUUGGGCUCCUUUUGGAUCCAGGGUUAGUGUUUGUCAAGUUUGAAGCUUGCUUAGGGAUAAAGUUAGAAACUUUAUCAAUUAAGAACCUCAUUUGAAGUUGUAUAGAAAGUUAUGGUUUAUGUUUUAAGGGAUUAAGAACUUAAUGCAAUAAGUAUUUGUACCCAGAAAGCAUGACGCGAAAAAGGCAUGGUCGCAACACAAAGGUUGGUCCGACUUUGUGACUAUUAUGGAUUUUAGUCGUUGCGACACGACCACGAACUGGUCGCAGUGCGCCCAUCCGUUGACAAUUGGCUCAUUGACCGAUUUGACUUUUGGUCAAACUUUGAUGGAUGCGAGUAUUAGACCGAGGAUUGGCCUCUAUUUGGUAUUAGGUGGCUCAUUCUAGCUGUUUUAUUUAUGGAAAGUACUUUUGAGAUUGUGGGUUCUAGAUUCAUGUGAGUUUCUCAAUAUACUAUGUGUGACCUUAUAUGUCCUUUGUUUCGUAGGAUGCCUCUGUUGAAAAGAGUGUCCAAAAUCAUUAAUUAUUGAUAAUAUUUCUAAUAAUACUAGGAUCCCUUUGAGCUUCCCUCAUGACCCACUUGAAAAAAAAAGAAUUUAGGAGGAAUUAGUUUAUUAUUUUUUCAUGGCUUGAUAAAUGAAUUAGAAAUUAUUUUAGAAUUAUUUGGGAAUUAAUUAAUUCAAAGGAUUGAAUGUUAGUUAAUUAAUGGUUAGUUAACUGGAAUAUUAUAGAAACCUUAAAGGGAUAGGGUAAAUUCCUUAAGAAUUAUCUACGAUUUGAGUUUUUUUGGGGAAAAGAAACUAAAGCCUAUAAAUAGGGUGUUAGGGGAUCACAACCUAAUUUCUCAUUCCCUUUGGAAAUUUUCGGCUCUCUCCCUCUUCUCUUUGAGGUGAUCGAUUUUCUUAACCCCUCUAGGGUUAGUAGAAGUUUUGUUCUAGCCUCUCUCAUAUUUUUUUUUUGCUCUAUGGUGUUCUUGGGUAUAAAAGAACAUAUGGAUUUUGGUUUGGGUCCUUUCAUCCAAGCAUGGUGGCAAGGAAAAGGUCUCAGGUAAAAAGAUCAUUAACAUCAAAAGAGGUAGGUACUUUCUGUCUCAUUCUUUUAGUAGUUGAAGUAAUUACAUGAAACUUUGAUGUUCUAGGUUGCAUGAACAAAUAGGAAUUAUAGUUAUCUUUUCGCUGCGCAUAAUAAUGUGUUUUAGAUGUAGUGUAACACUGUAAAUUUUCAAAUCAAAUUUUCAUUUUUAAAAUCACAUAAAUCCCUUUAUCACAUUUCUCAAAACCACAAUUGAUUAAACUAUCAAAACACAAAUCAACAAAUGUUUUAUAAUAUCCCAGAAUCCUCAAAACAUAAUCUUUAACUCGUGUGUACAAUCAAGCCGGCGCCUUCCCGCGAUCCUGAGAAGUACCUGAAACACAUAUCACACAACACGAUAAGCACGAAUCUUAGUGAGUUCCCCCAAAAUACUACAUACACAAAUAAUAAGCCACUCAUAGCUAUAGCUCAGUGUAGACCCUCUAGUCAUGUGUCUCAGUGAAGACCCUCUGAUCUCACAGCUCGGGUUGGACCCUCCAGUCUUGUAUCUUAGUGAAGACCCUUUGGUCCCACAACUCGGUUUGGACCCUCCGGUCCUAACUCAGUAAGCACAGAAUAAUAUAUAGCAUAAAUUACAAAGACAAAAAUGUAUAAUAUCACAUAACUCGGUAUAAGCACAUAGGACCCCCCAGUCCAUAACUCAAAUAAGACCCUCCGGUCACACAGUAUUACCACUCAGGUAAGUAUAGUGAGAAGAAUCACCUCGAAAGUAAGCAAGUAAGCCUCGUACCCCUCGAAUGGUCUAGACUCCGCCUACAUGUCAUAAUCAUCUCUAAUUAACACAUUAUAAUCUCAACUCUAAAAAGUUAGGAUAACCCCUUCUCUAACUCUUGGAAAGGGUGAAAGACCAUUUUACCGCUCCAUGGUCUCCAUAAUCCAUGUCUUGACCAAACCCUAAAAGUCAACGGAAGUAAAAACUCGAGUCAACAGUCUAUGUUGACCCAACUCGUCGAGUGUGUCUAUGCGACUCGUCGAGUUCCUUUGUUUUCUCUGAAGUGUCGGGAAAAUCCAACUCAACUCGUCAAGUUGUCCCACCAACUCGCCGAGUUGUAACACGUCCAGGAUAUCGGGGAAAACCCUAGCCAACUUGUCGAGUCGGCUCACCAACUCGUCAAGUCCCUUCAUUCCAUUUUCUCAUUCACACGAAUUUAAGCAGAACUAAGGCCUCAUACUCUAGAUCUAGCCUUCUAAGGCUGAAAUAUCACGUAAAGCUGCAAGCUUUAUGUCCAUGCAUGGCAUCUAAGGCUUAAAAUGCCAAAACAAGCUCUAUAGAGGGUUUAAUGCAUGGAAGCUUACCAAUAGCUUGAUAAAGCUCGGAUCUUUGGGCUCAUGGGACCUCAUAUUGUCCAGAUCUGGAGUCUCAACUCCUUGGCAAGCUCAAACAACUCAAGGACCAAAAGAUGGAUAAAAAAAGGCCCUAAACUCCUUAGAAAGAGAUCUAACAAAAGAAAUGAUCAAGGUGGUAGCUUUUUACCUCCAACAGAAGCUAGCACUGAAGAACACUGGAUCCAAAAGCCCCUUCUCGCUCCAAGCCUUGUUGCUCUUCAACAUGCUUCCAAAAGUGCACUAGAAUACCCAAAAUUAGCCUCUCUUUCUCUCAUACAAGGAUAUAGAUCGAUUAGGGUUUCUUUCAGAGAGAUACGGUGGUAAGGGAGGCGAAAAUGAAGGCUUAAGGUCCUUUAAAUAGGACACAAACCCUGAAAAUUAGGGUUUUCACACUCAGCUCCUACUCGUCGAGUUGGGGUCCUCCAACUUGUCGAGUGGACUCUAAAAAUCCUGUGGUCAUUAAACUCUCUACUCGGCGAGUUGGUGCCUCCAACUCGUCGAGUUGCUCUGACAACAUGAAUAAAAAUUAAUUAAAUAAUUUACCUGGGAUUUGGGAUGUUACAAUUCUCCCCUACUAGAAUCAGACUUCGCCCAUGAAGUCAUCCUCCGAAAACAACUCCGGGUACUGCUGCCGUAUCUCGCACUCUGGCUCCCAAGUCCACUUAGAUCUCUUCCGAUGCUGCCACUAAACCUGAACCAAGGGCACCUCUUUAUUCCUCAAGGCCUUCACAUUCCUAUCCAAGAUCGCUACCGACUUCUCAAUGUAGUUCAGGAGAUCAUGAACCUGAAUGUCCUCUAAAGGGACCACUGCCGUCUCAUCGGCUACACACUUCUUCAACUGGGACACGUGGAAGGUGUUAUGAAUCUGGCUCAACUCUGCAGGCAGUUCUAACCAAUAAGCUACAUUUCCUACUCGUGUGAUCACUCUAAAAGGACCGAUAUAUCUAUGACCCAACUUUCCCCCCUUCCUGAAUUGGAUCACCCCUUUCCAUGGGGAUACCUUCAGGAUCACAAAAACUCCGAACUGGAACUCUAGCUUGGAUCGUAGAUGGUCUGCGUAACUCUUCUGACGACUCUGAGCCGUCAGUAACCUCUGUCUGACCUGCUGGAUCUGCUCUGUCGUCUUGAGCACUAUCUCAGUGCUUCCUAUCACUCUUUGUCCUACCUCUCCCCAAUAGAUGGUAGCUUGGCACCUCCUCCCAUACAAAACCUUAAAAGGAGGCAUACCAAUACAAAAACAGUUACGCAUUUGGUUGUAAGUUAGACAUUUUAUUUAGUCUCCCACCUUAGAGUACUUACAAUUCACAAGAUAAACACGAAAAUUUGACAUAACAAGAUUACCCCCAACUAUUAGGUAGUACCUAUUCGUAAGCACUACAAGUUGAAUUUUGGGGAUGAAAUUCUUUCAAAGAGUGGAGAAUGUAACAAUUGCCAAAAUUGUCACUAAACGUCGAUUCCAAAACAUGACGAACAUCACAUAUAAAAAGAAAAAAUAGGUAAUAUUUGACAAUAUAUGACAUUUUCGUAUAAAAACAUAUAAGAAAAAAAUGUCAAAUCAUCCACAAACAAUAAAAAUAAGUGUGCAAAAAGUAGUGUUAUUUUAUAUUAACAAAAACAUAUUUUGAAAUUACACGUCUCCAUAAUUCUAAAAAUAUAAACUUCACAAAAAUCAGACUUCAUAUAGAGACAUUAUGAUUUUUCUAAAUUCUUAAUUUAAACCUAAAUACAAGAUCACGGGCAUAGAAAAUGCAAAAAAACGGAGUCCGAACGGGGACGUUAUGAUAUUUGUAAAAUCAUUUAGAGUACUCUCAUUAUAAAAAUAAUGGGCUAAAAUUAAUUCGGAAUUAGCCAAAACAAUCUAAAUGAAAGUUGUAGUACUUGUCGCUAGUUACACAUAGAUAUAUAGAACGUCGAAAAUGAAGCUCGUAUGCAAAAGUUAUGAAUUUUACAGAUGCAACGCGCAACACGAAUAGCCUUCGCAUCGCGUGGUCUGACACUCAGAUUCACGGCAAAUUUCACAGAUGUGCUCCCACAAGAAGCCGACACGUGUACUAUGGGAAUACAUGCAAACUAUUGCUUAUAUAAUUAUCACUCAUCUUAUUAUAAAUCAAUAUUUUAUAAGUAGUCGUUAUGCUACAUAAAUUUUGCAGAUAAUAUUAUGUCAAGUCGUUAUUGUGCCCAAAUAAUAUUAAUAGAUAGUUACUAUACAUUAUCAUUAAUCUGCCAAACUUUCAUAGAUAUCAUUGUAACUAGUUGUUACUCCACCUGACUUUUACGAAUAAGCAUUGUAACCGGUCGUUACUCUGCCCGUUUAUUCUUAGAGUAAAUAGAACUAUAUANNNNNNNNNNNNNNNNNNNNNNNNNNNNNNNNNNNNNNNNNNNNNNNNNNNNNNNNNNNNNNNNNNNNNNNNNNNNNNNNNNNNNNNNNNNNNNNNNNNNNNNNNNNNNNNNNNNNNNNNNNNNNNNNNNNNNNNNNNNNNNNNNNNNNNNNNNNNNNNNNNNNNNNNNNNNNNNNNNNNNNNNNNNNNNNNNNNNNNNNNNNNNNNNNNNNNNNNNNNNNNNNNNNNNNNNNNNNNNNNNNNNNNNNNNNNNNNNNNNNNNNNNNNNNNNNNNNNNNNNNNNNNNNNNNNNNNNNNNNNNNNNNNNNNNNNNNNNNNNNNNNNNNNNNNNNNNNNNNNNNNNNNNNNNNNNNNNNNNNNNNNNNNNNNNNNNNNNNNNNNNNNNNNNNNNNNNNNNNNNNNNNNNNNNNNNNNNNNNNNNNNNNNNNNNNNNNNNNNNNNNNNNNNNNNNNNNNNNNNNNNNNNNNNNNNNNNNNNNNNNNNNNNNNNNNNNNUUUGUAUAUUAGGCAGUUAUUAUAUAUAUAUAUAUAUAUAUAUAUAUAUAUAUAUAUAUAAAAAAACACUAGAAUCAUGUUUAUACUUUAAUGGGUAAACAAAAUAGAUGGUAAAUGAGACAAUAAUUCAUCACUUUAGCUAAUUAGUUUUAGCUAAAACCCCCAACUUGUAAUCGUUAAUCUUAAGUGGGCGGGAGAGUUAUGUAUAUAUUUAUACGGGAUAGACACUCCCACCUGCGGUUACUAGCUUCAACCACGACGGUCAAGUCGAAAGCGGGGAUAACUGUCUAAGAUUUUACAACAUCCGAUGAAGCGUCGUGUAGGGAUAUAAUAUUACGUCAAAUAGCUUGAAAAUGGGAACUCAUUAUGACAUUGUCCAAAAGCGUUAUAGGAAGUAAUAAUCAUAAAUUCCCUAAUGAUGGAACACUUAAUAACGAUAAUAAUAUACAUAUAUGCGAUAUUUAUACUACCGGUGACAACCAAAGAACGAAAGGGUAAAAUCAACUUCUGAGUUAAAAGCAUAUACUAAUCAUAUAGGUAGCCAUAAAUACCAAUAUACAUUUUAAAACACAAUUGUCAGUACUAAGUACCCUUUUAUAAAAGAUACCCUUGGUUAAAAGUGUGUCAACAUUGAAGUUAAAAAUACUUAAAAUUACUAAAUUAGUUAGUAUAAAUAGUAUUUUCAAAACAUAAUAUGUCAAACCUGUGAGCUCACCAACAUUAUGUUGAUGUUUUUUAAAACCGCAUGUAUUCUUAGGAAACCAAGAGAUUAAAGUUUGCACUCCCUGAAGCAACUAGUGAAUAAUGGGACUACUAGAAGUUGUUAUCCGUAUCAUAUGUUGUUAUGCCUAACUUUUAAGGCUCUAAUUGUUUAUAAAUUCUAGUACUUCAAAAGAUUUUUCAAUGUAAUAAUUAAUUCAUAAUGGAAGUGAUAUUUAUAUAUGUUAUACAUUGUUUUGUAUUGUUCAAUGCAUGUUCGAUACCUAUAAUCCAACGUCGAACGUCGCACAACCCGGCAUAUUUGCAGCCGUCUGGGGGUGUGACAAAUUUGAAUGUCACUGCAAAGCUCCUACAAUACCAUAGGGAUUCUACGAAUCACCACCUUAAAAAUACCUAGGUUUAUCGUUCACACAAGUUUUUGUUUGUUUGAAAGCUUUGAGCUCCGAUGGUCGAUAAUAGCCUAAUACGACUGAACCAAUGGCGGUAACAUUUUUUAUGAAGUUGAUUUGUAGGUCCCAAAAAACUAGAGAAAUAUAGACAUAGAGAGACGCAUGAGUCUUUGGUGUCAAUUUAUUGAUGGCAUAUCCCAAACACCUCUUAUCUUCAUAGAAUUUUGGUAUCGGAUCUGCUAAUUGAUUGAGAAAACAAGGGGUGGGUCUCGAUUUAUCUCUCUUCUUUGCUACCAAAUUACAAACAAGGAGACCCCCAAAAACCUAGUUCUUUCGUAUUUUUACAAAAACCUAGUUCUUUCGUAUUUUUACAAAAACCUAGUUCUUUCGUAUUUUUACAAAAGCCUUGUUUAUCACAUUUGAAGAUACUCCCUUUUGGAUUUGUAUAAGCUGAACAAAAAACAAGAUAAAGGUUGUGUUCUUAAUUUUGAGACAAAAACCAUGGGAAUUUCUUAAUCUUGAGACCAAAAACCACCGAAAUUUUUUGAUUUUGGACCUUCUGUGUAAUUCGAAAUUUUUUUGGACCCUAUGUACAGUUUUUUUUGCAAACCACAAUGACCAAAUUUGAAGUUUUCUUAAAAAAAAACAUAGUUUAUUUUCUGGCAUAUAUUAUCUCUUGUGGUAACGGUUUCAAUGUGGAGCUUUGUUCAUAGCAACUACUCUCAAUCCCUUUACAAUUUCAAAAGCAGGUUUGCUUCAGCAGUUUCAUCUCAGGCCCACAUGAACCCCACAAAGAUAGAGGCAAGACAAACCACAUGCAGUUUUAUAACAUUAUCAAAGUUGUUCAUUAUUAUACAAAAUAAUAUCUUCAGAUAUUUACAAGAAGAAAUACCUUGUUUUGCAUAAGAUAAUAACCAAAAGUAUAAACAACGGUUCAAAAACAAUCAGUUUCUUUUACUCUUAACUAAAUCCGGAGAUCAUAAGUAGGUUAUUAAUUCACAUUCGGGCAGAUAAUUACAAUCAUCUUGAGACUUCUGUUUAUGAAUGCAUGGCUGUAUAUAUGUCAUCUAAAACCUUUAAACAUGAUGAUAACCAAUCAAACUGUACAUUAACAUGUGCACUUAAUAUUAUAUAGUGUCCACUUUAUUUUUUGACGUGGACUACUUCAUCUUUUAUCAUGUACUUCAUAUAUAUAUAAUGUAAUGUAUACUCAACUAAAGUGCAUUCUAUGCUAUAUAAUGUGCAUAUUUUAGAUAUUUAACGUAUUCUGUGGUUAAUGUAUAUAUGAUAAUAUGAACAUAGCACAUAUCGUGGCUAUGAAGGCUGGUAUAAGAGAUUGGUUUUUGUGAGUAGAGUGAGUGGUCCACUUACGGACAAUAAAUAUACACAUUAUUCACAACCAAUUAAAGCUUUAUGACCCCUCCAUUUAAGUGCGUAUAGUGACCAUUGAGGGAGUGGUACCAUCAAUAUACAUUAAUUGUUCUUUUUGUUUUAAUGCCAGUUUUUCCAAAAAGAAAAUCCAGACAAUAUAUUUAGGUGUAAAGUAAAAUGUUGUUUCUUUACUAUUAAUGAAAAUCCAGUAUUUACAUCGAAGUAAAAAACAAAUAAGCUAUGAUAUUCGAAAGCCGAACAUUAUUUUCAAACGAGUUAUAUAAAAACAGAUAUUAAGUGAUCAUAAAUUAUAUUUUUCUUAUAAAUUCGAACGUACAUAAAAACGAUUAUUUAAAUUAUUUGAAAAGUUUUGCAAUAUACUAAAAGAGAAAUUUAGUAGUUAAUAUAUUCAACCAAUGAAUAAAUUUAUGUUUGAACAACCAACACCACUAUUUAAUAUUGUUUAAGAUUAUAUAUAUANNNNNNNNNNNNNNNNNNNNNNNNNNNNNNNNNNNNNNNNNNNNNNNNNNNNNNNNNNNNAGGUUCAAAUGUUUUUGACAACUAUUGUGUGCAUAAAUGCACCAAUAGGAAUUCAAGAAAAAAUAAAUACUUAAAUAAUCAAGAUAAGGCUAGAUAUGUAAUUUUGCAUAUAAAGUAAAUAAUAACCAAAAUUAAAUCCCUUGAUUUAUGGAUCAAAUCUCUUAAAUGAGACCACCGAUUGCCCCUUUUCUUUAAAAUAAUCGUCUACAACCUACAGAUCGCUACCAACUUCUCCUCUGUCGCCGUCUCUGUAUAUAAGGAACGAUCGAAUGAGAGCAAUCAAAAAUCAAGGAUACUAGUGAGGGUCAAACAGAUCCGCAAGGAGGGCUGAGAAAGGGACUUCGAUCCUCAUCAUCGACUUCAUUAGAUCGAGAAGGCAUCAGGCGAUUGAGGGAAGUCAAAUGGUGGUCCAGUGGUUCAGAAAUCGUGAUGGGAGGGAGGUGGAUAGGACGGCUGCAAAUUGAGGACGGACUGUUGAUCCUCGGCCAUCCAUCGUGGCUUCCCAUCUCGUUGUCAGCGAAAUAAGUUGGAAGAGAGAAGUAAGGCAGAUCAGUAGCUAGUAUGGGUGUUUGGCUUUGAACCUUUUGGUAUGCAUUCUCGUGGGCCAGUCUUUUGGGGCUUGCCUUGCACUUUCUGUUGCUGCACGCAAUCCUAAGAUUGAUAUUCUCUUAGUUUUGGCCAACUCAGGUGUGUGUGUGUGUGUGUUUCAACUGAUCAAAAUUUUCUUCUUUCCACCAUUACCAUAUGCGGUUAACAGUGGGUCACAGUUUAGUCCAUUGAUACCCUUGUUAGAAGCCAUGCCAAAGGAACUUGGUGCCAGCCUGCAUGAUAUGCUUAAUCUGAUCACAAGUAAUUUCUUGAAAGCUAUAUAUGUUUUUUUAGGGUCAUAAAAAGAUAAAGAUUGUGUAAAAAAUUAGUUAUUUUUCUUUUACCUACAAGCAUGGCUACACAACAAAGAGAUACAAGGCUCUCUGAGGCUCUUGUAGCAAUGUUCUCCGACCUUCCUAUAAGCUUUAAAUAAAACUUAACAGAUUUUGGCCGGUCUUCCUCUUAUUAUAUAUAUUGGAUAUAAUUAUUAACUUUAAGUGUUAGUUUUUUUAGAUAAUGAUAAUAGCUCUUUUUGUGCUAUAUUCAUGUGUAAUUGUGUUUGUGAAACAAAAAACAAGAAAUUUGAGAUGAACAAGAAUUGUGUUUACUAUGAUGAAAUACGUACAAGCCAAAAUUGGAAUGUAAAAACAGUCUGUACAUCUAUAAUAACAAAUGGGUCAAAACUAUGUUUUUGGCUAUUGCCUUAUUUCCAUAAAUCAAAUAUGUUGCUGGAAAUUAUGUUUAUAAGAAAACUAUUGCAAGUAAAUCAAAUAUGGUUUUUCGCUUGUUUAAUGAUAAUGCCUAACAAGUAUUUGUUGAAAUGCCUGAAAGAGAAUUUAAAUAAUUUAACCUUGUGGUAUGCAUUCUGUAAGAAUGACUAGCAACACAUGUUUUAUGUAAUUGUUUAAAAAGAUAAUUAAUUUGUCUGUGUAUUAUUUUGGUUCAAUUUGUGAUUUUUAGUUCCAAUUUCUAUUGUCCCUCGUUAUUAUAUAUUUGAAAUCUAAAAUUAUAUUAGCAGUAAAUACAAUACUUUUGAAUGUAUUCUAUGUAUUCUAUCAGAAUGUAUCUACCAGAAUAAAAUCGAUGUAUUUUGCCAGAAUGUAUUAUAUGUAUUCUGUCAUAUUUUAUGUAUUCUACCAGAAUAUAUUAAGUGAUAGUUAAUUGCAAGGAACAUGUUUUUAACAAUUAUUGGUUUUUGUUGUAUUUGUGAUAGGAAUGGAUGGAAGAAGGCGUUGAAGACCUAAUAGGAAUAACUUGAAGAAUAAAUAAAGUUUGAUCAUACUCACAAUUUAAGAAUAUUGUUAUUUUUUAAGAUUUUUAAUCUUUUUUGUUGAUAUUCUUUUAGAAUAUGUAUAAUUAUAUUAAAAUGUAUAAGGAUUUUAGUCUGUAAGAAUAUGUAUGAAUUUGUUUUUAAGUUCGGAUGUAUAAGAAUAUAUUAGAAUGUUGUUAUUUUUCAACAUCUGAUUCAAGAAUUUUGUUUUUCUUCAAUAAAUAUUUUAUUAGAAUAAAAUUCUGAAAAAACAUCAUUCUAACAGAAAUAUAUUUACUAGUUUAUGGUUAAAAUUCUAUCAUUCUGAUAGAAUAAAAUCAGAAUUUUAAUUUUAAAUUAAUUUAAAAUAUUCAGAUUUUUAAAAAUAAAGGAAUUAAUUAUCCCUAAAAAUCCGAAAAUUUCCUUUUUUAAUAUAGGCUAAUUGACUAAAAUGCCCUUAUGCUUAAAUUUGUGUGAUUAUAUGGUACAUGUUAUCCUAUUUUACUUAGGGCUGAACAUGGUACGAUACCAAUUGAUUUUUACUCAAACCAUGUACCAUACCAACUAUAGUUGGUAUAAUUUUUUUGCUACUAGUACCGUACCAACUAUACUUGGUAACAUCUUGUUUUGCUACCAACAAGUUUGGUUGGUACAAAUUGGUAAUGGUAUAUUACCAACUUUGAUCUAAUUUUCAAUUGUAAUACUUAAAGACCAGUCAUGAUAUGAGACACUUUUCUCGUCUAGUAAUAUAAAUUAGUAAACUAACUAUUCUAGUUGCUAAAAAAUUUUAAUAAGCAACUUUUCAGUUUUUUUAAUCUAAUGUGGUAAUAACUAUUGACUAAGUCUAAUGUCUAAUAUCAUAUUUUUAAAAUCAUAAACAGUAAACACUUGACAUUUAAAAAUACGAUUUCGACUAGAUAUAUAUACAUAUAUAUGAAUUGGUUGGUACGGUAAUACCCUGGUAUAUAAAAUUUAAUACCAGUACCAUACCAAGUUUACUGAAUUGGUACGGUACUACCAGCCAAACAUGUUGGCUACCAAAUAUAUUAGUAACCAACUUUCUUGGUUCGAUUGGUAACAUGUUGGUUGGUUCUCCAUGGUACAUAUUUGAUAGCCCUAAUUUUACUAUCAUAGACCCUCAGGUCAUGACUUUUGAUUAUAUUUCAUCCNNNNNNNNNNNNNNNNNNNNNNNNNNNNNNNNNNNNNNNNNNNNNNNNNNNNNNNNNNNNNNNNNNNNNNNNNNNNNNNNNNNNNNNNNNNNNNNNNNNNNNNNNNNNNNNNNNNNNNNNNNNNNNNNNNNNNNNNNNNNNNNNNNNNNNNNNNNNNNNNNNNNNNNNNNNNNNNNNNNNNNNNNNNNNNNNNNNNNNNNNNNNNNNNNNNNNNNNNNNNNNNNNNNNNNNNNNNNNNNNNNNNNNNNNNNNNNNNNNNNNNNNNNNNNNNNNNNNNNNNNNNNNNNNNNNNNNNNNNNNNNNNNNNNNNNNNNNNNNNNNNNNNNNNNNNNNNNNNUAUAUAUAUAUAUAUAUAUAUAUAUUUAGAGAGAAAAAAAAUAUUUAAUCAAAAACACCAUAAACUAUUGAAAAAUCGAGAAAAGAACUCAAGUGUUAAAUGAUAUUGAUAUAUAAUAUGAAAACACAAUUAUUACAAAGAGAGAUGAAACUAGACUUUUUUCAGAAACACCAAAUUUUCCAACGGCGUGAUCAAGAACAAUAACGGACAAACCAAAAUUCAUGGUCUUCUAAUAUAUUGUACCUGACAGAUAAAGGUGAACUGUAGCGACCCGGAUUUUCUAACGUCAAACCUAAAGCAUUAUCAUAGUUAUUUCUAAAAAUUUGCAUAAUUCUAUUAACUGAUAAAAAUAAAAACAUUUUAUAUCUUAGACAACAAUCACGGAUUCACAAUAAAUUAUCAACAUAAAAGAACAAUAAGGAAAUACAACUAAGAUAACAACCUUGUCUAAGUCCUUGUACUCAUGUCUUCCGUUCUAGAACCACGGUUGAUGUAACAUGAACCUACAAAACAUGAAAUAUAUCUACAACAUAAAACAAAAAUAUCCGGUGAGUUCUAUUCUUUCUAUGUUCAUGUUCAUCUACUCAUUCCAUCUUUCAUAUUCUAUCCUUUCUUGAUCUCGUUUAUCUCAUGCUCUAAAUUUUAAACGCUUAUUCUCAUGGCAUAGACUGCCAAUCUUUCUUAUCAUCACAUUUAUCUCUUUUCUUUUAUAUCUUAUGAUACCUUAGCAUUCUACUCUCUCAUUCUCACACUCUACACUCUACUUUUCUUCUCCAAUAGCACAUACUGCUAUUCUUCCCACUCAUCUAUCUCUUUUAUCUUUUUUGCCUCUUAACAAUUUGAUCUCAUGCUCUCCACAUAUUGUAUCGUUGCUUAACCUCUGUCUCUUCUAUUCUCUACUCUUAAUCUUCCCAUCUCCCUCCAUACUCUAUCUCAUCUCCUCUUUCCUCUACUCUUUUCUAUAAUAUAUGUAUACUCUUCUCUUGCUCUUAUUGCUUAAUCUUAUACUUCUCUUCUUGAUCGCUCACGAAUCCUUUGUCCUUCUCUUUCUGUCUUGAAUCCCUUCACGGAUUCCUUACUCUUUAUCCCUCACAAAUUAUCUCUAACUUCUUGAAAGAACGCCAUUACCUUAUUCCACUUGUGGAACCUUUUAUCUAUCUUUUCUAAACAUACACAAUCUUUAAUUCCCGUAGGAAUCAUCUAUCUACAUCCCUAAAUGGAUCAUAUGUCUAUGUUCCCUAAUGAACCAUUAUCACAUUCCUAUAGGAAUCAUUCUCUAUAUUCUCAAAGGAAACUUUACUUUUUAUUCCCGAAGGAAUCCCUAUCACUUGUCCCCAAAGGAACAUCUAUCUCCUACCCUCGAAAGAUCCAUCUUUCUUUACAUCGCUCUAUUUAUUAUACGACUCAUCACAUAACAUAUGUCCCAUGGAAAUUAUAUAUCUUUCUGUCUUUAAGAGAUCUUCUAAUAAACGUUUAGGACUUAACUCAUUAAGUGCAUAUUCUUCAUCUAUGUUUAUUAACAUAAAGGUAUUCUACACAAUACCAUCCAUGUCUAGACAUAGCUACACACAUAUUUGAUUAUACUACGUAUAAACAUUCUCUAUCUCUAUCUGAAUCUCUUAGGUUUCUACAAAUAAUACUUCUCAUCAUCUAGUCAUACAUAGGAUUAUAAUACAUAAAAUCACAUUCUUUCUUUAUCUACAGUAAAGGGUAAUCCUCAUAACACUUUUGUUCUUUCUCUAUAUAUCUUUACAUAGCUUGGCUACACACACAUCCUCAGAUACAUGAUCUUAAGUGUAUGACCACAAGUACAUAAUCUUANUAUAUAUAUAUAUAACAAAAAAAAAAAAGAGUGAGAGUUAUAACUCACCAUAUUAGUUAGUGAUGACUAAUACCCUUCUUGGUUCCUUUCUUCUGUUGAUCUAUCUUAGUUUAUACUCUUGAUCAAGGCCUAUUCACACAACAUAUAAAGUUCCUUAAAACUUGUCUUAGCUUAUUAAGAUCUUAUCUACUUCUAAAUGUCAAAAUGAUCACUUAAUAGAUCAUAAUUCUAACAUUUCAGUCUCUACUUCUAAAUUCAGUACAAUCAAUGAACUAAGCAUCUCAUACUACUUAAUUCAUCAUAAUUUAACAUCUAAUGCAUCGAUUAAAAUAAUUGAUUGUUUGGGGCUUCAAACCCUAACUUCACACAUACAAAUUUCACCAUUGAAAUCACACAUAAAUGUAACAUCUGAAUCUAAAGGUACAUUUUAUUUUAUUAAAGUUUGGCUUUUGACAGUCGCCGCAACACGGGGAAGGAUCGCCACGGCAUGGCGAGGCAUUUUUGGUCGCGAGUUCUUUAGAUUUGCAACGGUAUGGUAGGCAUAGGCCACGACGUGUCCGCUUUUGGUGACUUAAACACUAAUUUUCCAGAUUUUGAAGCCUAUUUAAAGGAAUGAGGAAGCUAGUGUUUGUUCAUCCUCAGCCCCCACGACCCUCCUUAGCUCUGAAGAAACCCUAAUUCCUUUUCAUCCAUUAUUGAAGCUUACUUUGGUGUUUUUGGGGGAUUUUGAAGGAAAGAGAAAGAAGGAGUAUGCCAAGGAUCAACAAGCAAGUCCCUAUUUCUCUUCUUAUCACGUUUCUGGACCUUUGUAACUGUCCAAGAAUGCAACUUUAUGUUGCUUGGUUGCUAAAUAUUGAGUGUUUUCCCAUUCUCUUCUUUUUCUUGUUAGUUGGGAUGGUGAGAUCCGAUAAAGGUUGCAACCUUAUGAAUCUAUGGGUUAUUUGGAGUAAUUAAUGGUUUGGAUAUGAAGUAUGGUUGAUUGAUUGAACCAUGCAUGGGAUUUUGGUCAUAAUCCUCAUUUUUUUCCUAAUAUGAGCUCAGACAAUGCAUUAGACCUUCAUGUCUGUAAAGCACCAACUUUUAGGUUAUUUUUUCUGUUGGAAACUCUUUUGGAGUUGAUGGAAUUAGAAUUUUCGAGAUUAAGUGCUUAAUGAUUAUGGCCAUGUCAUGUUUUGCCUUUAUUGGACCUAAGGUUUAAGAUCUUGAUCUAUUUAAGAGUCAUAAGGGAUAAAGUUGGAAACUUUAUCCAUCUAGACCAUAUAACCGACCAGAUCUAAGCAUUGGAGCUCUUGGAAUCGAAGGAAACGGUUAAUCCAUUAAAGUGUUUUGAACCUAGUGCCCACGAUGUGGCCCUAGGUUGCCACGAUGUGGCGACUGGGUACUUAGCGUCUGUAGUGUCAUUUGUGGGUUGUUAUGUGGUCAAGUAUAUCCACAAUGUGGCAAGUAAGUUAAACUUAACUUGGACUGUUGACUUUUGGUUUAAGAUUACUUUUGGUCAAACUCCUAGUUUUGGUAGGAGAGUUAAGAGUUUAGCUUGUAUGGCUAUCUAGGUGGUGUAUAGCAUUUGAAUUCUCAACAGCGAGAGUGGUAGUAGUUGAUUAUCAUCUGAGAGGUGAGUCUUCUCAUUGUACUUGUGGGUUGAAGGGACCAAUGUUGGCCCAUAUAAUUGUCUUAUGUAGAAUGCUAGUUGUCUUUGUGACUCUGGCAAGAAUGAUUGGGUUGAAAUAAUACCCUAGGGAUGGGCCCAUUAUGGUAUGUGUGGGUUGAAAUAUACCCCAGGGUUGGGCCUAUUAUUAUAUGCUUGGGUUGAAAUAUACCCUAGGGAUGGGCCCAGGACUAAAAUGUUGGUUGGUAUAUACCCUAGGGUUGGGCGCAUUGAUUAGUAUGGUGUGUGGUAUUUUGGGAAACUCACUAAGCUCUGUGCUUAAGGUUUUGUAGUUUAAUAUUUUUAGGUACUACCAGUUUGAAAAGGAAGGGCAUGGCAUGAUCACACAACAUCCCUCUCGUGAUUCCACAUUUAUGACUAUUUUACUCUGAUGAUUUUGAUACAAUGUAUUGAGAUUAAUUUUGAGACACCUGAUUUAUGAAUUGAUGAUUGUUAAAAUAAACAAUUUAUCACUAUUUUUGGAAUGUUACAAGUUGGUAUCAAAACCUAGGUUUGAGGGAUUCAGGAACAUUCUCAAGUGUGUCAGAACUCAAAAUGAGGAAUUGAUAAUGUUUUCAAAAGAAAAAUGAGUUUCUAAAAAGGUUUUACUAAGAAAAUGGAGAUGAUGCGUGCAAUCAUCCGAGCUUAAGUAAGGCGCUGUUUGUUUGGGUCUUAAUGCCUCUUAAAAAGAGACACGUCUGAAUUUAUAACAUUCAUAUCGUUUGGUUGCAACUUAAUUUAUCAUCUAAACUGCAAAAAGAGAUCUGAGCGAAUCAGAAGUAAACCUAAGUCUGAAUUUUUUUUGUUUGACACACUUCCUAAUAUGCCCCGACCUAAACAUGCUUUCCCUCUUCUCCUCCGCAUCACUUGCUUCAUCCGCCUUCUCAAGUUCUCCAUAUUGUUCACAUCUUCGACCAUGUCCCUCCAGGUCACCGCCGUCGCCAACCCUUGAGCCAGCUCCACCUAGUUCCCCCGUCAAUCCUUACACCCUUCUCCGAUAAAUAUGUCGCCGCCAGUUUCGCUGCCUCCGCCAGCGACUCUGAUCUGGGAUUGCAGGUAACCUUUACUUUUCUUUUUCUCAUGAAAAUCGAUUUUUAUACAUUGAUUUGUUCUUUUUUUUUUCCCUGAAUUCGAUUAUCGGCUGGCCAUGAUUCAUAUGGUCUGACCACUUUAUCAGUAUACCUGGUUUGAUUUUGGGGAUAAUUAUUAUUUUAUUUCCUAAAUUGGAGUACAUUCUCUCUGAUCUGGGAUUGCAGGUAACCUUUACUUUUCUUUUUCUCAUGAAAAUCGAUUUUUAUACAUUGAUUUGUUCUUUUUUUUUUCCCUGAAUUCGAUUAUCGGCUGGCCAUGAUUCAUAUGGUCUGACCACUUUAUCAGUAUACCUGGUUUGAUUUUGGGGAUAAUUAUUAUUUUAUUUCCUAAAUUGGAGUACAUUCUGUUCAAAAUCUAUGUUGGAUGAAAUUUUUUUAACGGAAGGCCUAUAUGUGAAGCAUUUGCACAAAUAUAACAACAACCCAACAUCUAUGAUGUUCAUGUCAAGUAGUUUGAUGAGGUUUGUAUUGAUAAACACAAAUUAGGAAGGUGAUAAAGUUUUCUUUUAAUGGUGUUUUGUUAACACUUGAUACUUCUUUUAUAUAGGAUCCAUUAAGGUUAGAUGUUGUUAAAAGCUUUUCAUAUCAUGGCUUUCAUCUUCGUUUGGAACCAUGGUCUCAGGUUGUUGCGACCCCUUACCCCAUGUGUGUUGUGUGGUAUGUUUUGUAAUGCAUUUUAUGUUAAAAAUUUGAUUUUGUAUGACAUAAAAGCAGUUUUUUAUACAUAGAGUGUUAAUAAAUGAUAUAUUUUUUUAUUGGGUAUUUAGGUGAAAUGGAUGAAGAUUUUGCAAGCUUAUUUUUCGGAAGUUGUCAAAGUUGGUUGUCAUUUAUGUCUCAAACAUUUGGAUAUAUAUAUAUAUAUAUNAAGCUCAAAUUAAAGUAUACCCCAUCUUAAAAGAUCAAAGCUCAAAAGUCGGUGGGAAAAUUUUUAACCUUCAAUGUCAAGUAUGUUAUAUUUUAACUUUGAAAUCCUUGGGACAUAAAGAAAAUGAUUGUUAUUUUUGUAAAUUUAUCUCAAAAGAUCAUUACAAAUUAUUGAAUAUAAAUUUGAUUUAUGUUAAUUUGGAUUUUAUAUAGUGUUUACAUUUCUUUUAUUAUUAUUCAACAAAAAAUAAUAUAAAAGGGUAAAAUGGUCAUUUUCAUAAUUCAUCACAAUAAUUCAGAUGUUCCAACGAAACAAUAUUUGAUAAUUCAUAUCUUAAAAAAUCAGACCCUCUUAGAAAUGUAGACCUCUUAAAAAUUCAGAUCUUAAAUAUUCAUAUUUUGCCAAAAAGCCCCUAAGUAAUUCCCAAAAUACUCAUACCAAUGUAUUAUGACUAGUAUCCAUGUUAUGUGAGUUUCAUGCUAGAGUAUGGCUAAGGAUACCUUCAAGAGUCGUAUGCUAGAAUUGCAUGAUUUUUGUGAUGCCUUAUAAGCUAUAGGGAUUGGAUGUUAUGUAUUGUUUGGGAGUUAUAUCGGCUCAGUUAAUUGCUAAGUGUAUGCUUUAAAAAUUGUAUACGACUAGGAUCAUAUAGCCCUAGAAUGAUUGGUUUAGCCUUAUUUCCUAUUCCUUGUUUGGUUGUGGGCUUAGGGUAGAAUCAUUGAUUCGAUAGUCAAUUUGGUCCCAUUUUAUGUAUAAUUUGCAUGCAUAAGGAAACCAACAGUGUUGGUUGCGGUUCAUAGUUUUCUAGGGCGGUGAGUAGAGGAUUCCUAGGAGAGCGUAGGGAGUGCCCAAGUAGGAUUUGUAUGUUGCUUAGCAUAGGGAUUGUGUGUUUAUGUGUUUAGUAGGGUGACUUACAGGAUUCGUGAUGGUUCUUGAGGAAAUUCCAGAUAGGUAUGGAUGGUAGUAUUGGGCCCGUACUACUGAAAACAAAGGAUCUAUACUCGACUCAAGGAUGGUCUUGGAAGUUCUAAGGAUCCUGUAGAGUGGGAGUUCCCUUGAGUUUAUCACAUCAGAUAUUACUCGAGGAGCAGCUUUUGGUUCUAGUUCUGGCUCUGGUGCAGAGCCGAUUGAUGAGCAGCUUUGCGAGUUUAUCACAUCAGAGAUUACUCGUGGUAUUAUAGAGGCAACCCUUGUGUUUUUCGGUACCAUAAAGGAGGGGAUUAUGGAGAUUUUGGAUGAGUGUCUUGGAGCCUUUUGGGUGGAGAUCGUGCCAGGAAAGUUAGGAGCGCGGAAUCCAUCUUUCAAGGAGUUGAAGGCCUGUGGAGCUCCAGAGUUCAUUGGGGCUAAGGACCUCAUUGCUAGCCGUCGAUGGAUUGUUGACAUGGAGAAUUCUCAACGUACGAGCUUCUACCCUGAGAGGGCGAAGGUGGGGUUUGCAUCCUGCCUUUUGAGAGAUAGAUCCUGUUACUAAUGCGAGGAGGUCAAUCGUGCAUUUGGAUCUACGACUAUGGUGGCCAUUACUUAGAAAGAUUUUAUGACUAGAUACUAGGAGGAAUUUGAACCGACUAUUGAGGUGCAGUAGAUGGAGAGGGAUUUCUAGGACCUUCGCCAGACUAUUGAGAUUGUGGUGGGGAUCACUGCUAAAUUCUGAGAGAGGUGUUUGUUGGUUCUAUAAUAUGUUGCAGAUAAAGAAAUGAAGAAGACGAGAUAUCAUGAUAUGUUGAUAGAUGAUAUAAGAGUGUUCAUGAGCUUUUCAGGGUGCAAGACCCUAAAUGAGAUGAUUACUAGAGCCCGAGAAUGAGAAAUUGAGUUGGAGCUUCGAGCGAAGUGUGACAACUCGAAACUUAUCCCGUUUCCGUUACGCGAUUCUGUUAAUAAAAAUUCAAAAUUUGUUAACUUUUCUGUCAAACUCUUUGGUUUAUUAAAAUAAUCUAGUUAUAUUUAAUUUAAAUAUUUAUGAUUCGGAAUCAAAAAUCAAACAUUUUUGGUCUAAAUGGGAUUACGAUCGUAAAUGUGUUUACGGCCGUAAACUAGUUUACGACCGUAAACCCUGUUUACGGUCAGUGACGAGUGGACCCCAUUUGUCACCUUAUAAAUACGAUACCCCCACUCUCCUUAGAACAUUUUCUUCCCACAUUCUCUCCUCUUCUCUCUCUAAGUUCUUCAACCGUAAACUCACAAACACGCUUUUAGACUUCAGGAAACGUCGGAGAACACCUUUUGGAGCACUUUGGAGCGUCUGGAAUCACUUCUCGCAUCGAAAUCUGCAUUCAAAACCUCGUUUUUCGAGUUUACGGUCCGAGCUUCAAAGAUCGUAAACUCAGUUCUUGAGUUUACGGCCGUAAACUCAGCCACCUGCUGAAACCGUAAACUCAUUUCAGAAACCGUAAACCCAUCUUCAGAGACCGUAAACUCGAGUUCUAAGGCUGAAAACCCAUUUCUUCGAUUCAAGCAAUUCUUGGUAACAUUCCUCAACCGAAUUCAAGUGUUCUUAUGACACUUUAUUUAUCAAAAUCGCUAAUUUAGAUACAUAUACGUAUUUAUUUGAUAAUAGGAUUUCGUUAAGUGUCACGUGCAACAACUCGGGAACCUUCUUUUCAGUCAACAACUCGACGCAACAACUGUGAGUUCAUACCCCUACAUUUUUCCGCAUUUUUAAGGUUUUCAGAGGGGGAAUACAAGCUAAACAUAAAUGUUUUCUUAUAAGCUAAACAUAAAUGUUUUCUGAAAUAUACAUAAAACUUAUGCAAAUUUCAUACUUUAUUUCCGUUUUAUACUAUGUCGAGCAUAAGGGACGUUUUCGCUAAAAUUGCAUAGUUUUUAUGGAUACGCUAUUCGCUACGUUAUACAUGCAAACUAUAAUGGGUAUAUAGUUUGGGAUUUCUCUAAAAAUUUAUCAAGCGUAGAAACUUUCUCUACUAAACAUAUGCACCGGAACAGAAACCGUUUACAGUUUAUAUCACUAUUUUAUCAUGAUUUUCAUAACUGUAACUUAUCACUAUACGCGGUAUACAUUCGGAUUUUCACUACGGUAGAACGCUACUGCAUUACGUGUAAACUAGAUUGUACGAUACUAUGAGGUGAUACUUCACUACUGUACCCUUAGGUGUACAGGGAUAAAUCCUACCACUGUAUAACCAGAGUCUCCUGGAGGGAGAGCGUGAGAUUUGUCAAUAGAUCUAUUCGGGACUGACAAUCCCACAUCUGGACUGCUAGCUACAGCUAGGCAGGCACGCUUGAGAUGUACAAAUGUCAUUUAGCAUCAACUCCUGAAGAACGUUGGAAAGGUCACUAGUCAUAUCAAGCAUAGUUAUACGACUCACAUUAUGUAUAAAUCAACGAUAGUUUACCAACCUGGUUUUCUUCAGUAGUUUUAUUUAUACCAAAUAGAACUAAACACAUUAUGCAUACUGGACGAGCCAGUUUUUUUUCAAAACCGAAUCAUUUAUGCUACGGUUUUACAUUUAAAUACCCAUACUUCAUGAUUAGCUUUAGCUAGCCACAUGAAGUAGUAUUUUGCAUAUCUCUACAAUUUUCAGAAACAAACAUUCAUGGUUGUAUACGAAAUCGAUCUCACUACGUUUUUCACUAAAGAAAAUAUCGGAUUUCCUUGAAACUACAUAAUCAUUUUGGCUCGCUCAUCAACAAGUUUUCAUUACAAAUUACUGCUUAUGAACUCACCAGCUUUAUGCUGAUAUUUUUCAAACUGCUUGUAUUCUCAGGAAAUCAGUGGACAGGUACUUGCUGGAUUUUCGAGGAACUGAAGCAUUACGAGUUUUUAAGUUUUUUUUAAUGCAAAACUAUUGGUUGUGUUACUAUGAUUGCUAUUAUUCAUUGGUUGUGAUGCUAUACAUGACGUCCUCCGCCCCGGAACGUUUCCGCCAUCGGUUACAGGGUGUGACACGAAGCGCAAGCCGAAGCAGGUUCAGACAGCAAUGGGUUAGGUGAAGAGGCCCAAGGUAUCUGAUUCACAGCCUAGUGGCUAGUAGGGCUUGAUCUGUUGUGGCAAGUUCGGAAAACCGCACAGUGGGGCAUGUCGAGUAGCGGGAUCAGGUUAUUUUAGAUGUGGACAGACUGGGCAUUUGAGUAGUGAUUGCCCUCGAGUGCACUAAUUUUCUUUCAUUGCAAUCAGACUAAACUUAAAAAGGCUAAUUAUUUGAGGCUGAUGGGAGGAGCAGUGGAUGAGCGUGAACCAUCCAGCUUGAGGAUUACUGAUGGCCGCCAGGGCAAGGCGGAGGCACCUGAGGUGAAGAGUAGGGAAUUCCAAUUGACUACUGAUGAGGCUCGAGCAGCAUUAGAUGUGGUUACGGGUAUGUAUCUUUAUCAUAUAUUUUAUUGCUUUGCUCAUUUAUGUUUAUGUUUUAUCUGAUCAUGUAUACAAAAUUUGUUAGUCAAUGGUAUGAUUUCUCAUGUUCUAUUCAAUUUGGGUGCUACCCGAUCUUUUGUAUCUCGUGCGCAUAACAAGAAGUUUAGUGAUGCUCCUGAGAUUUUGGAUUAUCCAUUGGAGUUGGAGAUCAUGGGUGAUCAUUUUGUGAGUUUUUCAAGGGUUCAUCGAGGAUGUGUUCUCUACAUGUUGAGCAAGAGUUAUUCGAUUCAUUUGGUUUCAAUUCCUCUGCGAGGGUCGAAGGUUAUUGUGGGGAUGGAUUGGUUGGCCCCAAUGAGGCCAUGAUUGAUUGUGAGAACUAGUUAGUGAGGGUUGAAUCCCAAGUAGGGUAUAACUGGUUAUUCAUGGCGAGGGUGUUCAACGUGGAUCGACUCUCUAUUCAGAUGUGAGAACUAGGAGAUAUCUCUAGAAGGGUUGUUAUGCAUUUUGGGCCUAUGUGAUGGAUACUCGAGUUGAGGGAACGACAGCCGUGGGUGAUGUACCCAUUGUACAGGAGUUUCCCGAUGUGCUUCUUAAGGACUUACCUAGAGUACCCCUCCAAGAUGCAGGUCGAGUUCUGGAUUGAUUAGGUUCCCGGAGUGGCUCCGAUAGUCAUGGCACCGUAUCGUUUAGAACCUCCGGAGAUCCAGGAGUUGUCUACACAGCUGCAGGAGCUGCUAGACAAGGGUUUUAUCAGAACGAGUAAUUCGCCAUGAGGAGCAUCGAUCCUGUUCGUGAAAAAGAAGGACGGUUCACACAGGAUGUGCAUUGACUAUCAGGAGUUAAAUAAGUUAACGAUGAAGAACCUUUAUUCGUUCCUGAGGAUCAACGAUAUAUUUGACCAACAUCACGGUGCAUAUUGGUUCUCUAAGAUUGAUUUAUGAUUGGGUUACCAUCAGAUGAGAUUCAGAGACGAGGAUGUGCAUAAGACAACCUUUAGGACUUGUUAUGGUCAUUACGAGUUUGUGGUGAUACCAUUCGGGCUCACGAACGCACCAGCAACGUUCAUGGAUCUGAUGAACUGGGUGUGUAGAACUAUGUUGCAUUAGUUGGUGAUCAUGUUUAUUGACGAUAUUCUGGUCUACUCCAAGACCAAGGAACAACACGAGGAUCAUUUACGGGAGGUAUUGGAGACCCUAAGGAGGGAGAGGCUUUAUGUCAAAUUCUCUAAGUGCGAGGUCUGGUUACACGAGGUGCAGUUCUUGGGGCACAUCGUUAACCAAAAACGUAUAUUGAUCAAUUCAGACAAGAUUGGGGUGGUGAUGAUGUGCGAGGUUCCGAGGACGCCAUCUGAUAAUCGUAGUUUUCUUGGCCUGGUAGAUUAUUAUCGGAGAUUUAUCCCGAACUUCUCCUAGAUUGUAGUGCCAUUGACCUGCUUGAUGAAGAAGAGUGUCACUUUCUGAUGGGGGACUGAUAAGUAGGUAACUUUCGAGAAGCUGAGAAACAGAUUGUGCAAGGCUCCAAUUCUCACUCUUCCUGAGGACACGGAUGAUUUCGUGGUCUAUUAUGGCACAUCGAUUUCGGGAUUAGGUGUAGUGCUAAUGCAAAGAGAUCACAUGAUUGCUUACGCUUUGCGACAACUGAAGCCUUAUGUGGCAAAUUACCAUACACACGAUCUGGAGUUGGGGUUGUGGUUUUUUCCCUGAAGAUUUGGAGGCAUUACUUGUAUCGGGUCAAGUGCAUUAUCUAUACUAACCACAAGAGCCUAAGAUACAUGAUAGAUCAUUUGAAUCUUAAUAUGGGGCAAAAAAGGUGGUUGGAAGUGGUGAAGGACUAUGACUAUGAGAUUUUGUAUUGCCCAGGGAAGGCUAGUGUUGUGGAAGACUGCUUGAGUCGUUAGGCCGUGAGUACGCAUAUCAGAGAUUUAUGUUUGAGGAUGGUUAUUGUUUCUCCUCUGUUAGAUAUUAUCAAGAAAGCUCGGGUAGAAGGGUUGAAUAAGGAAAAUUUGAACAAUGAGCAAAUCAAGGGUUAAAUUCCUUUAUUUGUCAAGGAUAUUCGCGGAUUACCAACUCAGUGUGGUAAGGUUUGGGUCCUGGUUGCUGGUCAACUUAGACAGACACUAAUGGAGGAGGCUUAUAAAUCAAAGUUCUAGAUCCAUCUGGGGGCCACGAAGAUGCAUAGGGAUUUGAGGUUGAGUUAUUGGUGGCCCUGUAUGAACAAGGAUGUAGCAUGUUUUGCGAAGCAGUGAUUGACUUUUCGGAAAGUCAAGGCCAAACAUGAGAGACCCCAUGGCAAGAUGCAACCAUUACCUAUUCCCGUGUGGAAAUGAGAGGAGAUCACCAUGGAUUUUAUCACGAAGUUACCGAGGACGACACGUGGGAUUGACUCUAUCUAGUUCAUCGUUGAUAGAUUGAGGAAGAGUGUUCAUUUCAUACCGAUCGCUAAGAGUAUAUCUACUGAGAAGCUGGUCGAAAUUUACAUCCGGGAGGUGGUGGUUCGGCACGAGGUGCUAGGUUUGGUGGUUUCAGAUCGAGAUGUUCGCUUCACCUCCAGGUUUGAUGGAAAUUACAUGAGGUUUUGGGUACUUAGCUACAUUUCAGUAGAACAUAUCUCCCCCAGAUCGACGGACAAAGUGAGAGGACUAUUCAGAUGCUCGAGGAUAUGGUCUGGGCGUGUGUUCUUAAUUUUGGAUGGAGUUAGGAUACUUAUCUUCCUUUAGCCGAGUUCUCAUACAACAAUAGCUAUCAUACAAGGAUUAAUCGACCUCUCUUCAGAAUAAGUUAUGAGAGGAAGUUUUGGACCCUGGUGUGUUAGGGAGAGGUCAUACGUCAGAUGAUGGGGAGUACUGAGGUAGUACUCAAGACCACCGAGUUAAUUCAAUUGGUUUGCGGUCGGCCGUUGACCGUGCAAAAUCACCAGAAGAUUUCUGUUGACCGGCGACGAAAAGACCUCGAGUUCCUGGUGGGAGGUUAUGUGCUUCUGAAGGUGUCUCCAUGGAAAUGUGUCAUCCGAUUCUGGAAGCGGGGAAAGUUGGGCCUCCGAUAUAUUGGUCCCUUCAGGAUUAUCGCCCGGGUGGGCAAGGUUGUGUACCGGUUGGGUGUUCAGAUCUGCUCAACCAGAUCCAAAACACAUUCCAUGUCUAUUAGUUAUGAAAGUGUGAAGCUAAUGCUUCCACAAUGGUUCCUUUGGAUGAUAUUCAGGUCAAUAAGCGUCUGAACUAUGUAGAGAGACCGAUCGUUAUCGUUGAGAAAAAGAAUAAUCCCUUGCACAACAAGGUGGAGGGCUUAGUUAAGGUGUAAUAGAAGCACCAAGGGGUUUAGAGUGGAUUUGGGAGCCUGGGGAGGAUAUGAGGGAGCACUAUCGGAAGUUAUUUGCAGCAGCGGACUUUAAGGACGAAGUCUUAUUCAAGUGGGGGAGACUUGUAACAUCCGAAUCUAAGGGUACAUUUUAUUUUAAAUAUUCUUAUCUACUGAUCUAUUCAAUGCUGGAAUCCGACCCGCUAUUAAUGUGGGGAUCUCUGUUUCCAGAGUGGGGUCUGCAGCUCAAAUUAAAGCUAUGAAACAAGUAGCCGGUAAAUUAAAAUUGGAACUGGCACAAUUCGCAGAAUUAGAAGCUUUUGCACAAUUUGCUUCUGAUCUCGAUAAAGCUACUCAGAAUCAGGAGCGACCUCUCAUCAUCUUACUUUCGGCUCUUGGAGUAAGGGGGGGAAGGGCUGAGUGCCGGUCCGCAGAUCCAUUCUUCUAUACAAUAAAUCCCCAUCUCGUAGCACCACCACGACACCGAUUCCUCGACAAAACCCCCGAUUUCCCAAGAGUGCGGCUGCCUCCAUUAUGUUGUUGCUAGCAAAUACCACUAUUUUUGGUUAUGGCUCUCCCAAAUCGUUCCCGCAGGAGAUCUAGACCCUUCUUUUUCUGAUCCUUCGAUAAAAAGAUUCAUUCUCUUCAUAAAAAAUAGGAAGUAGAACCAAUAAAACCAAUAAAGAUGUCGUUUUCCAUUCAUACCUGGGGUAUGGGGUUUCAAGUCUUUUUCCAGUCAAAAUUGACUAAUAGGCAAUCCGUCUACAACAAACAAGUGGGAGAGGCAGGAUUCGAACCUACGUAGAAAAACUUCAACAGAUUUACAGUCUGUCGCUUUUGAUCACUCGACCACUUUCCCCUUCCCGGGCCGAGGCCCCCCUUCGUAGCUUCUGGCGAAGCUGCGAGUUCAUGAACAAGUGAAUGAACAAGCCACGUUCAUCCCAACAAACCCAUGAUGAACAUAGAGGAACCCGAUGAGGGAAGUGGGACAAUGUUCAGACCUUGGCUGUCACAACAAGCAACCAAUUAGUUCCAGUCCCAAGGGUGGGUAAAACGAGGCCUCGACGGAUGGGAACUCCUACUCUGAUAGGGUCCCGCGGCUUCAAUUAAUUUCAUUUUGAUUAUAGGGAAAGAAAAAGCAACGAGCUUCCAUUCUUAAUUUGAAUCAUUACCCAAUCUAAUUAGACGUUAAAAAAAAUAUUAGUUCCCAAUACGGGAAGGCAUUCUCCCAGGAAUGUAUUCUUGAUUUUUUAAUGAAUCCUAAAUGUUACCAUUCUCCAUUCCAUAAUGGAGAUGUGUGUGUAUAAGAAACAGUAUAUUGAUAAAAAAUUUCCCAAAUCAAAAGAGAGAUUGGGUUGAAAAAAAGUAAAGGAUUUCUAAUCAUCUUGUUAUCCUAUAACGAAAACGAACAUAAAUAUUGAAAUUGAAAUGGAAAAAGAGAGGCUAGAGAAUCUGUUGAUAAGUUUAUCUGUAUCCGAGGUAUCUAUUCGGUUUGUACUAUAAUACCUUGUUUUGACUGUAUCGCACUAUGUAUCAUUUGAUAACCCCCAAAAUCCUCUACCUUUCAUUUAAAUAGAAUUUCAAAUGGAGAAAUUCCAAAGCUAUUUAGGGCUAGAUAGAUCUCAACAACACCACUUCUUAUAUCCACUUAUCUUUCAGGAGUAUAUUUAUGUACUUGCUCAUGAUCAUGGUUUAACUAGAUCGAUUUUGUUGGAAAAUGCAGGUUAUGACAAUAAAUCCAGCUUACUAAUUGUGAAACGUUUAAUCAAUCGAAUGUAUCAACAGAAUCAUUUGAUUCUUUCGGUUAAUAAUUCUAAACAGACUCCAUUUUUGGGGCACAACAAGAAUUUUUAUUCGCAAGUAAUGUCCGAGGUCUCUUCAAUCAUUAUGGAAAUUCCAUUGUCUCUGCGAUUAAUAUCUUACCUAGAAAGGAAAGGGGUAGUCAAAUCCGAUAAUUUACGAUCAAUUCAUUCAAUAUUUUCUUUUUUAGAGGACAACUUUUCACAUUUAAAUUAUGUAUUAGAUAUACUAAUACCUUACCCAGCCCAUCUGGAAAUCUUGGUUCAGGCUCUUCGCUAUUGGAUAAAAGAUGCUUCCUCUUUGCAUUUAUUAAGAUUCUUUCUCCAUGAGUGUCAUAAUUGAGAUAGUCUGAUUACUUCAAAUUCAAAGAAUGCCAGUUCUUCUUUUUCGGCUUUCAGGGACUAGGUAGGGUGGAUUACAGUGCUAGGGG
Molecule: long non-coding RNA, 93139 nt
Filed under: Lactuca sativa (garden lettuce)
Lineage: Eukaryota; Viridiplantae; Streptophyta; Magnoliopsida; Asterales; Asteraceae
Description: long non-coding RNA (LSAT_LNC008648)
Source: RNAcentral